Molecule: long non-coding RNA, 89895 nt
Filed under: Ananas comosus (pineapple)
Lineage: Eukaryota; Viridiplantae; Streptophyta; Magnoliopsida; Poales; Bromeliaceae
Description: long non-coding RNA (ACOM_LNC011945)
Source: RNAcentral
CUUGACGUUCGUCAUCAUAAAGUUGAACAUAUUCGAAAUGAAGUCUCUAUAAAGUAGAGAACACUUAUAUAUGAAAGUAUUUACAUUUAUAGUCAAUUCAGUUGAAUGACUUAUGAACAAGGGUAGGAUGCACUUUAAAGUAGAGAACAAUGACAUUCUCUUGACUCUAACGUAGAGAACUAUGACAUGCUCAUGACUAUGUUGAUAGUGCUAUACUAGUGAAAAGAUUAUCAUGACAUAUGAUUUAGCUUUACCCUUACAUGUUUACAAUCUAGUGAUUACUAGCUCUUGUUACUAUUGGUGUAUUGAAAUUCCGAUCAGAGGAUCGAGGGUAAGAACUUUACAUUGAAAAUAUGAAAAUUGUGACAUGUGGACAAUGGACUUUGCUUGCUUGCCAUCGUGCUCAUUCGCACACGCUUGUGAGGGUAGCUCCCUACCAGCCGGCACUCCGGAGUUGGCCUACGCGACAGUUGCUCGCCCGUGCGGGAUUGGGUGCCGAAGUGGAUUGCCGUGGGGAGUGUAUACUACCACGGGGCCAUUAGGCGCGGCGCAAGCUAGACUACCUUGGGUAGGUCCCUGUGAAUGAAAGGAUAGUACUCAAUGAAAAAGGACAGUAAUGAAUGCUUAUUAAUUAAAGUGUACAGUAGUCACUUUCACGUUUGUGCUUAUAUUCAUGUUUAUGUUCAUGAUUACAGAAAUUGCCAUAUCCCUAUUAUGCAAAUGAUUCAUUACUGUAGAAUGCUAUUACAUGUUGAUUACAUGCUCAUUACUUGUUAGCAUCAUGCUUAUAAAUCAGGCAAUUAUCGUUUUUGCUUUCAAUUAGUACAUCAUGAGCCUAGUGGUGUAAUUCGCCGAGGCUGGCGGCUUACCCACUGGGAACUAUUGUUUAUAGUUCUCACGCCCUUUUGGUGAUUGUUUUUACAGAGCCAUCUGCAGGAGAGGCUAGGGAUCGUGGCAAGGGAGUCGCGUCUAGCUAGUCGUUGCUAGGAGCGUGCUAGUCGAUCACCUUGCUACUCGGGCUACGACCGAGGGUGAUGUCCCUUUGUAUAGAGAAACCACCAUUGUAUCUAUCCUAUUUUUGUAUACUCGUGAUGUAUAUGUACUAUGUCACACCCCGAGCCCGCCUCUUUGGUCGGAUUCGGGCACGCCAACAGACCGCCGAACGGACAGGGUUUCCUCUGCACGCGGACAGAGUCUCCCCUGUACGUUCAAGGCGUCGCAAUCAAUACAAGUACAAGGGGUUCCAAACAGGAACAAUUUUCAACAACGAUUGCAUAAGGAAGGUAUCAAACAACAUAACACAUCCUAUGUUAUUACAAUCAUUCAUCUCAUCAUUUUACAUCGCAUUUUUCAUUACAUUGAUUCUCAACUUCCAAAUAUACAAUCGAUUUCUAAACAUAACAUUACAACAUCGAUUCUUUUCUUUUCUUUUCUUNCCGGAUAUGCUUCCGCUGGUACCCGGGCGUGACAGAUUAUAGUGGUAUCAGAGCCUAGGGUUGAGUCUUAGUAGACCUAGCAAACCUUAGGCUGGUUGGACUAUAAGGAUAGGCACGUGAGAGACGAUGUCUAGUCUAGGUUGUUGUUAGCGAAAGUACUUUGAUUGGGUACUUAUGAACUCCGAAUAGUAGGAGUUUGAUUGGGAUGUGCAAGUACUAACUUUGCAGAGGGUCACGUUGGCGGCCGACAACGUGACAUCGGAAGUUAGUACGCGUUACAUUUCAUUACUUUCGCUUGAUUAGUUGGUUUCUAUCCUCAAUGAGGAUUCGAUAGAAUAGGGUUUAUUGACCUAUGUUUGUUUUUGUGCUGCAGCUUAAGAUGCCGUUAACUCGUUCGCAAGCCGCCAAGGCAGCGGAGGCGGCGAAUGCAGAGGAAGUGGGGACUUCUGUUACUUCGGGAUCUAGUGGGAUCCAUGAGUUGCAGGAUCAGCUUGCGAUGUUGACAGACUUGGUUACUCAGCAGGCUGCGGCAGCACGACAGCAGAUAGAUGCUGCUCGUCGACAGGAGGACAGGAUGAAGAGGUUAGAGGAUCUGUUACUGCGGCAGACGACCGACAGAGAGAUUCCAGAUUCUGUACCUAUAGCACCAGAGAGGGGCACCACAGUGAGAGCACAGUCACCCGUACUUGAUACACCCCCAGUAGCCCCGAGGGUAGAGACCCGACAGGAGACAGUGGUACCACCACCAGUGCAUAUGGCAUCAUCAGGGACAGUGUUACCCGAGAUGGUGGGGGUUGAGGAGCGAGAGCGGAUGAUGGAACGACUGAAUGAAUUCCGUCGCUGCAACCCUCGUGUUUUUGACGGGGAGAAAGCAGAUCACUGGGUGGUCGAGAAAUGGCUAAUGCACAUGGAGAAGCUAUUCUAUGAUACUUUUGUUGAGGAGCGGUAUCGAGUUUGGUUUGCGACACACCACCUUGACGGUGAGGCUUAUAGGUGGUGGGUGGACAUUCGUGAGGAUCCCCGUGCUGAUUUGUCUGCUAUUACGUGGAACAGGUUCAAGAAACUGUUGUUGACUACCUAUUUUCCCCAGAGUAUAAAGAGACAGAUGGAAAGAGAUCUGAGAAACCUGAGGCAGGGGGACAGGACAGUGGCAGAGUACGAGCGAGAGUUCUCCCGAUUACUGCACUGUAUUCCUUUUGUAGUUCGAGAUGAUGAGGACAAGGCUCGCAUUUUUGAGGUGGGUUUGCGACCUGCGAUCUUCAGAUUGGUCCAGGCGUCAAACCUCUCCACUUACCGGGAUGUAGUGAACCGGGCCUUGAUCAUCGAGAAAGGGGCAGAGAUAAUGAAGGAAAGAGAUGUUGUGGAUCGAAGCAGAGGGAAGAGACCUGCAGUUGAGAGCAGUGGUCAGCAGUCCUUUCGGAGACCGCCAAAGUAUCCGAGGGGGCAGUCAGGUCAGUCGAGGGGUCGAGGUUCUUCAGCACCCCGUGGAGCACCCGAGCGUCGACGACCGCCGCGUUGUGUUAUCUGUGGUGGGCCUCACGUACCGCCACAGUGUCCACAGCGUGGGGGCAGGUGCUUUCUUUGCGGCCAGGAGAGCCACUUUCGUUCAGAGUGCCCGAGAGGUUCUUUGCCUGCACCCUCGUCAGCGACUGCACCUGCAUCUUCAGCUCCGAGCCAGGGGACCCCAACAGCGCCUUAUCAGUCUAGGCGACCACCAGGACAGCGGCAGUCGGAGAGUUCGCAGCAGGGUUCGAGUGGGCGGAUGUAUGCCGCCCAGACCGAGGGCGCCGCAGCAGCACAGGAGGUCGUAGCAGGUAUUAUUAUGCUUUAUGAUAUUCGUGUUCGUGCAUUAUUUGAUACUGGUGCUUCGCAUUCUUUUAUUGAUCGGCAGUUCGCCGAGUUGCAUAGCAUUCCUUUAGCACCUACUUUGCAUCUGGGACGAGUGAUUGUACCUGACCAUACCCUAGAUGUUCGUGAGUUUUGCCCUCGCUGCCCAGUUAGGGUAGGCGACUGGAUUAUGCCAGUGGAUUUAUUGGCACUACACAAACUAGGUGAGUUUGAUGUAGUAUUGGGUAUGGAUUGGUUGACACAGUAUUAUGCCACCAUAGAUUGCACGAACAGAACGGUGACCUUUAGGGAACCGGGUCAACAGGAGUUUGUUUAUAAGGGGUGUCAGAGUUCAUUGUUCGCAAUGACCAUUAGCUCUUCGCGAGCACGACAGUUGAUACGGAGAGGAUGUGUAGCCUAUUUGGCUAGCAUUUCUGUGAGUGACGGAGAAGCCGUCAAGAUUGAUGAUAUCCCGGUUGUGCGAGAAUUCGGGGAUGUGUUUCCAGCUGAAUUGCCGGGCAUGCCACCUGAUAGGGAGGUUGAGUUUGUGAUAGAUCUUGUCCCUGGGACUACCCCUAUUUCUAAAGCGCCUUAUAGGAUGGCACCCGCUGAAUUGAAAGAGCUGAAGGCACAGUUACAAGAUCUUUUAGAUAAAGGAUUUAUUCGACCGAGUGUAUCGCCCUGGGGAGCACCGGUGUUAUUUGUCAAGAAAAAGGAUGGAUCUCUUCGAUUGUGCGUGGAUUAUCGAGAAAUCAACAAAGUCACAAUCAAGAAUAAAUAUCCAUUGCCCAGAAUUGAUGACUUAUUCGAUCAGCUGCAAGGAUCGAAAGUAUACUCCAAGAUUGAUUUGCAAUCUGGGUAUCAUCAGCUCAAGAUCAAGCCUGAAGAUGUUUCUAAGACUGCUUUUAGAACACGGUAUGGGCAUUAUGAAUUUACAGUCAUGCCGUUUGGAUUGACUAAUGCCCCAGCAGCCUUUAUGGAUUUAAUGAACCGUGUCUUUAAGCCCUAUUUGGAUAGAUUUGUGGUAGUGUUUAUUGAUGACAUCUUGAUAUAUUCUCGAAGUGACAAGGAGCAUGAAGACCAUUUGAGAGUAGUGUUACAAGUACUUCGAGAAAAGGAACUAUUUGCCAAGUUAAAGAAAUGCGAAUUUUGGCUUCAAGAAGUGGCAUUUCUGGGCCAUGUGAUUUCUGAAACUGGGAUAGCUGUGGAUCCCAAGAAGAUUGAAGCGAUUAAAGAUUGGCCUAGGCCGACCAGUGUCACAGAAAUUCGGAGUUUCCUUGGUUUGGCGGGAUACUACCGAAGAUUUGUAGAAGGAUUUGCAAAGAUGUCUACUCCUCUCACUCGACUCACACAUAAAGGAGCUAAAUUUCUGUGGAAUGAAGCCUGUGAAAGAAGCUUUCAAGAGCUGAAGGAACGGUUGACUACCGCCCCGAUUCUGGCUUUGCCUGUUACUGGAGUGGAUUAUGUGAUUUACAGCGAUGCGUCACUGAAUGGAUUAGGGUGUGUUCUAAUGCAGAAUGGCAGAGUAAUUGCUUAUGCUUCUCGCCAAUUGAAAGAUUAUGAAAAGAACUACCCUACACAUGAUCUUGAGUUAGCAGCUGUGGUAUUUGCUUUAAAGCUUUGGCGCCACUACCUCUACGGCGAGCGUUGCGAAGUUUAUACAGAUCAUAAAAGCUUAAAGUAUCUGUUUACUCAGAAAGAAUUAAACUUGAGACAACGUAGAUGGUUAGAGUUGCUCAAGGAUUAUGAUUUGACCAUCCUCUAUCAUCCUGGAAAAGCUAAUGUCGUAGCAGAUGCUCUAAGUCGAAAAUCGACGGAAAAUUUGGCGAUGUCGAUAACAAUGCAACCACUGUUGGUAAAGGAAAUGGAGCAAUUGAAUUUGGAAGUUGUAGCUCCUGAUACGCCUUGGAGACUUAUGUCAUUAGUGGUGCAACCUACCCUGAUCGAUCGAAUUAAGGAAAAGCAAACUCAAGAUGAAUUCCUGCAGAAGAUUCGAGAUAAGAUCACUGUUGAUCAUGAUAGUGAUUUUCGAGUAGAUGAUCAGGGAUUGUUGAAAUUCGGUGAUAGGCUUUGUGUACCGGCAGAUUCUGGUAUUAAAGAAGAGAUUCUUGCAGAAGCACAUCGGGCCCCGUAUACUGUACACCGUGGAAGUACAAAAAUGUAUAAGGAUUGAAGUUAACUUACUGGUGGCCUGGAAUGAAAAAGGAAGUUGCGGACUUCGUGGCUAAGUGCUUAACAUGUCAGCAGGUUAAAGCUGAACAUCGACUUCCUGCGGAAAAACUUCAGAGCUUACCCAUACCAGUGUGGAAGUGGGAGAGGAUCACAAUGGAUUUCAUCGUUGGAUUACCUCGCUCACAAGCAGGUCACGAUGCAAUUUGGGUAAUUGUCGAUCGAUUGACUAAAUCUGUCCACUUUAUUCCUAUUCAUACAGUGUGGUCGGGGGAAAGACUCGCACAAGUGUAUCUUGAUGAAAUUGUGCGAUUACACGGAGUACCUGCUUCGAUUGUUUCAGAUCGAGACACCCGAUUUGUUUCACAUUUCUGGAAGAGUUUACAGGAGGCCAUGGGUACUCGAUUGGACUUUAGUACUGCUUUCCACCCCUAGAGUGAUGGGCAGUCCGAGCGUACCAUCCAGACCCUUGAAGACAUGUUGCGGGCCUGUGUGAUUGAUUAUCAAGGCAGUUGGCCACAAUUCUUGCCUAUGGCUGAAUUUGCCUAUAACAAUAGUUAUCACGCCAGUAUUCAGAUGGCACCGUUUGAAGUCCUUUAUGGUAGAAAGUGCAGAUCACCACUUCAUUAGAGUGAAGUAGGUGAGAGAUUGGUUUUGGGUCCAGACGUAUUACAAGAGGCUGAAGCUAAAGUUCGGCUUGCACGAGAACGUCUACUGACAGCACAAAGUCGACAAAAGAGCUAUGCGGAUAAACGUCGGCGAGAACUGGAAUUUCAUGUUGGUGAUCACGUAUUCUUAAAAGUGUCACCGACAAAGGGAGUUAAAAGAUUUGGCAUUCGAGGAAAGUUGAGUCCUCGAUUUAUUGGACCCUACGAGGUGUUGGAACGAAUAGGCCCCGUAGCUUAUCGGCUUGCAUUGCCGCCGAAUCUAUCGGGAGUACACAAUGUGUUUCAUGUAUCGACACUUCGAAAGUAUGUUUUUGAUCCGACUCAUAUAUUGGACAGUACUCCAGUAGAAUUACGAGAGGAUUUGAGCUUUGAGGAGCAUCCAGUGAGAAUCCUAGCUCGGGAAGUAAAACGGCUUCGAAAUCGCGAGAUACCCUACGUGAAGAUCCUUUGGAGUAAUCACGAGGAACGAGAAGCCACUUGGGAACUGGAGAGUGCAAUGCAAGAGCAUUAUCCUUAUCUAUUCUCGAUGGAAUCGUGAGGUAAGUGUUUACAAGUUUCGCGGACGAAACUUCUUUUUAGGAGGGGUGAAUGUAAUAUACAGAACUUUUCCAAAUUUCGAAGUUCGAGUGUGUGGAAUGUGAUGUGACACUAACCUACAUGUUUUAAAAGGUUAGAACAAGUUUUUGGAUAAGUUAGAGAAUGAUUGGAAUGCUAAAAGUGAGAAAGUGCAUUGAACUGGCCAAAAUCAGCAUUUUCUGCUUGCUGUACCGGUACAGCCAUCACCUUGUACCGGUACAAGCUGGCAGAUUCGUGGCAGCAAGGCUAUUUUGGUCAUUUCACAUCUUGUUCUCAGCUAUUUGAUCCGAGCACGACUCCUGGAGCUUGCUGGAGUGUGCUGGAGCUCAGAGAAAGGUUCUCCUACCUUCCUCACUCUCUCUCUCUAGGGUUUUUCUCUCUCUACAAAGAAUUCGCCGAUUUCGCUCGUUUCCGUCGCAUCGCGUGUUCUUCGCUGGUUGCGAGCGUUGUGGAGCCUCCGUGGGCGUGUGAGAGAGUGUUUUGGAAGACUCCUUGCUGUCCUGAACUAGUGAGGUGCUGGUUGAAGCUUGAGAAGGUAUGUGACUCGAGUUUUUCCGUUAUCGGCGCUCUAUUAGUCGAUUUGAGGAUCGAUUUCAGGAUUUUGGCUUCCAACUGUUUUAACCUGAGUUUUCAGCAUGUAAAAAUGAGUUAAUUAGCUGUGAAUUAACCUUCUUAGAUCAGGGAUAAGCUACUUUGAAGCUUAAUUGGAAUNAAUGAAUACUCAAGUCAAAUCUGAAGAGACCCACCCGAAGGCUGUCUAUGGCCCUGAGACCCACCCGAAGGCUGUCUGGCCGGUGCCGAGCCUAAUGGCCCCGUGGUAGUCAUCAUCCCCACCCUAGGAAUGAGCCUGUCCCACGGCAAUCCACUUCGGCGCCCAAUCCCGCACGGCGAAUAUGUAUCGCGAUGGCUAUCUCAGGAGUGCCGGCUUGUAGGGAGCGACCCUCACAAGCAUAUGCGAAUGAGCACAAUGGCAAGUAGUCAAACGAUCUGUCGCAAGUACCAAGUCCUCAUGUCUACUAACAUGGAAUGUAUCGAAUGUCCCAAAGGCCUAUCUCUAUGUCAUUAUGUCUCUAACAUAGAAUAUAUAUAGCAGAUGUACAAUGGUCUAUCAUCAUGUCUCUAAGUUGCAUUUUAUAGUUUACUAGUUCCAAGUGCCUCUUUAUGACACUUUUGUUCAACGAGUCCCAAGUAUGGUAUUAAUAUGUUUAUGAUGCAUAGUUCACUCAAUUCUAGCAUGGAGACAUAUUCUCAACCUGCAAAACCAAGCACUAUCCACAAUGCAUGCAAUCUACACAUAUAGCUCUACUAUAUGGAGUACAAAUUUUACGAUACAUGAGGCAUGCAUGUUAAGUGUUCUAAAAUUCAUGUAAAUCAUGUUUAGCAUGAAUUUGCAUUCAAAAAUACUUUAUAAAAAGUUUAGAAGGCAUAGGGGCCAUUUUGCCCCAUUUUCAUGAAGUCAAACCCACCAAAAUCAACUUCUUCGUUUCGCCGAACGAAGGUAUCCACAAGCUCCCUAGUACCCUAGAAACAUCAAAAAUAGGGUCACCCAAACGAAACGAAGAGCAAAUAGCUCAAUCAUUAAGCUCCUCAAGCUAGGGUUGGAGAAAACUUACCGAUUGCGAAGAAGGCUCUCACGAUCUCCAAAUGGGAGUUAGAGUCCUUCCAAACUAACCUAAACAAAGGUUCUAAACCCAUCAAUUAGGUUUCAAAGCCCUCAAAUCCAAAAACCCCCAAAAUAAACCCUAAAUCCCAAAAUCUAGGGUUUCAUCUAGUAAAACCUAGAAAAGUGUCACGCCCCGAGCCCGCCUCUUUGGUCGGAUUCGGGCACGCCAACAGACCGCCGAACGGACAGGGUUUCCCCUGCACGCGGACAGAGUCUCCCCUGUACGUUCAAGGCGUCGCAAUCAAUACAAUUACAAGAGGUUCCAAACAGGAACAAUUUUCAACAACGAUUGCAUAAGGAAGGUAUCAAACAACAUAACACAUCCUAUGUUAUUACAAUCAUUCAUCAUUUUACAUCGCAUUUUUCAUUACAUUGAUUCUCAACUUCCAAAUAUACAAUCGAUUUCUAAACAUAAUAUUACAACAUCAAUUCUUUUCUUUUCUUUUCUUAUACCCCUAAGAAGCCGACUCAGGGUGCUGCUAUCUGGUCUCUGUGGUAGGGCGCUAACUACGGAGCUACGCCCUUUCCUCGUGCCGCCACGCCGCUCGCGUGUGAACCUGUACCCCCAAAAACAACAACACGGGGGUGAGACUAUUGUCCAUAGUCGUCAGUGGGUACAGCCACCCAAGUGAAAAGCUCAACCCACCAGGUCCAAAGGAGGCACUGCAACAUGUUAGUCCAACAGAUAUAUACAUAUAACAUCAUGCAAUACAUGUUCAUGCCUCACGAAUAUGCAAAUUAUGCAACUCUUAGUCAUUCUUUACCAUUAGCCUUUCUUUAGAAUUUGCUAUUCUUUAUCAUUAGCCAUUCUUUACUCUUUAUUCUUUAUUCUUUAUUCUUUAUUCUUUAUUCUUUGCUAAGGGCACUCGCACCUUAGGCUCAUCAUACACAUUUGCCAUUCUUUAUAACAUUAACAAGUCUUUCUCAAUUAUCACUCUUUCCUAAGGUUACAUUUACCUUAGCCAACUUUGCCACUCGACUCGGUCUUGAGUCAAUUCAUAAUGAAUACAAGAUCAACUUUCCAAUUCAUGAUCCCUUUUUGUUCUUUGUUCUUUAAUCUCACGGCUAACCCGGGGGUUUCGCCACAUUAACUUGCUUCACAUUAAGUCCAUCAUCGCAGGAACUCACCAGCUAGGACCGUCCUUACGGGUCUACUCCAACCCGGAUGCCAAACUCCGGAGCGCAUCGCCCGAGGGGGAGCGACCGCCCUCGAGCACGGAACUCAUAGCAAGUAUGAUCAAUCCUUAACUCUAAGGAUAUGUAGUUGGAUCAUGGUUUUACACUAACUCUAGUGUUCUUUACAUCACUUUAUGUUGCCACUCUAGCAAUCAUUGUUCUUUACAUUUCUUUUACUUUUGCUAACUCUAGCAAUCACGUUUUUCACAUUCCUUUACUUUAAGCUAUCUUUAGCUUUCACAUUCUUUAACUUUACACGUUCUUUAUGCCACAUUACAUUACAUUGUCUUUAGCCAUUAUCAUUAUUCUUUACAUCACAUUGCUUUGCCUUGUCUCAAGCCAUUAUCAUUAGGUUCUCACAUUACAUCUCAUGCAUACACAUAGAUUAUUUAGAUUCUUAAUCAUUCUAAUAAGCACGUGUACUCACAUCAUGCAACAUUACAUUAUUAUCAUCACAUUGUCUUACAUUAUCUUUAGCCAUUAUCAUUGUUCUUUACAUCACAUUUAUUCUUUGAUAUCCCACACUAACUCUAGUGUCCACUUUACCAUUUCGAAUGCCACUCAAUCUAUGUUCAACAUGCAUAUAUUUUGUCAUCCAUUGGUAGUCAUUACUUAGCAUUUUAUGCAUUCGUUAACAUUUACUACAUGCAUUCUCGGUUAGUACAAAUCUCAUACUUUCAUUUGACAUCUAUUUAGCAUUUCUAUAAUAUGCACAUAUAAAUUAACAUCAACUCAUGCAUUCAUUUGGCAUCUAUCUUUAUCAUGCAUUCUUAAUUAGCAUACUUUAUCAUGCAUUCUCAAAUAGAAUACUUUAAUCUUUAUCAUGCAUUCUUAAACAGCAUACUUUAUCAUGCAUCAAUAGUAAACAUACUACACUUUAGCAUGGAAAGCGACCUAAUCGCUUCGGUGAGCACAACCCACCUCAUUUCGCAUUCCGAUUGCUUAUCGACACUUGCAAUCGGCCUCCCGCGGCACCCGUAACCCGGUUUGGCCCGAUCUCUCACGCGACCACCCGAACGGCCUCCAAUUCACCAUCCGAAAAUUAAAGAUCUUCGGUUAUGUGCCACGAAGCUUCAAAUCCAUUUUCAUGAAUUUACGAUAUCGCCUCGGCCCUCCCGGCGGACCUGAAGCCUAAACGUUCAUUUCUUUAAUAACUUUGUAACGGCUCGUCGGAUCGCCGAACCGUCUUCGCCAACGCGUUCGUUUACCUAGUAAUUAGGUUUACGGAGGGUCAAAUUAGAUCAAACCCUUACAUUUUACAAAACUCCAUUCGGAGCCCUAAUAUGCUAUUAACCUCAAAAUAAUCCAAAAUUAAAUGGAUCAACAUGCUAACAAAGCUCAUUAGAGGCUAUUAGAAUACUUAAAGCUAAGGAUUAAGCCAAAUCCUAAAAGCUUACCUCAAUGUGAACGCCGCGACGAAAAUACGCCGCUCCAAUGGGCGCUCGAAAGCUCAAUCCGUCGCCUCCAACGCGUUCGCAAGCAUCUUCUCCACCAACCCCGCGAAUUUGAGCGAGAGAUAUAGAGAAAUGAGAGAGAAAUCUAGAGAGAGGAAUGAAGGUUUCUCUCCUAGCACCAUGCGUGCGUGUGUGUGGGUGCUCGGGCUGAAGGAGGGAAGAAGAAGCUUCAGCUUCUUUAUAAUACACCCGACACUAUUCACUCCAGGCAACUUAAAAUCUGAUAUCUUUCGCCGGAGCUCCCUGAAUGUCCGUUUGAGCUCAAACUUGACAGUCAUGUUCGGUUUUACUUAACUUAACAAGCUGACGAUCACUGGUUCAGUUUCGACCCCGUUUGGUCACUGAAAACUGUACCGAACUGCAAUCUUUAUCAGAUAGCUUUCGGAUUUUAUUUCUCACUCUAUGGGUGUCAGAAAAAUAUGAAACCUUAAAUCUAGCCUCAUAAAAAUAUUUCUGACAUCUCCGCCAAUUUUCAUAAUUUUCUGAGACUGUGCAUUUUCUGCUUAUUUUUCUGUCCCGUCUCCAACAGAAAAUUCUAGAUCUUCUGUUUUAAUUCCGAUUUCAGCACAAGUCACCUCUGACUUAUGUUUUACCUCUAUAAAUCUAAUAAAAAUAGUUUCUCACACUAUUUUUAUUUAUUAUUAUUUUUAUACCAAAAUCUGGUAUAUUACAGAUUCGAUCUAUGGCACCCUCGUGGAAACAAAUGGGGAAAGGGAGCCAAAUAAUGAGGGGGGUGUACAGAGAGAAUCUUAUUUAUAUGUAUAUAUCUCUUUCAUAGGAGAAUUAGUCCGAGCAGAGAAGCUGAGAAUUGCUGUAGUGCCACUUGGAUGCAAUGGACUGUGCGAGCUUAGUCGGCGGAUGGGGCUGAUGAUUGCUUCCUUUUAGGAAAGGAGGGGUCGGCAUCAGCUUCACUAAUUAAUGUUGGGACGUGGGGUCGUUAGAAGACACUGAAUUUUAGGAUGACUUGAUUUUACUUGUGAAAGUCUUCUCUUCUGUUCAAACAAUGGCCUGCUCCACCAGGUUAGCAUAGGUUAAAUUGCACCCUUUGCCACAUAUUUUUUUGGUGUAAAUUUCAUUUUAAAUUCAAAAAACUUUGAAUUUAGUAUUUAUAUUUUUAAUUUCUAGGUUGCUUUAAGUCCCUUCCCUUACUAUUUUUAAUAUAUAUAUAUAUAUAUAUAGGAACUAGGCUGGAAUACUAUCAAUAACACUAAACUAUUAGUACUAUUAGGUUUUCGGUCAUCGGAUGAAAAAAAUGUAUGGUUAGGAUGAUGUGGGCCCUCUAGAGUUGAGUGAGUUAUUACUUGAAUAAUAUAAUCUAACGGCUGAAAAUAGUCAAAGAGUAUCUAACGGAGGAAAACUCGCUAGCGCCAAGCACUUGGUGCUAUCGAUAGUAUCCCAACCGAAGCCAAGCACUUGGUGCUAUCGAUAGUAUCCCAGCCGAACUCUCUCUCUCUCUCUCUCUCUCUCUNAAAAGCUGAUGUCUGUACCGGAACAGAAAAUCCUUGUACCGGUACAACAAUGCAAUUUUUACUGAAAAUGUAUUGUUUCGAGUUUUACAAGCUCUUAGAAACCUUCUAAUCAAUUACAACUUGAAAAUAUGAUUCUAAGAUCUAUAAUUAAGUAUGAAUCACCAUAAACAAGAUUUAAAGCUUACCUAAGCAUCGUGAUUCAUGUUUUGCGUGUUUUGCGUCCUUUUCGAUUCUUCGAAGUCUUGGAUUCUUCGAUCUUCAAUAAUUCGCUCCGAACUACUUCAAGACUCCGACUCGACCCACGAAACUUGCCAACACAUAGGACUUAACAGUAGGAAGUGAGCCGAUUUUGUCAGCCGAUCCACUAUAACCCAGAUCGCAUCAUGGCCCCAUUGCGAUCGAGGCAAUUCUGUGACAAAAUCCAUUGUGAUCUGCUCCCACUUUCCACAAUGGUACCGGAAGUGGUUGCAGCUUUCCUACUGGUUGCUGGUGCUCGACCUUCACCUACUGACAUAUCAAGUACUUAGCCAUGUGUUGUGCCACGCCCAAUUUCAUCCCUGGCCGAUUGUGGUACAUCUCGGUUCCGCCGAGAUAAACAGUGUAAGGGAAUCGAUGCGCCUCAGACAAGAUGUCUUUUCUUAGCUCCGUGUCACUGGGCACACACCACCUGCCUCCGAAAUGGAGAAGUCCCCUUUUUUGCCCUGCUCAACAUCUGCUUGCACCUUCUGCAAGUACGGGGCACUCUGCUGUUCGAGCAUGAUCCGCUCUGUCAAUAUAGGCAGCACCAUUAGGAUCACCAAUUGGGCCACGGCCCCAGUGGGAACAACCUCAAUCUCGAGAUGAUGGAACUCCUCCACAAGACGAUCCUGCCUCGUAAUCAUGAAGGACAACGCAGCUAAUGACUGCUUCCGGCUCAAGGCGUCAGCCACUACAUUCGCCUUUCCCGGAUGAUACUGGAUAGCGAGGUCAUAGUCCUUCAAGAGCUCGAGCCAUCGUCUUUGCCUGAGAUUCAGCUCUUUCUAGGUGAAAAAAAUACUUCAAGCUCAUGUGAUCAAUGAAAACCUCGCAGUGUGCCCCAUAAAGAUAAUGCCUCCACAGCUUAAGGGCAAGCACUACUGCCGCGAGCUCAAGAUCAUGAGUCGGAAAGUUCCUCUCAUAGUCCUUCAGUUGACGCGAGGCGUAAGCAAUGACCCGGUCCUACUGCAUGAGUACACACCCCAAACCUACCUAUGAGGCAUCGCAAUGGACCACGAAGUUCUCACCAGGUUACGGUAAGGUCAAAAUAGGUGCACGGGUCAAUCUGUCCUUCAACUUCUCAAAGCUCUGCUGACACUCAGGAGUCCACCAAAUUUUUUCCCCUUUCCUCAUCAACCUGUUCAACGAUGUGCCGAUUUUGGCAAAGCCUUCGACAAAUCGCUGAUAAUAACCCGCCAAACCAAGGAAGCUCCUUAUCUCGGUCCCGGUGGUUAAUAUAGGCCACUUAACCACUGAAGCCAUCUUCUUCUGGUCCACCGUGAUACCCGACUGAGUCACGAUGUACCCUAAGUAGGACACCUUGCGGAGCCAGAACUCGUACUUGUUGAGCUUAGCAUAAAGCUUGUUCUCUCGAAUUAGCUAGAGUACUCGCCGUAGAUGAUCCUGGUAUUCUUCGUCGCUCCGCGAGUAGAUCUAGAUGUCGUCAAUAAAGACCACGACAAACUGAUCCAAGUAUGGCUGGAAUACCCUAUUCAUCAUAUACAUGAAGGCCGCCGGGGCAUUAGUGGGCCCGAACAGCAUCACCGUGAACUCGUACUGGCCGUAAUGAUUUCGAAAAGCUGUCUUCGGCACAUCCUCUGCUCGGAUCUUCAAUUGGUGAUAACCGAACUGCAGAUCAUCUUCGAAUAAACAGACGAUCCCUGAAGCUGGUUGAAUAAAUCAUCGAUCUGAGGAAGAGGAUACUUAUUCUUCACCGUGACCUUAUUGAGCUCCCGAUAGUCGAUGCAUAGCCGCAGACUACCAUCCUAUUUUUUGACGAAGAGGACUGGUGCACCCUAGGGAGAUACACUAGACCUGAUGAAUCCCUUAUCCAGGAGAUCCUCGAGCUGAGCUUUCAGCUCCUUCAGCUCAGUGAAGGACAUUCGGUAGGGGACUUCAAGAUCGGUGUCAUGACGAGGACAAACUCAAUAAAGAAAUCGAUCUCCCGGUCUGGAGGCAUCCCCGGUAGCUCUGCUAGAAAUAUGUCAGGGAACUCCCGAACUACAAGAAUCUCCUCCAACACUGGUGUCACUCGGCGGAUGACAUCCACCAAAGCUAGUUAGGCCAUGCAUCCGCCAUUCAUAAGAUUUUUUGCCCUACCUGAAGAGAUAGUCAUGGCGAAGAAGGAACUCUUAUAUGCUUGGUAGACGAACUUCUCUUCACCGGGCAACUCAAAUGUCACAAUCCUCCGCUUGUAGUCGAUAGAAGCGUGGUGCUUGGUGAGCCAGUCCAUCCUAAGCACCACAUCAAACUCUUUAAUUGGGAUCAGCACCAGAUUCACCAAGAACGCCCGAUUGCCCAAACCAAUGGGGCACGACAUGAUGCAUCUGUCCCCUUCCAGAUCAAUUCCGAGCAUCUCAAUCCGGAGUGCCGAAGAGUGGACUUGAGGAAAAAUCAUGAUCAUGUGCAAACGAAAGCGAUAUGAAUGAGUGAGAUGCUCCAGUAUUGAAAAGAGUCCUAGCACGAAUAGUGUAGAGGGCAGUAAUAGUUGCAAUGACAUCGCCGCUCGUCUCGCCCUCGAGGUGGGACAUAUUAUAGACACGCCCACCAGGUGCCUGGCGCGCCGCCUUAUUCUGGCGUGAGGUUGAGAGGCGCCCAGACGAAGCAGCAACAGUCAGGGCUCCACGAUUCUGGUGCUGUGCAGCUGGAGAUGAAGUAGCACUCUAAAUGGUCCUGCCUUCCCUGGGGCAAUCGGCUUGAAUGUGGCCCGGCUGACCACACCGAAAAUAGUGGUCUCUCCGCUGUGGGCAAGUAGUAACCUGAUGUGCCUGCCCACAGAUCACACAGGGUCGAUCACCCUGUCGCUAGCUGCCAAUGGUGCACUCCUAGCCAACUGCUGAGUGCGCGGAUGCUUUGGUGGCCUUUUAUUGGAGAAAGAGCCACCGCUCGACUUGGAGUAGGAACGCUUCUUGUCCCCGUUCUUCUCGGAUGCAUCAUGUUCGAUUCGUACUUACUUUAUAUCAUUCUGGAUCAUCAGGGCCCUAUCCAGGCACUCGUCGAACGUCAUCACGUCAUGGGACGCAAUCAGAAUCCGGAUGUUGGGUUUCAGCCCUUAGCAAACAUCCGGGCCUUGUGGUACUCAUCGCGGACCACAAAAGGAUCAGUCCCACAAUGCGACAUAAGUCUCGCUCGUACUCCGCCACAGUGCGGUUGCUCUGCUUGAGUCGCUUCAGCUCGUGCUCCAGGCCUUACUUGGUGCUGUCCUUGAAAUACUGACUGUAGAGGGGCUCUCGAAACUCCUUCCCGGGCGGGUACGUCUCGGCAUACUUUUUCUCGAAGAGGCACAACCACCAGAUGUACGCCAUGACAUCCAGGCAGUGACCGGCCAACGGAACCUUAUCAUGUUCCUCGAUACAUAGAUUGCGGAACAGCUUCUCCAUAUGGGCAACCCGGCAUUCAACUGCCCAAUCGUCAUCUUUCUUUCCCGCGAACUUCAGCAGAUCGAACUUUCGGAACUCCGCCUACCUCGCCCUAAUGCGAGCGCCCUCUACUGUAGGGGCAUCAGUUCCCCCAGCGAAAACUGUCGUGGUGGCUGUCGUCACCGCAUAGUGAUGGCUGGAGCCGUAGCAAGCGCGGACGUCGUGGGAGAAUCCACAGUCGCUGGAGUGCCCUGCGCAGGAGGUGGAAUCGGUGCGGCAGCAGCUGCAUCUUGUUGUUGCAAGACCUGCCGAAACAACCAUGAGAGGGCUGUCAGCUGACCCCUCAUAUCGGCUACCUGAGCCAUGAGCUGCUAAGUGCGAGUGUCACCCAGCAGCUCAAUGCCCACCUGCUCCCCACCACCUUCGCCCGUAGGGACCCGCUCUCUCGAGCUGCCAAAUGCCUCCGCACUAGCGUGUCCACCGCCACGACCCGAACGAGGGGGUCUACCACGUGGCAUCUGCAACAAAAAACAUCGUCAAUCGAAUAAUCGACUCGACAAACACAUACCAGGACUCCAGCCCAAACCCCGCACUCAUGUGCCUAUACACCUUAGGUCUCCCUAUAGUCAACCUAACCAGCAGUUCAGUUUAUUAUUGUAAUGACCCAGCCCACUAGCAACAAUAACUUGUUGGGCCCAACCACCGGCCCAAAAUGCUUAAGCCCAGUUAUUAUUACUAGUGUCUAAGCUAUUAUAUACCCAAUCAUAUCCACAUUCCUAUCCAAUGUGGGAUUAUUGGGGGGUGACAGACUUCCCCCGUUAAGGCCCUUAGGUCCUCGUCAGUCCAAUUACACACACAGCCCAAGAUCACCAGGCGAUGUGAGACUCGUCUCGCUAGCCUUGUCGUCCAGACCCUGGCAUAGCCGGUCACCUUGUCAUUCAGACUCCGGCAUAGUCUAUCACCUUGUCUUUCCGACCUUGGCUCAGCCGAGACUUAUCUCACACUUCUAGCUGGUGACUUCUAGCUGGUGAACCGGCUCUGAUACCAAAUGUAACGACCUAGCCCACUAGCAACAAUAACUCGUUGGGCCCAACCACCAGCCCAAAACGCUUAAGUCCAGUUAUUAUUACUAGUGUCUAAGUCUAUUAUAUACCCAAUCACACCCACAUUCCUAUCCGAUGUGGGAUUAUUGGGGUGUGACAAUUAUUUAACAAAAUUUGUGAGUGGUGCUGUGGUUGUAAGCUUGGCUCUGAUACCACCUUAAUCUGUCACGCCUCGGGGUCCCUUCUAAGUAAAAAGAAAGCGGAAGAGCCCAAAAUUUUUUUUUUUUUUUUAAAACCUUGACCCCAGGGGAUGCCAGAUCCACCACAAAUACAGAAAACCCAUUGUUCACACGGACAGAGUCUUCCUUAUAUUUGCACGGCGUCGCAUAAGUACAAGAUACAAUCACAAACAUGCACAGACCAUGUAUUUAUUCUCCACAUCACAAUAUCACGAUUUACAUUAAAUCAAUCACAAGGUUACAAUAUUUAAAUCCACAUCUAUUAUUUAAAAUGUUUGUCAUCCGGAAAUUUAUUUUGAAAUACUAGAAUCACGAAAAGGAAAAAAUUCUUUUUUAAAUCGUUUCCCACACGAAAAUCUUUUUUUUUUUAAAACAGGCUACCACAAGGGGUAGAAAACUAUUUCCAUAAAUCCAUGAAAACUACAAAUACUUUUAUUCAAUUUUCAAAGCCAUAAUAUGAAUGAAAUAAAAGCAAAGUUAAGUUAAUUAAGGAUAAACUGAACCAUAAUAGUCUAAUUCAUUAUUCAAAGCAAAAGAUGGAUGAGUCUAGCUAGAACCGAUGAUAAACAAGUCGAGAACUCUACUCUCGCUACGCAUGUGCCUCACGCCUCAUCCAGACUCGGACCUCCAAUGUCAUCUGAAAUAGGGGAGGGUGAGAAACCAACAGAGGGUCUCCUAGUGGGUACACAAGUCGACGAGGGUGAGUGUACUCACUGGUAACCAAAAAGUAGCUAGGAACAACAAUACAUUAGCAACGUAAAGUGAGGAAACAAGAUAUAUAAAUGCAACUACCGCUACUAUAUAUCAAUAUGUGCCAACCGGAUAAUCACUCCAAAAUACCCAAUCCAGAAUUCGCUAUGUCGGUCUAAGGACCUCAGGCAAAUGCCACGCCGCUCUAAUGGCAUAUGACCCUAGCAUAAGCUCCUGGGCUCACGGGUUAGAAGUCCGACUAUUUUUCCGAAAAAGAACACCAAUGUAGUGGCCAAAUUGCUGGUGUACGUGAAAUGCAUAUGAGCAGUGGCAAUCGAUGCAAAUAUGAUCAAUAGCGGUCAGCAAGUAGGCAACAAUCAACCCCUCAGGGUGUGCCGACCGAAUAGGUCAUCAACCAGAAUCUCAAACCGACCAAUUAACAAGGUCACAAUGAUGUCAUAUCAUGCAUAGAGAUAAUCAUCAACCACUCUACUCUUAAAUCAUGAUAGUCGAGUAUAGAGAUAUAAUCGAGUAGAGUAAUAUGUACUAAAGUCAUAUGGUGCUAGGCUCAAUGGACAGGAAUAAUGCGAGAAACAUAAAGAGAGAGGGUAGAGGGAAUGUCAUCGAGCGUGCACCACUAGACUGACUUCCGGUCGAAAUAUCCACCUAUAUCAGUGUCGCGCCUGUCUCUAAACUAUACGAUACCGUCAACCGGAUCGGGCAGAGAGGGCCAGAGAUCGGCCGGCGGCGGGCGCGCUGGCGGCAGAUGGGUGCGGUCGACGAGAGGAGCUCGACGCUCGCGUUGGCCGAUGGCGGUGGCGGCGGCGGCGCUGGAGCAACCCGAGCCCACACAACUCAGAUCUGGGUCCCCCCUCAAUCUUCGACUAUGGCGUCGGUCGGAACGGCCAGAGGAGGGGCACGGGCCUCCUCUGGGACCAAGAGGAAGGGACGGGGGUGUUCGCCGGCUGCUGGGAAGGCAAUGCAGCAGAGCUUGGCCGCCAACAACCCAAAACUGGCCGCAAGUCAGCAGUAGCCGUGUGGCGGCACUUAGGGACAGCUGCAGUCUACGGGAAGAGAUUGCCGAACGCUCGAGGUGUCGCCGGUGUCGGGCCCGAGGGAGAGAUGCACCCUGCACGACCCUCGGCCAAGAUAGACAGGAAGGAAGGUGGUAGAGAAGAUGGAGAGGAAGGUAAAGAUGGUGCUGGUGGCGGUUGGCCUGUCGGAGCAUGGUAGGUGGUGGCCGGAAGGCACGCGGCGCACGCAGGGGAGGGAGGAAGGACAGCUAGGCGCUCAGCUGAGGGCUGCAAGGCUAGGGUUAGGUUUUGGGUCAUCAAAGCCCUAAUUUGCCUAUAAAUACAAGGUGCACUUUUGCGAAUAAGUCCACUAAAACCCACUAUUUCACAUUGAGUCCCUCACAGCAUGUGUAAAUCACGUGCACGCACCUCUAUGAGUGAUCACACGUGAUUUGGUACAUAAAAUAUAGGGCCUCUUGCAAAAAUUUUGUUUCGCCACAAUCGACCCCUUCUCAAUCCUCAUGCUAUAACAGGAGAUCCAUCCGUCGAAUUUGUGAACGGACUGAGCUAGCGUUUUCGGCACUGUCAAAACAUCGAAACUACAAUUUUGUUUCACCUGAUUUGGUCGCAGAUUCGCAACGAAACCUAUCCUCUCUCCGAUUCUCUAAAACCACACACACACACACACACACACACACACACACACAUAUAUAUAUAUAUAUAUAUAUAGAGUUGGACUGGGCUACUAUUAGUAGCAAAAUCCCAUUGUUGCUACCAGUUUUUUAGCCUUUGGAUCAACUCUUUUCAUUAUUUCUAACCAUUGGAUUAAAUACUAUAAUCCAGUGGGGACCACUCAACCCUAGGGGGACCACUCAACUCUAAUCGACUAAUAUCAUUCUGACCCUACAAUUUUUCAUCUAAAGGUUAAAAACGUGAUAGCAAAAAGAGCGUUUUACUAUUAAUAGUAUCCCAGAUAUAUAUGUGUAUAUAUAUAUAUAUAUAUAUUAAUCCGACCUNACUAUUCAACUAACCACCCACUCAACCCUAGGGAACCACUAUUAUUCUAAUCGGGAACCACUAUCAUCAUAACCGUACAUCUCUUUAUCCAACAGCCAAAAACUUAUGAGUAGAAAGGACUAUAUACUCAUAAGAGUAUAAUAGCCCUAGCCUAUAUAUAUAUAUAUAUAUAUAUCAAAUAAAACUCAAAUUUAAUUUCAAAUUUUGAAGUUUCUCAAUUAAAAGUCUCAGAUAUUACAAAAUAAUAAUAUAUAACACCCAAAACAUAUAACAACUAAAUUAUGGGUAAUAAUUUUAUUUUUCAACAUUUUUUAAGAUAAUAAAUGUGAAAAAUAAGCUAUAUAUAUAUCAAAUGAAACUCAAAUUCAUAUUCAAAUUUUGAAUUUCCUCGAUUAAAAGUCUUGGAUAUUAUAAAAAUGCAACCAACAAAAUCACGAAAUGGCUAUAUUUUCACCCCUAGAGUUGACAAGCAUAUGUUCGUACAACCCGGGAAUAAAGGGCGUGCACAAGGGUUAAAAUCAUUUCAUUCUUUAGGAUCGUCAUCACAAAGUGCACUUUAGAUACUGUCAAUGAUGUUACACCACGUAUUGAUACCCCUAUUAUGCAUUCAAAUGAUGUCUUUGUCCCCUCAGAUGUAGAGCCAAUGGAAGAAUUAAGGGAAACAGGUGUGACCUCUCAACUUUUACACAAUGCUUGCUAUAUGUGUUGCAUUUCUAUAUGAAAAAAAUUUAAACAUAAUAAGUAGAAUGCAAAUUCUUUCUAUAUUAUAAUUUUAUUUAUGUUUUCACUUUCUUAGAUACUAAUAGUGCUCAAAAGAAGAAAAAGGGGUGAGGCAAAAACAAGUGUAAACAAGUUGCAAAACUAAAAAGUGGACAAAAGUUGAAAGUGAAAUUCUAUAACAACCGUGUUGUUGGAAAAAUCUUUGAGCAUUUUCAAGACAAUUGGGAAGAAUUGUGCGUGAUUGCAACAUUUGUCCUCUACGAAUGCACUCAUGAAAGGAAAUCGAUGAUGAAGAGAAAAAACAUGCGGGCCGCUAUGACAGUAAUAUUUUUCGGUUUGAUAUUAAGUUGACUAUAUGAAUAACAUAGAAAUUUUAUACCUGAGGACUUAAUCUAGUAUUAUAUAUGCAGGCUAUAGUCUAUAGUCUAUUUUGUCUAUAUGCAGUCUAUAGUCUAUUAAAUAUGCAGUCUAGUUAUUAUGAAUAAGAAUGCUGAAUGUAAACUGCACAAAAUUAUUUAUAAUUUAUUAUUAAUAAUUUUGUCUAGUUAUUAUAGAAUGAUGAAUGCACGCCAUAUAAAAGGCAACUAACCAUUCCUGGAACUCUGCAACAAAAUGGUGUUGCAGAGAGAAGAAAUAGGACCUUACUAGAAAUGGUUAGAUCCAUGAUGGCACAAGCAAAUCUUUCCAUUUCGUUUUUGGAAGAUGCUUUAUGAACAACAGCUUAUAUAUUAAAUCGUGUGCCUUCUAAAUCAGUUGAAUCUACUCCCUAUGAGUUAUGGACAGGUAGAAAACCUGAUUUAACUUAUUUGCGACCAUGGGAGUCGGCAGCCUAUGUUCAUGAUUCUUCCCACAAGUAUGGAAAGCUAAGUCAUAGAGGGAAGAAAUGUAUCUUUAUAAGAUACUCAGAACAGUCAAAAGGUUAUGUGUUCUUAGGUGAACAUUCUGAAGCAGUCACGUGAUGCCACAUUCAUAUAGGAUGAAUUUUCUAGUAAAGCUAAAACUGACAAGGAAUUUCAAUUACAUGAAAUUGAAGACUUUGUUAAUGAUGAUACACUUGAACCGAGUGGGAGUGAAUAUGAUCCACAUGGUUCAAAAUUGCGAAGAAGCAAUCGUGAAAUCAUUCCUUGACGACGAUUUGAGAUCGAGGGUGAAGUCUUCAUGGUAGCUUCACAUGAUGAAGCUGAACUUAAGAACGUAAGAGGCUUUAUCUUGCCCAUAAAAAGAACAAUGAAAAAUUGCAAUGGAAGAAGAAAUGGAGUCAAUGAAAUCCAACGAUGUCUGGGACUUGGUUGAUCUGCCACUAGGGCGCAAGACUAUAGGGAACAAAUGGGUUUUCAAAAUCAAGCGCAAGGCAAAUGGAUCCAUUCAAAGGUAUAAGGCUUGCCUAGUGGCGAAAGGUUAUACUCAACCAGAGGGUAUUGAUUACGUGGAAACCUUUUCACCAGUACGUUUUACCUCCAUCCGUCUAAUUCUUGCCAUAGUAACUCAUUUAGAUUUGGAGUUACAUCAAAUAGAUGUUAAAACAGUUUUUCUCAAUGGUGAGCUAGAUGAAGAAAUUUAUAUGGAUCAACCUUUAGGUUUUGAAGUUGAUGGCCAAAAAAAUAAAGUUUGUAAACUAAAAAAAAGGUCCAUUAACAGAACAUUACGAACCCAUUAAGUUCAUGUUCAAUUCAUCGUACUCUCCUUUUCCGAAACGAAGAAGAAAAAAAUAGAGCAAUCUUCAUAUUAUUAAUUCUCAUUAUAAGAUUGACAAUACAAGUCAAAGAAUUUAGAAACAAAUUCUCACUUUAGAUUUAAAUCAUGUAUUCAAUCUCAAGAGAAGCAAUUUUAUACAAAUUUCUCAUGUAUAAAAAGAAAGUCAUUCAUAAUAGUUUCUAUCACAGAAAUAAUUCAGAGUUAAAGAUUUGGUUUAAACAUGUUCUUCUACCAAUGAGAUUUCUCUCCGUAUCACUGAAUUCCUAAAGUUUACUCUCUUCUUGGAGGAUUUGGCAUUUGGGUUGUGGAAACUAGUGCAAUUUCUAUUUUUUGAUCUUGCAUUUGAUCCGUUGGAGCGAGUUAUCACGAUCUUCGAAUCAGAAUUGAGGUAUUUUAUAGAUUAAAUUUUACUUUCAUUGGUAUCAGAGCCAAAAUAUUUGUCCUUCUUAUAGCACUUGUAAUGUAAUGACGAUUAUAUACAUCCCUGAAUUUCGAUACCAGAUCACCAUAAGAUAAUAUGAAAUCAUACUUAUUUUUAAAUAUAUUCCACCAAGUUUUAGCCCAAUAAUCUGGUAUUGAAUUUCUCAACACAAGUGCUCUCUGAAAAUCUUUAAUGAUAUAAUCGUCAUUUUCAAGCAUAUUGAACAAGUCGUCUAAAAACGAUAUAUUUUAUUCCAUGGAGUGUGACGGAUUCAUCUUAUAAGUCAUGAUGGGGCGCAAUAGUCUAUCACCACAUCUUCCCCUCAAGACUCUCUUAGUCUGAAUAGUACAUGCCAUAACAAACAAAAAAUUUAACAUUCAUGAACAUGCCAUAUUUAACAAAAUUUAACUAUCAUUAGCUCGUAAAAUUUUCAAUGUAAAUAUUUUAUCUACAAUAUUAUGGCAUCAAUCAAUACAUUAUGAUGUCAAUUAAAUAAAAUAAAUUAAUUCAUAAUUUGCUAAAACUAUACAUGAGUUUAAAAUAAUUGAAGCAUUAUAAAAUAGUCCAUUAAUAAAAUAACCAUUAUAAAAUAGUCCAUUAAAAAAAUAAAAUAGCAAAUUGUUCUAUGCAAGAAUUGAACCCUUAACUUCAUUUAUAACAAAGACUUCACUUUGCUGCAACCAGCCAACAAGUCAAGUGUCAGGAUAUUAAGUACAUACCAACUUUAAUAUAUAUAUAUAUAUAUAGUUUCGGUCGUACCAUAUUAUUACAAUCCAAUAACCCGUUUAUAUUAGAUUGGAUCUUGGAAAAAAAAAGGGUCAAUUAACAGAAUAUUACGAACCCAUUAAGUCCGUGUUCAAUUCAUCGUACUUUUCUUUUCCAAAACGAAGAAGAAAAAAAUAGAGCAAUUAUAACAUGUCUCUGGUUUUUUUAAAAAAUGAAUGUAUAUUUGUCUCAUCUCAGCACGCCUUCUUCGUGUCUGAGGCAGUCGCUUGUGUGAGAAAGCCGACUACAGCCUGGUGACAUAUCUUUUAGAUAUCACAUAUUUUUUGCUAGUAUCAAUGUAUACUCUUCACAUAGAUAAUAGAGUAGAGUGCAAACUUCAUUAAUACAAUGUACUAAUACAACAUUGUAUGAUCAAUCUUAAAGUAUAGUACAUCAUAUUCUACGCAAUCCUAAUGAUUCAACAUGUGAUCUGAACACAUCUCUUGUCAGAGGUUUCGUGAAUGGAUCAGCAACCAUCAGAUGCGUAGAUAUAUAUUAUAGAAACACAUCCUUUUGUGCCAUAAUGUCUCUUAUAAAAUUAUUUUUUAUAUCUAUGUGCUUUGUUCUUCCAUGAUAUUUCGGAUAAUCUAUAAAAUACCUCAAUUUUGAUUCGAAGAUCGUGAUAAAAUAGGAUCAAACCAAACCACUCGCUCCAACGGAUCAAAUGUAAGAUCACAAGAUGGAAAUUGCACUAGUUUCCACAAUCCAAAUGUCAAAUCCUCCAAGAAGAGAGUAAACUUUAGGAAUUCAGUGAUGCGGAGAGAAAUCUCGUUGGUAGAAGAAGAAGCAGAAUGUUAGGAUUUUUCUUUCACGUUACAUUCCUUCUUUUCUCUCUGCACGUUUGUAACUGCACGUACUAGGUGGUUUCCCAACCAACUAAGAAAACCACCUCUUAAUGGGUCGGGUCGGAUUUGUCCAUCAUGGGCGACCGGAAACCCGAUUAAAAAACCAACAAGGAGAUCAUACGAUGUAUCAAGAAAAGAAUGAAGGAAUGUAAAUGUAGCUUGUGGUUGAAUGCAUGCAUGUGAUUAAAAAAUAAUCAUUGUACUUAUAUGGAUGAUUAGUUUAGUACUUUCACUUUUGGCUAUGCUUGCCCUCGUGCAAGCCAUGUAUGUCUAUGUUUCCGCUUAUGCAAUCUAUAUACAUGAUCUAUACUUGUGUUGAGCCUUGGGCGGAUAGGGGAGAACAGUCAGGUGAGGGAGACCGAAGGGUCCCCCACUGGCGUAGGAUUCGCCGAUUGAGAAUAUAUAGGAUUCGCCGAAUGAGAACAAAUAGGGUGAAUUUAUAACUACAGCAAUACAGUUGGUCGGUCGGAGUAUGUGUUUGGUACGGGUGGGCCCCCUGCGGUUGUUAUCUUUGUGAAAGGGUGCUAUGGGUUAUAGUUGGUCGGUCGGAGUAUGUAAGUAAUAAACCGUAUGUAAGUAAUAAACCUUAAAUCUAAUCACCACAUAGAAUAUAGAUAUAACAUAAUAGUAAGAUCCUCAAUUUGGAUUUGUAAAUUUACUGAAAUUGAAACUGUUAAGAGUUAUCUUGUUAGGAGUAAACAAAUAUAAAGAGUUAAAUAAAUUAUCAAGAGUUAAAUAAAUGGCAAGUAGGGGAUAUAAUAAUCCUUAUAUCUUUGUAAGUAAUAUUCUAUGUGAUUAAACUUACUACAAAUUAUCAAAACAUACAAAUCAAUUGUACUUAUAACAUGUUACUUGUCACUUGUUAGUUUACCUUUUGUCAAUUGAUUUGUAUGUUUUGAUAAUUUGUAGUAAGUUUAAUCACAUAGAAUAUUACUUACAAAGAUAUAAGGAUUAUUAUAUCCCCUACUUGCCAUUUAUUUAACUCUUGAUAAUUUAUUUAACUCUUUAUAUUUGUUUACUCCUAACAAGAUAACUCUUAACAGUUUCAAUUUCAGUAAAUUUACAAAUCCAAAUUGAGGAUCUUACUAUUAUGUUAUAUCUAUAUUCUAUGUGGUGAUUAGAUUUAAGGUUUAUUACUUACAUACGGUUUAUUACUUACAUACUCCGACCGACCAACUAUAACCCAUUUGAUAAUAAAUAAUAGUCUAUUCGACAAUUGUCAUUAUAAUUUGCCUCUUAAUAUCCAUAUUGUUGUAAUGGAUGCAAAUAAGAUGUGUACUUGAACCGAUGAAAAAUGACUCAAUUGUUUCAAAUUAUUGAUAAUAUUAUAUUGUUGGUACAAUCUUUUUGAUGCAUAAAUAAGCGAAAUUAUUGCAAUUCAUCUCGAAUGAUUACAAUUUCUUUAUUCUAGUCAAUAUUAAAUGAUUCAGAGUUAAUAAGAGUUCAUCAUGAAGAACAAAUAAUUUCCAGCUGAUCAAAAUAAGAUAUCUGUCUCUUUCGAUAUAGUUUGGCUCCACGAUUUUCCUAUGUAAAAGACAAAUAAAUAGAAUAAAUUAGAACCAAUUACCUAGAAAGUUAUUGUAAAUGAAAUAACAAAGCAACAUACCAUAAUAUAUUCAUUCCAUUCAGCAUCGGUAGCAAUUACUAAAUGAGUUUUAUCAUCCCAGCUAAACUUCGGAUGCUUCCUCAGAUUGCUCACUAUUUGAUAUUCGUUCUUGUAAAAUUUUAGACGCUUUUCCAAAUCAUUAAUAUUGCAUCUCAAACCAGUUGCUUUUAUAAACUUUGCCAUAAUGUCAUGCCAAACAUUUUCUUUAAAGUCUUGUCCCUUUUUGCCACCAUUAAGAGUAUGCUUGACCAUCAAAUCAAGAAGUGUUAUAUCAUAAUUUUUCUCCCAAAUGAUUGAAGGCUGAUCAGUCAUCUUGAUCUUUUUCCUUGAUAAUAUUUUACGAUGCUCUAUGCUAUAAAAAUAAGAAUCAAAAGAGAAGCGAGUCAAUAUACAUUCUUAUCAUUCUAUAUUCUACCAAAAGGGGUAUAUUCAUUCUUGUUCUUAUUUGCUACAAAAAAUUCUAUAAGAACUCCAAGUUAAUUACUGCUAUUGAUAUAGGAAAUAUCAAUUUUCAUUUAAUAAUGAACAACAAAAUGAAUUUUUUAACUAUAAAGUGAUAAACAAAUCUAUAGUUUCCCAAUUUGUUAAGAGUUGAUUACAUUUGAAACUACAAGGCAGCAUGUUAAACAAAAGUUAAAUACAAUAGAUUUAAGAAGAAUCUAACAAUGAACUGAAACACAAAUUUCACUACAUAUAACUCAUUCAAUAAUCAUAAUUUGACUAAAAUCAUUAUGAAUUUAUUACAAAUCACUGAAUAAACUUUUGAUAGCCAUAAAUAGAAAAUACCUUUCAUCUUCUCUCUUUGUCAUCACUUAACCUCUUUUUUGAAAUUUCGAAAGAUAGAUUCUCUCUAUAUAUACAAUUUACAAAUAAUAGAGCAAGUGGCAAAUGGCUUGGUGGUUGGCAUCCGAGACCCAAGUUCGAAUCUUAGUUGAUUUAUAUUUCUAGCUAAGUUUAUUUCUAAAUGAAAUAAACAAAGCAGGUAGCGUGCUACCUAUCCCUCAAAAAAAAUAUUUAGGAAAACAUUAGAUAGACCCUUGGGGUUACUGCAUUCUUUACUUUAGUAUCUUAUGAUUAAUUUUAACUGUAUCUGUUGGCAUUCAGUUAAAUCGAAUCAGGCGCGCCCAUGAUCGAGCUCGAUCCGACGGUUAUUAUGUUGUCUAAUUGGACUAGGGUUAAUCUCGCUUUUAAAUUGGAAAGCUAAUUAGAGAUAAAUUCUAAUCAUAUUAGGAUAACAAUUAAUAACUGAUUUGACUUUAUCUCUUACACACCUAUUAGGAUUUUGGAAUGGCUUAUAAAUACGGGCGAUCUCACAUAAAAGGAAUAAGAGGAAAAAUAAGAAGGAAGAAAAAAAAGAGAAUAAGAAAAUCAAGAGAGAAAAAUAAGAAACCACAUCCUCUAUUAACCUAUUAUUCUAGAGGGUCUUGAACGGUGGAUCGAAGAUCGUGCUCGUUUGUAGUUCGAUCCACCGCGAGUUUGGAGCGAUAGAAUAUUUUUGAGGACGAUCCGAGGACACGUGAAUCAACCUCUACGAUCCGGGCUCAUCGCGUUCUAGCGCGAAUCGCUUCCGCAAAAAGGUACAAAUGAAUACUUCCGCUGCAUUCAACAUUGGUAUCAGAGCCUUAUAAGGUUGAUUUCGUGCCCUAAAUUAUCACUUCAAAAAGAUUGCAUGCGUAGAUUUAAAUCUAUUAUUGUUUGGAUUUUUCUUCUUGCAUGCUUGUGAGCGUUAAUGGCGGUUUUUUCCAGAGUGGAUAUUUUUGCAUGAUUUUUUCACAUCUUGAAGCACCGAUGUUGUAGAUUAAAUUUAAAAAGUUUGAUUUAAUUUGGUUUUGUAUUUUAUGAGAGAAACGAAACCCUAAAUCGAAACUUUGCGAGCGGCUUGUUCGAUGUGUGAUCCAUUGUAAGAUAACGAAUCCUCGACGCGUAAAGCCGAACUUUGGUCGAAAUUGACCGAAGUAUGGUAUUGGACGCUUUAAAGAGGUCCGUUGAGUGUUCCGAGUGAUCGGAAUGACUUCUAGGGGUAUGAGGGACCAAAAGGGACCGUGGAGAGCAAGAUUUGAGAAUUUCGAAAAUUUUUGAAUUUUUGGUGCUCUCGGGGUCCGGACCCUGCAUUAGGGUCCGGACCCCAUACACGGGAAAACGUGGAAAAUUGCAAAAGGGUCAUUUGUGUAAGGGGCUAAGUGCAUUGUGCAAGUGGGAGUGUAUAUAGAUGAGUUUUAUCCUAUUUUCUCUCAUUUCCCCUCCACACCCCAACAAAAGAGAAAACCUUUCUCUCCCUAAACUCUCUCACUCUCUCCUAAGGUGGCUCCAAGAGGUGGAGUUUGAAAGUUUUGAGAAGCCCAAGGAUCUAUCUAGAUUGUAUCUAUCACCUAGAGGGGGGUGAAUAGGUGAACGGCCAAAAACCACAAAUCUCGAUGCAAUAAAAAUAAAUGUGAAAAAUAAAAAGCACACCGAGAUUUACGUGGGAAAACUCCAACUUGGAGAAAAACCCACGGGACCAACACGCGAAAAAAUAAUUCACUAAGAGAAAAGAUUACAAGGUGAUUACCGACUCCACGGACUCAACCUCUCUUAACCUCCUAUGAAUCUUCGCGCUACCCUCCNCACUAGUAAUAAUAACUGGGCUUAAGCAUUUUGGGCUGGUGGUUGGGCCCAAUGAGUUAUUUUUGCUAGUGGGCUGGGUCGUUACAUGGAUUGACUUAUAGGGGUAUGAGAGACCAAAGAGGGCCUUGGAGAGCAAGAUUUGAGAAUUUUGAAAAUUUUCAAAUUUGUGGUGCUCUGGGGGUCCGAAUCCUGCACGUAGGGUCCGGACCCUGUUGGCUUAAAUGGGCCAGCAUCCUGCCCUGUGGCGGGAGGCCAUGUGGGCCGAGUCAUGUUCGAAAUGGCGUGAGGCUUGGUUGGGCCGAGUCAUGUUCGAAGUGGCGUGAGGCCAGGUGGGCCGAGUCACAAUCGAGACCCGUGGGCGCUGUUUCUGUACGCUUUAAGUGAAUUGGUUGCGUAUUUCUAACAGCUCGAGCUUUUGGGAUUAAUGGUUAGCGCCAACGAUCCGACAAGUGGUAUCAAAGCCAGAGGUCACGAGUUUGAUUCCUGCAUGCUGCAAAUGUGUGCAGGUGCUGGAGGGGGGAUUGUUGGCUUAAAUGGGCCAGCAUCCUGCCCUGUGGUGGGAGGCCAUGUGGGCCGAGUCAUGUUCGAAAUGGCGUGAGGCUAGGUUGGGUCGAGUCAUGUACGAAGUGGCGUGAGGCCAGGUGGGCCGAGUCACAAUCGAGACCCGUGGGCGCUGUUUCUGUACGCUUUAAGUGAAUUGGUUGCGUAUUUCUAACAGCUCGAGCUUUUGGGAUUAAUGGUUAGCGCCAACGAUCCGACAGACCCCGUACACGGGAAAACGUGAAAAAUUGCAAAAGGGUCAUUUGUAUGGGGGGCUAAGUGCAUUGUGCAAGUGGGAGUGUAUAUAGAUGGGUUUUAUCCCAUUUUCUCUCAUUUCGCCUUCCACCCUAACAAAAGAGAAAACCUUUCUCUCUCUAAAUUCUUUCUCUCUCUCCUAGGGUGGCUCCAAUUCAGGUAGAGUUUGGUGGAGAGGAGCAGCUUGGAGGUCAAGCCAUCAUCUUCUUCAUUCUAAGCUUGGGAAAAAGCUUGAGUUGAGGUGAGCUUCAUAGCUUUUUAUGAAGAUGUUGGUUAGGGUUUGGUGUAAUCCCUUUUAAUUGAGUUGUAUUGGAACCCUAGGUGAUCCUCAGCUAGAUUAUUGCAUGAAUCAAGAGAUAUUAUGUGUAUUCUUGCAAUAAUGGUUUUUUAGGGUUUCAAGUGUGGGUUUGUGGAUAUGAUGGGGUUUGAUAUAAAUUGACCAAUUGCAAACCUAAUUAAAGGUAAAACCGACAUGGUGGGCAACUCAAAUUGCAGUUCUUACGAGGGUGUGACGAGUCGUUGAAGAAAAGUACAGUUUUCGAUUCGUUUGCGUGGGGUCGAGCCGAAACGCUGUUCAUAAAUCGCGAGGCUUGAGUUCUCGCAUCUUGGCAUCACCAAGAGGUGGGGGGUGCUAUAAGGAAGUGAAUUCUCAAAAUACAAGAGUUGAACUUCGUUUAGAAUCGACUGACUGUCGAUUGGGUACACUUCUAAAAGGCCGAAGGCAUCAAAAACCCAAAAAGUGCAUUGGCGAGGGCCUCGGAGAGCAAGAUGUGAAAAAUCUAUAAUUUUGCAGAUUUUGCUCUCGGGGACCGGUCCCUCCCACCAAGGAGGGACCGGUUCCCGUAAGCAGAAAGUGCUGCAGAAAAGUUCUACGCUCGAUAUUACUCUCGAGGUCCGGUCCCUCGGGAGGGGACCGGUCCUUGAAGGUCCGGUCCCUCAGGCGAGGACCUGUCCCCGUACGCGUAGAAUAGGAGGCAGAGUCCUCUGCCUGCGAGAGUUGCUCUCGGGGACCGAUCUCUCCAGGGACAGACCGGUCCCCGUAGCCCGAAACUGCCCAGGCUAGGGCAGUGUGUAACUUGGAAAGUGAGAGGUGUUUUGUGCAAAUGUGCACUUGUGAAGGGGUAUAGAGGGGAAGUGAGCCCUCUUCUUCUCAUUUCUUUCCCAACCUUACCCCUAACUCCUUCUCUCUCUCUAAACUCCUUUCUCUCUCUUUAGAAGGAGAAGAAGGAGGUGGAUUUGGUGGAGAACAAGAUCAAGGAAAGGAUUAGCAUCUUCUUCUUCCUCCUCUCCACCAUGAGAGCAAGCUUUUUGAGGUAAGCUUUGAGAGCUUUCAUGGUAGAUCCCUCUAGAUGGAUUUUUACCUUCUAGAAUUGGUUUUGUUGGAACCCUAGCUUGCCAAAUAGAAGGUUUAUACUUGAAUCCAGGGAUUUGAGAUGGGGUUUUUGCAAGUUGUAAACCUAGGGCUCCAAAUUGGGAUUUUUGGAAAUGGAAGGUUUGAUCUAAAUUGAUCAUAUAUAAACCUUAUUACUAGGUAUCUAAACGCGUUGGAAAGGUUGGAUCGUCGAUUCGUCGAGCCGGUGCGAAGAUAUCGCCGAAACAAGUGUUCGUGGCUUCGUAUUGACUCGAAGAGUCGAAGCGGCGACCAAGGAUCACGAAAUCAAGUUCCUAGCGUCGCUACGUCGCCUAAAGGUGGGGGGUGUCAUCCCGAAGCAACUGGGCUCCUCCCUAUGUCUAAGUACUUAUAUGUUGAUCAUAUUCCAUAUGUGUAUAUCAUGCAUACUAGGGUGAUUAGAUGUUGCAUUUACUAUUCUUGCAUGCUCCUUAUAGUGUGGUGUAGUAGGCCUGACAAGUAAGAUAGGGUGCAUGAGGAUGAGUUUUGUGACAUAGAACCCUAUAGAGAUAAGUUAAAUAAUAACUUGAUCUUGCAUUGAUGAUAUAUGACUAGUAUAGUCGAGACAUUGCAUCAUGACGAGUGGCAUUUGAACCAAGUAAACAACUUGACGAGUGGCAUUAGGAAUUAGUGUUAAAAGAACACUAGUGACAUGAUGGAAUUAGGGGAUAGAUGAGUCUCCCUACUUGACACCUUGCAUGAGAUCGGUGUCCAUGAUAGUGUUGACCCUAGAGAUAGGGUAUCCUUAGUGGACGAGGAUUGGAUUAUACUCACAUAGUCUGUUCAGCGCUUGUGGCGGUCGCUCCGCACAAAUAGUGCGCUCCGGAGUUUGGCACGUGUAUGAUUGGGAUAGCCUAUUUGGGGUCCCAAGGGAUAGGCUAUUUGGGGUCCUGCAGAUGAUCCCUCGGGUUGUUCGAGUCCCCCAUCAUAGACGGAUUUGAGAUGUGAGUCGAGAGCGUGCCUAUGGGCCAGCCAGAGGAUUGGGUAAUAAACUCAUGAGAAUUAUGUGCAUUGAGCAUAUUGAGCUAGUAGAGUUGCAUCCAUACUUGAUGUUGGUACUAUAGCAUGUCAUUGAUUGCAUGGCUAUCUUGUUCAUUCCUGAAUUUCAAGGCAUAGUAGUAUAGUGAAAUUCUAUCAAUAUGCAUCAGCAUUACUUUCAGAUAUCUAUCUAUCUAUCUAUCUGCUCAUGCUUGCUUAGACCUAGUGGGGAGAUCGGCGGAGUCGGCGGCCGAACCCACUGGGAACUAUGUAUAAUAGUUCUCAUCCUACUUUGUUGCAGGGCCGAGCUCGAGUAUAUCCUGGCGAGGACCGUGAUAAGGGCAUGCGCCCUAGCUUAGUAGCAGCUACCCUAUGCAUUAGAGUACCGAUGUACCCGAGAGUUGGGAUGUAUUUUGAGGGAGUUGCUUAUGUAUUUUGGAUGAACCUUGUAUAUAUUCAUUUUGGAGAGUUACAAACGUAAACCAAAUGUAAAUGAAUGGUUGAAUGGAUGUAAUAGCUAGAUGUAUCUCUCUUUAUUCACUUGUAUUGUAUACUUGUAUCUUGCUCUUACUUGUUAGCACUAGUAGUGCUCCGUGCUUAUCAUGUAUGUAAUUGAAUUGUUCCUGGGCAAUUCUAUGUACAUGAUUCUGUUGUCAAGCCUUGGGCGGACAGGGGAAGUGCUGUCCGUCCCUGUCCGUCCGGCGUCUGUUCGACGCGCCCGAACAGGACCAAAUUGGUAGCGGUCUCGGGGCAUGACAGUUGCUAUCCGAAGCAAUCGGAUUUCCUUUUAUGUCUAAGUUGUUAUUGUUGAGCAUAUAUGUUCAUAUGUUGAUUAUCAUGCAUUAUAGGAUAUGUGAUUAAAUAUAAUUCAAUUCCUGGCAUGCUUCCAUGGUAGAAUAGAAAUCGUGAGUUGAAUACAUGAUUUAGCGGAUGCAUGAGGAUUGGAUCUUAACAUAGAAUCUUAUAGUACCAAGAACAAGUGAUGAACUUGAACAAUUUAAUGACAUAAAAAGAGUGGCAUGUGAAACUAGUGUAGUGGUGACACUUAUGACAUGAAUAUUGGGAUAGGUGAAUUCCCGAGUAUAUUGUUAUCUCUAGUUGGUAGGGAAUCCUCGAGUUGAGAGAAAUAGUGUAGUGGUGACACUUAUGACAUGAAUAUUGGGAUCGGUGAAAUCCCGAGUAUAUUGUUAUCCCUAGUUGGUCAGGUAUCCUCGAGCUGAGAGAAUUAGAUCAUACUCACGUAGUCUGUUCUAGCUUGGCGGUGGUCGCUCCACCCGAGCAGUGAGCUUCGGAGUUGUCACACGAUGGGUUAACGUACUUACCGAGCAGACGGUCUCGAGUGUGCAUAGCGCAGAGUCUCCUCACCUAUGGGAUUUGGUUGUGAGUUGGGGCUUAACCUCUUAGGGUUAGCCAAGAUGAUUGGGUGACAAGUAUAUGAAUAGCAUGAAUUAUGAGCAUAGUAGAGCCUUCAUUCAUAUCGUAUUGUUGAGGCAUAGUAGCAUGAUAGCAGAUUUCAUUACUAUGUUAGCAAAUUUCAAUACUCUAUUUAUAUCUCUACUUAUGCCUGCUUAGACCUAGUGAAAAAAUCGGCAGAGUAGGCGGCCGAACCCACUAGAAACUUUUGUUAGUUCUCGUCCCAUUUUGUUGCAGGGCCUAGCACGAGCGGACAGGCUAAGGAUCAUGGUAAGGGCAUAGCGCCAUAGUUAGUAGCUUCCUUUUCCAUUAGAGUACCAUGUGUAUAUGAGAGACUUGAUGUAUAUUGAGUGAUGUUACUUUUGGAGAGUUGUAUAUGUAUCAUGAGAUGAAACUUGUAUAACAAAUGUAUGUAUUUUGGUGGUUAAAUGAAAGUGAAUGUAAUAGCUAGUACUCUCUCUUGCUCUCGCUUGUAUCAUACUCACAUGAUUCAUGUAUGUUGACUAUAUUUACCUGAGCAACUAAAUGUACACGAUUGAUGUUUAUUGAGCCUUGGGCUGACAUGGGAGGUUCUGUCCGUUCGGCGUCUGUUGGGCGUACCCGAACCGACCAAAUUGGCGGUUGCGGGGCGUGGCAGAUUAAGUGGUAUCAAAGCAUAUAAAGAAAGAAGUCUAGGAUGGACCUAGGAAACCCUAGGACGGUAACCGUAAGGGUCAUAGGUGCGUGAGUGACGUUGACCUAUGACGGGUGACGGAGGUUAAGUCAAUUGGGUGUAAUUGUUAGAAUGUCUCCAAUGGUUGAUAGAGAUGGAUUCAAGUAAUAUUGGUUCUCAACUCAAGGAAGCUGUGUUGGCGGCCGACAACAUGACGCUAAAGGUUGAGAAUGAGUAUGCUUCUGUGCUUCCGCCUAAUUUCGAUGUUGGGUUGCUUAGUUUGUGAAUCACGAGGAGUUCGUGGGUAAAGGUGAUUAACCUAGUUGUUGCGUUUCAGGAGUUAAUGGCACCAAAGAGAUGCCCCGUGACGAGAUCCGCUCCGGGACCACCUCCUGGGGUGCCCAAGCAUUCCGGAUCUGACUAGGUGCGGGAGUUACGAGUGCAAGUCACUGCGAUGGUCGGUGUGAUGCAGCGCCAAGAGGAUCAAAUCGGAAGGCUGCAGGAAUUGGUGGCGCAGUAAGUGGCGGCACAGCAGCAGCCGGCAGCUCAGGCGAAUAUUGAGCAACCUGCGCCCCCUAUAAUAUGAGAGCUUGGUUGCUUGGUUGCUCAUGACGAGGACUUGUAGUGGUUCGGGGCCUUGGUUGCUCCUGGUUGGAGUGUGUGCGAGGUCUCAAAUAAAGACUCCGCCCAGCGAUGAUUGGGCCUAUGCUUGCGAGCGAGAGACGUUGCGUGUAUCGAGAUAGGUUAGGCGGUAGGCCUUCGUGGGAUCGACGGUCUGUGGACCACCCAAGGUAAUUGGGAUAAGCGGUAUAGGCGAACUUCCUCUUUUGUCUAUUUGUAGCCAUAUGAAUGUGUAUAAUUUAUAUGUUGAUAGAGAGAGAUGAUAGCAUAAAAUUGAUGUAUCUAUGAUCUCUAGAUGAUGCUAAACUAGAUUAAAGGAUUCAUCAUGGAUUUGGGGCUUUUGUCCUUAUGAAAUUUGAAACUAAAUUGAUAUCACAAACCUCUAAUUGAAGGUUAGAGAAACACGCUGGACAACCUUAAUUUGAAAAACGGCGAGCUCUUGGUGGCCGAUUAGAGGAAUCGAGCCGAUUUGGGGAGUUUCAUUCAUUAGCGCCGAGAUGUGCUGAAUCGAUGUCGGAAAUCAAAUUGCUUGGAAAUUCUAGUAAUUGGUACUUAAACGAGGUGGGUGGUGCUAUUUGAAAUGGUUGGAUUUCUUUCUAUAUCUAUGUUGCCAUUUUGUUCAUAUGUGUAUAUAUGUGUAGAAAUUAUGCAUUGUAGGGUUUAUUGUGUUUGUGCUUUCAAUUUUCCUUGCAUGCUACCUAAAGUAGAGUUAGACAACUUGGGUUGUGAACUCGGACGUUGAAUGCAUGAGGAUUGGGUCGUUGGACAAUUGGAACCCUAUGGAUGCAAUGAACUAGAAUGUGAAUUUAGAAAACAUUGUAGAACAUUUGUAACAUGAACUUGGUGGCAUCUUGACUAGUUGUUUGGACAUAGAAAACAAAGUGUGGACAUUGGAACAAAGUGAAAUACCAGGUGUCAUUGUGAGUCUAAACAUGAACCUAGUGUGGAAAUAUGGAUUGGGUAUCCUAUUGUGCAAGUAGAAAACAUGAACAUUGUGUCAUGAGUAUUACAUGUGGGUUUAUUGCCAUAGUUGCACAGGAUUUGAGACGAGCAUGCGAGGGAUUGAAAUAGAUCCUCUGGACCAUGCUAGGGAUUGGUAGAUCCCCUGUUGUUGCUACCCUGGUCGAUAGGGUGUCCUCGAGAGGAGAGGACUGGAUCGCACUCACAUUGUCUGUUCGGCUUGUUGGUGUUCAGGCCACCACAAACAGUGAGCUUCGGAGUAGUCACACCAUGGGUUAUCGUAUCUACCCAGCAGACGGCCCUAGAUUGGUGAUAGUCCCCGUGGGUGCUGGUAUUGUGAGUUGGGCUUGACUUCGCAUGAGCCGGUAUGAUUGGGUGAAAGUUAAAAAUGGUAAGCAUCUUGAGCAUAAUAGCAUUUCUUGUUUACCCAGCUUCAUUUUGCAAAGGCAUAGUAGUGUUUAUCCCAGUUUAUGCAUAGUGUAGUUAUUGUACUACUUUCCUGUUCGUUUAUCUACUUAUACCUUGAUAGACCUAGUGGGAAAAUCGGCGAGGUCGGCGGCUGAACCCACUGGGAACUUCUUUUAGUUCUCACCCCCUGUUGUUGCGGAGCCACCAUUUGCGGAGCGGCACCGGACCGAGGCGUAGGCGUUGCGCCCUAGAUAGCAGGGUCACCCAGUUUAGGUCGCCCUACGUACAAGCAAAUAAAUGUAAAUGUAUUUUGAAAAGCAAAUGUAUUAAAGAGCGGAAGUUGUAUUUUGAGGAGUUCAUGUAUUAUAUAAGUGGAAAAAUGUAUGUCAAAUGUGAAUGAUCUAAUGUUGUAAUAGUUAGGUUUAAAUUUCUCGCUCUUGUGAUAUGCUCUCGUGCAAAACUGUUUAUAUUGUUUUUUCCUUGGUGAAAUUCAAUGUACUUGUUUUGUUGAGCCUUGGACGGACAGGGGAGGUUUUGUCCGUUCGGCGAUCUGUGCGCGCGCCUGAACCGACCAAAUAGGCGGUCCCGGGGUGUGACAGGAUCGGUCGUCCGACCUUUCACCGUUGACGUGGGAGGAGUUCCGAGGACUGAUGUUCGCUAAUUAUUUCCCCGAUAGUGAGAAGAAGAAGCUUCAGGAUCAAUUUCGAAAGCUGAGACAAGGAAACCGCCCGGUGGAAGAAUAUAAGCGGGAGUUUUCUCACAUCUUCGUCUGCGUCCCCGAUGUGGUACGGGACGACAAGGAUAGGGCCGAUUGAUUCGAGCGUGGACUUCGGCCGGAUAUUUACAAGGCGGUGCAUAUUCUCAAACUCACAAUCUUUGCGGAGGUGUUAGAUCGGGCAUUGUGGGCAGAGCAUGGUAAUGCCUACGCCCGUGUUGAGCGUGAGGCGUUCGAGAAGGACAGAGGAAAGAAGCGGGCUCCGAGUGGUUCAGGAGGUCAGUCGAAGUCCAAGAAGUCCCCGAAGUACCCGCGAGUGCAGUCCAAGGGUCGUGGGACUCCGCGGUGCGUCAUUUAUGGAGGAGACCAUCAACCGAUGAAUUGCGAGCAGCGCGAGGGGAAAUGCUUCAGAUGUGGUCAGGCAGGACACUUUAGCCGUCACUGCCCGGGAAGGGCCUCGCCUGCCCUAUCGGUUGCAUCAACUCCGGCGACUCCGAGAGAGUAUGGAGGAGUUCCAUCCGCUGCCGCGUCUGCUCGGCGUGCGAUGAUGCCACGUCAGUCUGAGAUGACUCGGCCGGCUCCUAGUGGUCUGGUAUUUGCCGCUCAAUUGGAGGAACCUGCUGAGGUCGAAGAGCGCAAUGUCGUAGUAGGUAUGGUGUUGGUAAACAGAGUUCGAACUAGAGCUUUAUUUGAUACAGGUGCAACUCAUUCAUUCAUCAAUCGACUGUUUGCUGAAAUGUUUGGCAUGUCCAAUACAAGUGGGUAACUGGAUCAUGCCGACACGUUUGCUUGUGCUUAAGCGGUUGAAGGAUUUUGAUUUAAUACUGGGUAUGGAUUGGCUCUCGAAAUACUAUGCGUCUAUUGAUUGCAAAACCAAGGUGAUAACCUUUCGUGAGCCAGGACAAGAGAAGUUCGCCUUUUGAGCAUGCAAGAGUUUGCUCUUCGCCAUGACACUGUCGGCGUCAAGGGCGAGAAAGAUGGUUAGUGGUGCUUGCGCGGCUUAUUUGGCAACCGUGGUGGAGGUCUAUAGGGAGACUCCGACGCUCGAGGAUGUUUCCGUGGUUUGAGAGUUUUCGGACGUAUUUCUCGUUGAGUUACCGGGGAUACCACCGCAUCAGGAAAUUGAGUUCGUAAUAGACUUGGUUCUCGGGACCGCGCUGAUUUCGAAAGCUCCGUAUUGAAUGGUACCGGCCGAGUUGAAGGACUUGAGGGCUCAAUUGCAGGAUCUCCUUGACUCCUUGACAAGGAAUUCAUAAAGCCGAGUGUGUCGCCUUGGGGAGCCCUGGUGUUGUUUGUGAAGAAGAAGGAUGGAUCGUUCCGUCUUUGUAUGGAUUAUCGUGAACUAAAUAAGGUCACGAUUAAGAAUAAGUACCCGUUGCCCCGUAUCGAUGAUUUGUUUGACCAACUACAUGGGUCUUGGGUGUGUUCUGAUGCAGUGCAGAAAGGUUAUUGCUUAUGCAUCCCGCCAGUUGAAAAGCUAUAAGAAGAACUGUCCCAUCCACGACCUGGAGUUAGCUGCAGUGAUCUUCGCACUAAAGUUAUGGAAACACUACUUAUAUGGUGCGCGUUGCGAGGUAUACACGGAUCACAAAAGUCUGAAGUACUUGUUCACUCAGAAGGAAUUAAAUAUGAGGCAACGCCGGUGGUUAAAGUUGUUAAAAGAUUAUCACGUUACUAUACUAUACCACCCAGGGAAAGCCAAUGUAGUGGCUGAUGCGCUUAGUAGGAAAUCAGUAGAAAAUCUUGCAAUGUUAAUCACGCAUCAAAAGUCGUUAUGGAGAGAGAUAUGGCGAUUUGAUCUUGAGAUCGUAGCCUCGGAGUUUCUGGCUAUGCUUGCGGCUCUCAUUGUCCAACCGACCUUGUUCGAGAGGAUUAAGAGCUUGCAAUCCACAGACCUGAGUCUCCAAAAGGUGCGGCGCGACGUCGAGAGUUGGUGCAUUGGUGAUUUCGGCGUACGCACCGAUGGCGCACUGCGGUAUCGGAACCGAUGGUGUGUACCGAAUGAUGAAGGAAUCCGAAAGUUGAUUUUGCAAGAAGCUCAUCGGUCUCCCUAUAGUGUUCAUCUGGGAGGCACCAAAAUGUAUAGAGACUUGAAAAUGCACUAUUGGUGGACGGGGAUGAAGAAGGACAUCGAACACUAUAUGGCGCAAUGUCUUGUGUGUCAACAAGUCAAGGUGGAGCGCCGAUUUCCAGCGGGAAAACUUUAUAGUCUACCUAUUCCCGUCUGAAAAUGGGAGGACAUAGCGAUGGAUUUCGUGGUGGGUUUAUCCCGUUCGUCGGGUGGCCACGAUGCUAUUUGAGUGGUAGUGGAUCGUUUGUGGAAGUCGGCACAUUUCUACCCAUCCACACCACUUGGUCCGGUGAUAAGUUGGCGCAGGUUUACCUCGAUAUGGUGGUGAGGCUACAUGGGGUUCCAAAAUCGAUCGUGUCGGAUCGAGAUCCCCGGUUUCUAUCACACUUUUGGAAAAGCCUACAAAAAGCGCUUGGCACACGGCUUUAUUUUAGCACCGCAUUUCAUCCUCAAAGCGAUGGUCAAUCAGAGAGAACAAUUCAAGUUUUGCAGGAUAUGCUACGAGCGUGUAUGAUCGAUUAUAGGGGUGUUUGGCAUGAGCACUUGCCGAUGGCCGAGUUCGCCUACAAUAAUAGCUACCGAGCGAGUAUAGAGAUGGCACCAUUUGAGACUCUCUAUGGGAGGAGGUGCCGAUCUCCUAUAUAUUGGAUCGAUGUUAGCGAACUGAUGGUUUUUGGUUCGAAUGUUUUGCGUGAGGCGGAGGAGAAAGUCCGCCUUGCUCGCCAGAGACUUUGGACGGCACAAUCUAGACAGAAAAGUUAUGCGAAUAGGCACCGGCGAGAUCUUGAAUUCGCGGUAGGAGACCGCGUCUUCUUGAAGGUAUCACCCAUGAGGGGUGUGAAGCGGUUUGGAGUUUGGGGGACAUUGAGUCCCCAAUAUAUCGGACCGUAUGAAGUGUUGGAACGAAUUGGUGCGGUAGCAUACCGACUCGCUUUGCCGCCCAAGCUUGCGGGAGUUCACAAUGUGUUCCAUAUGUCUAAUCUCCACAAGUAUAUUCACGACCCUAAGCAUGCUCUCUUGUAUGAACCACCAGAACUUCAAGAGGAUAUGACAUAUGAGUUCCCUGUAUCUAUCAUCUUUCAGGAAGUGCGAAAGUUACGGAACCGUGAGAUUCCGUAUGUCAAAGUUCAGUGAAGCAUUCAUGAUGAUCGUGAAGCCACUUGGGAACUCGAGGACGCGAUGAAGGAAUAUCAUCCUCAUCUCUUCGAAGAUUUGAGUUGAGGUAUGAGUUUAAAUUGAGUGGAAUUAGAAACUCUUUUUUAGGAGGGCAAGAUGUAAGAUAACAAAUCCUCGACGAGCAAAACCGAACUUUGGUCCAAAUUGACCGAAGUGUGGUAUUUGACGCUUUAGAGAGGUCCGUUGAGUGUUUUGAGUGAUCGGAAUGUGAUACCCCAAUAAUCCCACAUCGGAUGGGAAUGGGGUUGUCAUUAUCUUUAUAAGAGACUUAGACACUAGUAAUAAUAACUGGGCUUAAGUAUUUUGGGCUGGUGGUUGGGCCCAAUGAGUUAUUUUUGCUAGUGGGCUGGGUCGUUACACGGAUUGACUUAUAGGGGUAUGAGAGACCAAAGAGGGCCUUGGAGAGCAAGAUUUGAGAAUUUUGAAAAUUUUCAAAUUUGUGGUGCUCUCGGGGUCCGAAUCCUGCACGUAGGGUCCGGACCCUGUUGGCUUAAAUGGGCCAGCAUCCUGCCCUGUGGCGGGAGGCCAUGUGGGCCGAGUCAUGUUCGAAAUGGCGUGAGGCUGGGUUGGGCCGAGUCAUGUUCGAAGUGGCGUGAGGCCAGGUGGGCCGAGUCACAAUCGAGACCCGUGGGCGCUGUUUCUGUACGCUUUAAGUGAAUUGGUUGCGUAUUUCUAACAGCUCGAGCUUUUGGGAUUAAUGGUUAGCGCCAACGAUCCGACAAGUGGUAUCAAAGCCAGAGGUCACGAGUUUGAUUCCUGCAUGCUGCAAAUGUGUGCAGGUGCUGGAGGGGGGAUUGUUGGCUUAAAUGGGCCAGCAUCCUGCCCUAUGGUGGGAGGCCAUGUGGGCCGAGUCAUGUUCGAAAUGGCGUGAGGCUAGGUUGGGUCGAGUCAUGUACGAAGUGGCGUGAGGCCAGGUGGGCCGAGUCACAAUCGAGACCCGUGGGCGCUGUUUCUGUACGCUUUAAGUGAAUUGGUUGCGUAUUUCUAACAGCUCGAGCUUUUGGGAUUAAUGGUUAGCGCCAACGAUCCGACAGACCCCGUACACGGGAAAACGUGAAAAAUUGCAAAAGGGUCAUUUGUAUGGGGGGCUAAGUGCAUUGUGCAAGUGGGAGUGUAUAUAGAUGGGUUUUAUCCCAUUUUCUCUCAUUUCGCCUUCCACCCUAACAAAAGAGAAAACCUUUCUCUCUCUAAAUUCUUUCUCUCUCUCCUAGGGUGGCUCCAAUUCAGGUAGAGUUUGGUGGAGAGGAGCAGCUUGGAGGUCAAGCCAUCAUCUUCUUCAUUCUAAGCUUGGGAAGAAGCUUGAGUUGAGGUGAGCUUCAUAGCUUUUUAUAAAGAUGUUGGUUAGGGUUUGGUGUAAUCCCUUUUAAUUGAGUUGUAUUGGAACCCUAGGUGAUCCUCAGCUAGAUUAUUGCAUGAAUCAAGAGAUAUUAUGUGUAUUCUUGCAAUAAUGGUAUUUUAGGGUUUCAAAUGUGGGUUUGUGGCUAUGAUGGGUUUGAUCAAAAUUGACCAAUUGCAAACCUAAUUGAAGGUAAAACUGACACGGUGGGCAACUCAAAUUGAAGUUCCUACGAGUGUGCGGCGAGUCAUUGAAGAAAAGUACAGUUUUCGGUUCGUUUGCGUGGGGUCGAGCCAAAACAACGUUCAUAAAUAGCAAGGCUUGAGUUCUCGCAUCUCGGCAUCACCAAGAGGUGGGGGGUGCUAUCCGAAGUAAUCGGAUUUCCUUUUAUGUCUAAGUUGUUAUUGUUGAGCAUAUAUGUUCAUAAGUUGAUUAUCAUGCAUCAUAGGAUAUGUGGUUAAAUGUAAUUCAAUUCCUUGCAUGCUUCCAUGGUAGAAUAGAAAUCGUGAGUUGAAUACAUGAUUUAGCAGAUGCGUGAGGAUUGGGUCUUAACAUGGAAUCCUAUUGUGCCAAGAACAAGUGAUGAACUUGAACAAUUUAAUGACAUAAAAGAGUGGCAUGUGAAACUAGUGUAGUGGUGACACUUAUGACAUGAAUAUUGGGAUAGGUGAAUUUCCGAGUAUAUUAUUAUCCCUAGUUGGUAGGGAAUCCUCGAGUUGAGAGAACUAGUGUAGUGAUGACACUUAUGACAUGUAUAUUGGGAUAGGUGAAUUCUCGGGUAUAUUGUUAUCCCUAGUUAAUAGGGUAUCCUCGAGUUGAGAGAAUUGGAUCAUACUCACUUAGUCUGUUCUAACUUGUCGGUGGUCGCUCUACCCAAGCAAUGAGCUCCGGAGUUGUCACACGAUGGGUUAAUGUACUUACCCAGCAGACUGUCUCGGGUGUGCGUAACGCAGAGUCUCCUCACCUAUGAGAUUUGGUUGUGAGUUGGGGCUUAACCUUAGGGUUAGCCAAGAUGAUUGGGUGACAAGUAUAUGAAUGGCAUGCAUUAUGAGCAUAGUAGAUCCUUCAUUCAUAUCAUAUUGUUGAGGCAUAGUAGCAUGAUGGCAGAUUUCAUUACUAUGUUAGCAAAUUUCAUUACUCUAUUUAUAUCUCUACUUAUGCCUGCAUAGACCUAGUGGGAAAAUCGACGGAAUUAGCGGCCGAAACCACUGGAAACUUUUGUUAGUUCUCAUUCCACUUUGUUGCAGGGCCUAGCACGAGCGGACCGGCUGAGGAUUGUGGUAAGGGCAUACCGCCCUAGUUAGUAGUCUCCUUUUGCUUUAGAGUACUAUGUGUAUAUGAGAGACUUGAUGUAUAUUGAGUGAGGUUACUUUUGGAGAGUUGUAUAUGUAUCAUAAGAUGAAACUUGUAUACCAAAUGUAUAUAUUUUGGUGGUUAAAUGCAAAGUGAAUGUAAUAGCUAGUACUCUCUCUUGCUCUUAUUUGUAUCAUACUCGCAUGAUUCAUGUAUGGUGACUAUGUUUAUCUAGGCAACUAAAUGUACAUGAUUGAUAUUUGUUGAACCUUGGGCGGACAGGGAAGGUUCUGUUCCUCCGGCGUCUGUUAGACGUACCCGAACCGACCAAAUUGGCGGUUGCGGGGCGUGGCAUGCUUAUCCCAUUAUGAAACUUGCAUGAUUUGGAAGAGCUUCUCAUAAAUUAUCUAUUGAUAUAUUUCUUGCAAAAUUUGGAGUUCUAAAUCCCAAGAUAUGAUUUGUUGAGAUUUAUCUAUCUAUUAAAAAAAAAACUGUUCGGUGUAAUCCACGCCGCUUGGAGUCGCGCGCGGGCCGCGUGGACAACGUGAGCCACACAGGGGCGUGGGCCGUGCGCUGGCCAUGCGCAAACCACGCGCAGGUUGCAUGGGCCGUGCGGGCCAACAGAAUUUUUUUUUUGGUUUUUUUCUUUCGUUUUUUUUUUCUUACCAAUUUUUCUUAAUAAUAAAAUAAAUAAUUUAUUAUGCAUAUUACUAUGUUUUUCUGAUAUAUUAGCAUGCAUUUUAAGUAUUAUAAUGCCUUUUAUGAUGUAUGGAUAAAUUCUUUUGGCAUAAUAUAUUUUUUUAUGCAUAUCUUAUCAAGUGGGAAUAUUUUAAUUUUGAUAGAGUAAAUUAUAUGCUUUUACUCCCAAAUAUUUUGUGCAAAUUAAUUAAAAUUUAAAAUUUUGACUUAUGGUGUGUGAUGUGAUUAUUAGCAUAGCUAUUUUUUUCUUUACAUAUCUAUGAUCUAAUUUUUAAUUUAUUUAAUUAGAGAUGCGGCAAAAUUGAAUACAUGUAUAAUGUGCUAAUCUUAAAAUAUCUUUUUCUACGCAUUGUAUGAACUUAGUGAGAUUAAAUGGCCUCCAAACAAGUUGUUGCGGACUUAAUCAGAGGCGAGAAAUUGGAUGGUGACAAUUAUGAUAUUUGGCAUCAUAAAAUUCAAUAUAUUCUCGCUGUGCAAGAAGUUCUAAAAAACUUGCGUAAUAAAUUGGACCAACCCAUAGAGGGCACUAGUGCCCAGGCUCGCCGAGAUAUAGAAAGCUAUAAUAAUUGGCUUAAAAAGGAUCGUAUUGCUCGCAUCACAUUGCUGAGCGGUAUUCAGAAUGAUCUCUUGUAACGACCUAGCUCAUUAGCAAUAAUAACCAGUUGGGCCCAACCACUGACCCAAAAUGCUUAAGCCCAGUUAUUAUUACUAAUGUCUAAGUCUCUUAUAUACCCAAUCACAUCUCUAUUCCUAUCCGAUGUGGGAUUAUUGGGGUGUGACAGACUCCUCCCGUUAAGACCCUGACGUCCUCGUCAGUCCAAUCACAAACACAAUCCAAGAUCACCAGGCUAUGUGAGACUCGUCUCGCUAGCCUUGUCAUCCAGACCCUAGCAUAGUCGGUCACUUUGUCAUACAGACUCCGGCAUAGCCUAUCACCUUGUCUUUCAGACCCUGGCUCAGCCGAGAUUCGCCACACAUUUCCUGCUAGUGAACUGGCUCUGAUACCAAAUAAAACGACCUAGCUUACAAGCAAUAAUAAUAACUCGUUGGGCCCAAUCACCAGCCCAGAAUGAUUGAAGUGCGGAAUAAUAAUAACUUGUAAUAUACCGGAACUUCAGUAGGUGGCACCGAACUUCAGUCAAAUUGACUGAAGUGCGGAGUGGGACAAGUUAGAGUGGUUCGUUAUUCAUUCCGAGUGUUUCGGAGUGUAAAUUAUAAGUGGUAGCACCUUGGAGAGCAAGCUGGGAAAUUUUUAGCUAACUUCAUGCUGGAAGUGCUCUCGGGGUCCGAACCCUAUGCAAGGUCCGGACCCCGUACGCACAAAAUGCGUGGGUUGUUCAGUACAGUAAUUUGGAGAGGGGUUUAUGUGCAAUUGUUGCUGAGAAGUGCUAUUUGAAGGUUCUACACCCUUCUCUCCUUCAUUUCUCAUUUGUGAACAAAGAGAAAAAGCUCUCUUUCUCUCUCUAAGUAUCUUCUCUCUCUCUCUCUUUCUCUUCCGUUCUCUAGGGUUUGUGAGAGGGUUUGGUAAAGAAGAAGCUUGCUUGGUGGAGAAGCAAACUCUUGAGCUAGGGGUUUUGGAGAAAGCUAGAACUCAAGGUGAGCUCUUGUGUUAUUAAGCUAGGGUUUAUGCUAAUCUCUUCUAGUUGUGGUAUCUAUAUGUGAUUAUGGUGGAUUUGUGUAUGAUUCACCAUAUUUUAGUGAGUAUUGGUGGAUUAGUGGAAACUCUAGGGGUCAAAUUGGGGUUUUACUAUGAAUGAGGUUUAACUAGGGUUUGAUCUCUUGUAACCCUACUCGGUGAGAAAACCGACGCGUUAAGAGACUCGGAUCCGGAUUCCAUUAAGUCUACGCCGAGAUAUUGAAGAAAAACCUCAUUUCAGCUUCGUUUGCCGAGGGUCGAGUGAAAACGGCGAGUAAAAAUAGUGGAACUUGGAUUCUAGCGUAUUAGCAACCCUACGAGGUGGGUAGUGCUUUCUGAAAUCAUCGAAUCUCCUUUUAUGUCUGAAUGUCACCUAUUGAGCAUAUAUGUAUAUGUAGGAUUCAUGCAUUGUAGGGUUAAAAUGAGAAUAUGUUGAUAUAUUGCUUGCAUGCUUUUAAUAUAAAGAUGCAUAUGAGUUGUCAAUGAGUUGUUGAACAAGUGUGAACCCUAUAGAUGUGUGAAUUGUGAUAUGAACCUAGUUGAGGUAAAGAACAUGGUGAUAUCGUGGCAUUAUGAUAAAUGCUUGAGAUAACACUUUGUGGCAUUGAAUGCUAAAAAUAGAACACAUAGUGGGUUGUGGCAUUGGUGAACAUGGCAUCCUCUUAGUGAACAUGGCAUCCUCAGAGUUGUGGAUUGGAUCAUACUCACCUUGUAAUGUACUGAAACUUCGGUCGUGAGUAUCGAACUUUAACCAAAUUGGUCAAAGUGCGAAGUUGAUCAAUUUGGUACGCUUCGGAAAGGCCGAGGGCGUCGAAAAAGGCUUGAGCGCAUUAUAGGAGAUCUUGGAGAGCAAGAAAAUGAAAUUCUGCAAAGUUUCAGACUUUUUGCGCUCUCGGGGACCGAUCUCUGGCGGGAGGGACCAGACCUCGUACACGUAGGAAGUCUGGCAGCACUCUGCAUGCAAAUCUUGCUCUCGGGGUCCGGUCCCUACAUGGAGGGACCGGUCCCCGUACCCGAAAAAUGCCCAGUUUGGGCAGUGAGUUAAGGAGAGAGUUGGGGGGGGGGGUGUUUUGGCAAUUGUUCAUGAGUGGGGUUAUGUGUAGGGGUAGAGAGCUCUUUUUCUCUCAUUCUCCCUUAUCCUCUCACACUAAGGAGCUCUCUCUCUCUCUAGGAUCUCUCUCUCAAAAGGUGAAGCAAGAGAAGGAUUUGGUGGAGAAGAAGGCAAAAAGGGGCAGAGCAACUUCCUCUUCUUCUUCUCUAGCUCAAGGAAAGGAAGCUUAUAGAGGUAAGCUUUGAGCUCUUUAAUGGUAGAACCCUAGAAUGGGAUUAAAAGAACCUAGAAUGGGUUUUAGAUGAACCUCUAGAUGAUUUCAAGCCUGUUUUUGCUUGAUUCAAGUGGGAUUAAGGUGUAUAUUGUUAUAGUGCAAUGUUAGGGCACCCAAAUUGGGGCUUUUGCCCUAGGUUGAUUGCAAGGCAAAUUGAGCUCAUACGAACCUAAUUGCUAGGUAUACGAACACGUUAGUGCGCUCGGUUUGGCAAUCCGACGAGUGUACGCGAAGAUAUUGACGAAAAAGAUUAUUACGGUACAGAUUGCCGCAGGUGAGGAAAUAGACGGCUAAAAUUCAUGAGAAUUGAACCGUAGCACCUAAGUAACCCUACGAGGUGGGUGGUGCACUCCAAACUCUUUGAAUUUUUUUUAUAUCUAAAGUGUCACUUAUUGAGCAUAUGUAUAUGUUAAUCUUCAUGCAUUGUAGGGUGAUUGGGUAUAUGUUAUUGCAUGCUUUGAGUUAAGAUGCAUAUAAGAUAAUUGUGAACCAACAAAAAACUUGUAAACCCUAUGUAUGCAUGAUUGGUGAUAAAAACCUAGAUGAGGUAAAGAACAAUAUGACACGAUGACAUGUAGAUCAAGUGGCAUUAGUAAAUGCAAUGAAGCACUUGAGUUAGUGUGUGGCAUUAAAGAGUCAAGAAUUGCUAGUGUACAAGUGUGGCACUAAUGAACGAAUUGAAUGGUAGAGCAUGAAACACUAGAGUUAGUGUGUAGCAUUAAUGAGAAUUGAAUGCUAGAGAAUUGGGAAUAAAGGACAUGUAGUGUAAAUGACACUGACGAAAGUAGAGAAUGUAGGUACAUGUGAGAGUUGACAAUAUGACAUAACAACCUUAUAGUUAAGGGUCAUAUAAGCAUUUCUUCCUUAUAGUUAAGGAAUGGAUUGAACUUGAAAUCCUUAUAGUUGAGGAUUGGAUCAUACUCGCCUAUAAGUCCUUGCUAGAAAGGUGGUAGCUCCCCCUCGAGCGAUGAGCUCCAGAGUAGUCAUCACUGGGUCGUAGUAUUUUCCCCAGAGGACGGUCCCAUUGGGUCGUAGUAGUCUCCCCGAUACUUAGGAUUAUGAGUUGGUGAGUCUAUUGAGGGCGAAACCUACGGGUUAGCCUAGAGAUUGGGAAUUGGAAAGUGACCUUGCAUUCAUCAUGAGCAUCCUUGUUGAGCAUCCUUAUUGAUAGCAUUGUUUAGGCAUAUUAUCUGCAUUUGUAUAGUUGGUUACCUAUCUAUCUACUUAUUUCUUUUAUUAUGCCUGAGGUAGACCUAGUGGGAAAGUCGGCGAGGUUGGUGGCCGAAUCGACUGGAAACUUUGUUGAAGUUCUCACCCCACUAUUCCCACAGAGCCGGGACCGAGUAAGUCGGCUGACGACCACGGUAAAGGUAUCGCGCCAUAGACAGGGACCACCCGAGUUGGUUCAUUUUUGUAUAGUCGCAUUCCCUUGUAUCAUCUUUUGUCUUUGAUGAUUAUAGAUGUAUUAAUGAUGGUAAAUGUGAAAGCCUAUGUUGGAAGAACUUGUGAUGUAAAAAGAGAUGAUGAAAAGAAUGUAAAUGUAAAUGUGAGAUAUGAAUGUGAAUGAAAAGUGUAUGCAUGUAUGUGGUUAAAAGUAAUCAUAUUACUUGUAUGAUUGUGUAGUUGAGAAUCUUUCACUUUUGGCUAUUGCUUGCCCUCGUGCAAGCCAUAUGUAUGUUUCUGCUUGUGCAUUCUUUCUACUUGAAUUGUACAUGUGUCGAGCCUUGGGCGGACGAGGGAGGUGCUGUCCGUUCGGCGUCUGUUCGACGUGCCCGGACCGGCCAAAGGGAUCGGUCCCGGGGCGUGACACACCUGUAAGUCUUGGCUUGAGGGCGGUCAUACCCCCUUGAGCGAUGAGCUCCGGAGUAGUCAUCACUGGGUUAGAGUUUCCCCAGAGAAUGGUCCCGUCGGGUUGUAGGAGUAUCUCCCCGAUAGCAGGGAUUUGGUUGGUGAGUUUUUGGGGCGAAAAGCCGAGAUGAUUGGGUAAUGAAAAUGGAACUUGCAUGCAUCAUGAGCAUCAUAUAUUGAUAGCAUUCUUGUUAAGGCAUAAUAGUUGCAUUUGUUUAGAAUGGUCAUCUUUCUAUCUGUUUCUUCUAUUUAUGCCGGUUUAGACCUAGUGGGAAAGUCGGGGGGUCGGCGGCCGAACCCACUGGGAACUUUCUUGUAGUUCUCACCCUACUAAUUUUUUUAGAGCCGGGGCCGAGCGAGGUAUCGCACCCUAAAUAGAGACUAUCCGAGUAAAGUUCAUACCUUGUCAUUACUAUCUUUUGUAUAUGAUGAUAGUUGUAAAAAAUGAUGUAAAAAGGCUUAUGUGAUGUAUGUUUUGGAUGAUCAUGUGAUGUACAAAGAAAAGAAAAGAAUGUGAAUGUUUGUAUGCAUGUAUUUGAUCAAAUGUAAUCAAAAUACUUGUAUGUAUGUAGUAGUAGUAGAACUUUCACUUUGGUUGUUGUUUGCCCUCGUGCAAGCCAUGUAUAUUUAUGUUUCUGCUUGCGCAAAAUUAUAUACAUGUUGAUACUUGUGUUGAGCCUUGGGCGGACAUAGAGGUGCUGUCCGUUCGGCGUCUGUUGGCGUGCCCAAACCGGCCAAAUUGGAGGUCGUGGGGCGUGACAUCUCUUGUGUGAGUAUGAACGGUAUCCGACUGCGCAUGACAUGUGGGAGGCUCUCAAAGCUAAAUUUGGUGCCACUUCGACCACAAGGUUGCGCAGUCUGACUAUGCGGUUUGACAGUUAUAAGAAGCAUGUCGAUCAAACUAUGAAACAACACGUGAGAAUAAUGUCUAACAUGAUUCGCGAGUUAAAGUCGACUGGUGGCACCUUAACUGAUGGGCAACAGAUCCAAGCUAUGAUUCACUCACUUCUCAAUUCGUGGGAACAUAUGUUUGUAAAUUUGACACAUAAUGAAAAUGUCAAAACUAUUAAGAAUGUUGCGUGGCAUCUGGAGUUGGAGGAGGAGUGCCUUGAGGCUGUUAAAACUCCAACUACUAAUACUGCUGAGUCAAACUUUUGCAGAACAUCCGAGUUGUCACACCUCGCAACCGCCGAUUUGGUUGGUUCGGGCACGUCAACAGAUGCCGGACGGACAGCACCUCCCCUGUCCGCCUAAGGCACAACAUAAGUAUCAACAUAUAUAUAAUUUUGCACAACGAAAUUUUUGAUAUACAUGGCUUGCACGAGGGCAAGCAACAACCAAAAGUGAAAGUACUACUACUAUUAUCACUUUCACACAUGUAUCAUGAUUACAUUAAACCAUAUACAAGUAUACUAUUCUUUACAAUCACUUAUACAUAAUACAUUUCAUAUCCUCCAAAACAUAUGCCAUUUAUACAACAUUUAUACAUUUUCCUCACAACCAAAAGGUGAACCAAGUACCACUAAUGCAUGGGUGCUGCUAUCUACGGCGCUAUGCCCUUACCACGAUCCUCAAUCGCCUCGCUCGGAUCCGGAUCUGUAAAAAUAGUGGGGUGAGAGCUACAAGAAUUUUCCAGUGGAUUCAGCCGCCGACCCCGCCGACUUUCCCACUAGAUCUAACCAGGCAUAAGUAGAAGAAAACAGAUAGAUAGAUAGAUAGAUAGCCAUUUCUAAAGAAAUGCAGCUAUUAUGCCAGAACAAGAAUGCUACCAAUAUAUAUGUAACACACUGGACCUUUGCAAAUUGCGAGGUUCGAGUGUUCGAUUUGUGUUUCGAAUUUUUUCAGGUAUUCUGGAGGGUCAUUGACAGUGUUCCGACCUAUGGCUUGCAUCACGAGAAUCAAGAUUUAAAACUUAGCACCAAAGUCUCUAAAGUGAAGAUUGUUGGCUGCUCUCGGGUUGGACUCUAUAGAGCAGAGUACCGGUAUAGCAUCGAGCCUGUACCGGAACCAGACCUGGUACCGGUACAGCAUCGGACUUGUACCGGUACCCAGUGUGUUUUUCUGCGAACUCGAGGCUCGGGUUUACGCGUACAGUGGCUUGGUACCGGUACUCUUUCCCGUGUACUGGUACGUAGUGCAGACUGCGAACUGCUUGUUUUUUAGGUGACUUUUGGUUAUUGUAGCUUCUCUACAUAGCAUCCCACGCCCCUUGGUUGUUUCCCUGAGCUUGGAAACACAGGAGAGAAGGUAGGGAAGCCCUCCACUUCCUCCCUUUUGUUUUUUUUUAUUUGUGUUGGGAUUUUUGAGGUUUAAUCACCUCUUCUUGCCUCUUGUUGGUUUUUGGUGCUAUUUCCACCAUUGGAGAAGCUUUGAUUUCGUGAUUGGAGCUUGAUAUAGGAAGGAUCUUCAACCCUAGUUGAUUUCAAGCCUUAUUUGAAGCUUUUAAAGAGGUUAGUUGUUUACUUCUCCUCUCUAUAUCAUGAUUCUCAUGAUUUUUGUAUAGAAACCCUAGAAUGUGAAAUUUAUGGUUUAUUUUGGGGAUUUUUGAUUUGUAGCUUCUCGAACCUAAUUGAUUGGUUUAGAAUCUUUGUUUAGAUUGGAUUUGAAGGGAUUUUACUCUCAUUUGGAGAUUGAGAGAGAUUUUCACCAUACAAGGUGAGUUUUUUGCCCUUUUCUUGGGUUGAUUAAUGUUUGAUCUUAGGAUUUAGCAUUAGAUGGUUUGAUAUCUACUUUUAUUGAAAUACAUAUGCCUGAAAUAGACCUAGUGGACAAAUCGGCGCGGUCGGCGGCCGAACCCACUGGAAACUUUGUUCUAGUUCUUAUUACCACUAACCCUGUAAAUCCGUGUGCAAGCGGGGCGGCGGAGGAUCAAGGCAAGGGUAUCGCGGCGUAGAUAGCGGCCCUCGGUGUAUAGGCAUACCCUACAUUUUGUGUACUCAACUUUUGUAUGUUGAACUAAUGAUGUAAAAGAUGUAGAACCUUAUAUUUUGGUUAAUGGCUAAUGUGAUGUAAAUAUGAAUGAAUGAAAAGAAUGAAUAUAAAUGAUGGUUUACUUGUGUUUGAUUCAAAGGGAAUCAAAUGACAUGUAUGGUGGAUAAAUGCUUAGUUAGUUUCGAUACUUUCACUAUUGUUGUUGUUUGCCCUCGAGCAAACCUUGUAUAUCUUGCAAUCUCCGUGUUAGCUUGCUUGUGUUAUACAUGUUGUUGGAGCCUUGGGCGGACAUGGGAGGUGCUGUCCGUUCGGAGUCUGUUACGUGCUCGAAUCCGACCAAAUUGGCGAGACUUGGGGCGUGACAUCCUUGCUUCCCUACUGUGUUUUUCUUAGAAAUUACUCGGUUUCCUCUCUACUAUUUUCUAGGGUUGGUGUUUCCUUUGUAUGUUCUAAUCUACUUACGAAUCUGGCCAUUUAAUGCCGUCGCGGAACUCCGGUGCGAGCAAUUAACGUCGCCAAAGAGCAAUCACCUCCGGCGUUGUUGGGCCCUUCUUACCACAUAUCUCUUUUUCUCUCUCCCUUGCCACAAGGUUGUUUAGCUAUACAUUUAUUUAUGAAAAAAAAUUAAUGGUAUAUAUUUUGAUGAAGAGUUCUAAAAUAAUAAGCUUUAUAUUAAUUUUACUGAAACCCAUUUUUUCUUGUUUUAAAAAUAUUUAGUGGAAAUUUUGAGGUAGAGUUCUAAAAUUGUAAGCUUUACAUUGAUUUCAUUGGAAACCAAUUUGAUGUUUUGGGUGAAUAAAAUGAGCAGGUAGAGCUAGAGCAAAACCCAACUGGGCCACAUAUUGCAUCAGAAUGAUUUACAUGGUAUGCAAUUUUUCCUUUUUUUUAAUAGGAUUCAUGGAUUACUUCAAUUCGUCAUGUAUUAAGUUGCUCUAAUUUGAUGAUGGUUGAUGGUUUAUAUGUAUAGGAUAUAAUCUCCCCCCGCCUCUCCUUUUGUCUGCUAAUUUCUAUCUUAAAACUGCAAUGUUUUUGAAAUGGAAAAACUUCAACUACCACACUUGUGGUUUUGCACUUUCUCACAUUAGUAACUUGUGGUUUAAAAUGUAUCAAUUUAGUGCCAUAUGGUUUCACAGUAUAGAACAAUCCAAACAACUUGAAUUUUGACAGAAAUUUUUUUUUACUAUUUAGAUAACGUUUGAUAACUUUAAUCAUGAAUUGAAAAAGUUUAACAUCUAUUUUUCACAAGGUUAUUCGUUUUUUACCGUUCAUUUUUCAACUCUUCAAUAAACUUGAUAACGCAUUUUAAAAUUUAUAAAAUUUAGUUUCUGUUGGAACAGAUAGUGAUAAAGGUAUGAAAUAAAAAGAUUAAAAAGGCUUCAAGGCGUGUAGCAAUGCCACUUUCCUUAAAGCUUAAUCCAUCCCCACCGUUCUACCAAUUUGGUGUGCACCGGGUCAAUGAACAACCUCCCAGGAUACAAUGAAGCGUAAACCUCAACUGCGUUUGCACACACAAAGUCGAGCCUUUGAGCACUCACUCGAUUAAAUUGUCAAAAGAAAUAGAAUAUAAAACAAGAAUGGAAUUAUUAUGAAUGGAGACUUAAACUCUUCAACUGUUUUCUGUCUGUGUCCUUCUGCAACCAAUGCUAUAGACUUAUAUAGGCCACGAACGGGUGCUUCAUGAAGUGACUAUUCACGAAAGGGUGUUUCGUGAAGUGACUAUUCAUGAAUAGGUGUUUCGUGAAGUGACCUUUCAAUUGUGACUUUUCAUUUGAUCAUAACUACCAAAUAGUUAUAUGAAUCAAGUUCAAUGAAUAUAACCAUUGAUUCCAACGGACAUAUGUACGAAGAGACACACUAUAAAGAUGUGUCCUUUCAUAUCAUAUUCUUUCACUANUUGACUACCACGGGGCCAUUAGGCACGGCGCAAGCCGGACUACCCACGGGUAAGUCCUACAUGACUGGAAUACUAUUGGACUAAAAUGCAAAGUGGACAUUAGACAAAUUAGUAAACAAUGACAUUUCACUAGAUACAUUUUGGACAUCAUGUUGCUUAUACUUAUGCGUAUUCAUGUUAGAAUAGCAUUUAUACUUAUGUAACUUCAUGCUAAAUAGAGACAUAGUAGAAUUGCAAGUUUAAUCAUGUUUAUCAUACAUGUUAUACAUUCUAGUGAAAAGUUGAAUUUACUACUUUUACCUUUUAGCAUAGUGGUGCAUUUUCGCUGGGGUCAGCAAUUGCCCACUAGGAAUUAUUGUUUAAUAGUUCUCACGCCCCCUAUUUUGUUGUUUUUAUUACAGAGCCUUCCACGCCGGGAGAGGCUCGGGAUCGCGGUAAGGGAGUUGCCUCUAGUUAGUUGUAAGGAGCUUCGUUUUUAGGUGGUUCACCUCUCUAUUUUUGUAUCUAUGUAGAGAGUGAGAGUUUUGUAUCCAUGUAUAGAGACCACCACUAUGAUACAUUUAGCACUUGUAUUUUGGGAUUUCAUGUCGUACUACCUUAUGUUUUUGUUAGUGGAUUAAUUCUUAUAUAUCCUUCUUUAUUCUAGAAUCUAGUGGUUGUAUGCUCUGAUACUCAUAGAUGCUCAUUUAUUAUGGUUUUAUUUAUCGCUUUGUUGUAGACGUCUUAUAUGUUGUAGGCAUAUGGCGGGUCUGAACAGGCACCGGGCGGGCUUCUGCUGGGUCCGGGCGCGUAACAAUAUAUGCUCAUGAUGCAUGCCAAUUACCAUUCUCAAUACUCAAUCCUCUCGGCUAACCCGUAGGUUUCGCCCCAAAACUCACCAACUCAAAUCCCUACUAUCGGGGAGAUACUCGCUACAAUCUAACGAGACCGUCUUCUGGGGAGAUACUCUCUACGACCUAGUGAUAACUACUCUGGAGCUCAUCGCUCGAGAAGGAGCGACCGUCCUCAAGCAUAAGACUUACAGGUGAGUAUGAUCCAAUCCACAACUAUGAGGAUGCUAUGUUCAUUAAUGCCACAAAGUGCUAUUUCAAUUAUUUGUCAUAAUGUCACCAUGUUCUCUAUCUCGGCUAGUUCAUGUCUCAAGUCAUGUCACAAUUCAUAGAUAUAUAGGGUUCACAAUGUCCAUAUCUCAUAACCAACAGAUAUGCAUCUUUAUACUAAAAGCAUGCAAGAUAUAUCAACAUAUUAUCAUUUAACCCUACAAUGCAUGAAUCCUACAUAUACACAUACAUGCUCAAUGGUGACCUUAGACAUAAAGAGAAAUUCAACUGUUUCGGAUAGCACCAUCCACUUCGAAGGGUCGCAAGGGUACUAGAAUCCAAGUUCAAGAAUUUAUGGUUGCCGUUUUUCCUCAACCCAUGGCAAAAGAAGCCGAAAUGGGGUUUUUCCUCAAUAUCUUGGCAUAGACUUAACGGAAUCCCGAUCAGAGUCUCCCAACAGGUCGGUUUCUACUCCGAUCAGGGCUACCGGAGAUCAAACCCAAGUUAGAUCUCAUAUUUAGCAAAACCCUAAUUUGACCCUAGGGUUUCCAUAAACUACUAAAUACCCCAUCUCUCAUGGAGAUUCAUGAAUUAAUCCACCAUACAUCUUCUAGAAACAACAACUAGAAGGAGAUUAACUAAAACCCUAGCUUAAUACCACAAGAACUCACCUUGAUUUCAAGCUUCCUCCUCAACCCUUGCACAAGAGCCAGCUUCACCACUAAGCAAGCCUUCUUCUCUACCAAUCUUCCCUCUUGGAGCAAACCCUAGAGAAAGAGAAGAAGAAUAGAGAAAGGGAGAGAGUAGAGAAAGAACUUUUCUCUUUGCUUGUUGGUGAUGUGGGGAAAUGAAAGGGAAAACCUCAAACACCCUCAUAUAACACUCCCCAUAACACAAUUACACCCAGGCCCUUCUCAAAUAACAGAGUUGGACCAAUCCUACAUUUUUGCGCGUACGUGGUCCGGACCUUGCACUCAGGGUCCGAACCCCGAGAGCGUUUCUAGCACAACUUGAGCUGAAAUUUUCCCAGCUUGCUUUCUAAAGUCCCAACACUCAUCUAAUAUACUGCGAAACACUCGAAACAAUUAACGGACCUCACCAACUAGCACAACACCACACUUCGGUCAAUUUGACUGAAGUUUAGUACAACCUAUUGAAGUUUCGAUCUAUUACAUUCUCUACCCGUUAAAAAUAGUUUCGUCCGCGAAACUCAAUUCCAUACCUUAGCUUAGGGACUCGAAUAGAUGAGGAUAGGUCUUUUGCACUACCUUCUCAAGUUCCCACGUGGCUUCACGCUCAGUAUGAUUGCUCCACUGAACUUUUACAUACGGAAUUGCACGAUUCCGCAACUUUCUUUCUUCUCGAGCUAAGAUGCACACUGGAUAAUCCUCGUAAGUUAUAUCCUAGCGCAACUCCACCGGUUCAUACUCCAAAACGUGAGAGGAAUUGUGGGCAUACUCACGGAGAUUAGACACGUGAAACACGUUGUGAACUCCCGCAAGCUUCGGUGGUAAUGCAAUUCUAUACGCCACCGCACCCACGCGCUCUAAUAUCUCAUAUGGUCCAAUAAAUCGGGGACUAAGCUUCCCUUCGACCCCAAAUCGCUUUACACCACGCAUGGGUGACACCUUCAAGAAAAUGUGGUCUCCAACCACGAACUCAAGAUCCUUUCGACGUUUAUCGGCGUAACUUCGCUGCCGCGACUGCGGUGUCGCAAGCCGUUGACGGGCAAGGCGAACUUUCUCUUUCACCUCCCGCAACACAUAUAGACCAAGGGCAACUCUCUCACCCACUUCACUCCAGUGAAUAGGGAAGCGGCAUUUCUUUCCAUAAAGGGCCUCGAAUGGCGCCAUUGCAAUACUUUCCUAAUAGCUAUUAUUGUACGCGAACUCCGCUAUCGGCAAAUAAUCGUGCCAUCCACUCUUGUAGUCAAGUACACACGCUCGAAGCAUGUCCUCAUGAAUUUGUACUGUUCUCUCCGUUUGACCAUCGCUCUGAGGAUGAAAUGUUGUGCUAAAGCUGAGCCGUGUGCCUAGAGCGUCUUGCAAGCUAUUCCAAAAGUGAGAGGUGAACCUGGGGUCUCAAUUCGAUACUAUGGACGCCGGAUGUCACGCCCCAACACCUACCUAUUUGGUCGGAUUCGGGCACGCCGACAGACCGCCGAACGGACAGAGUCUCCCCUGUACGUCCUAGGCUUCACAAUCCAUACAAAGCACGAGGCCCCAACCAGGGACAGUAAUCAAGCAAGGAUUGCAUAAGGAAGUAUCAAAAACAUAAAUGCAGCUAUGCUAUUACAAGCAUUCGCCCCAUGUUUACAUAUUACAAUUGAUUUACAUUUAACUUCCAAAUACAACCAUCUAUUACAAACCAUUACAAGUUUGUUCUUUCAUCUCUAACCCCUAAGCUAAACCACUUCGGGUAUAAUAUACCGAAAUUCGGUAGUGUAUAUCGAACUUUAGUCAAAUUGAUUAAAGUGUGUGAAAGGAAUAGUUGGAUAAGGUCCAUUUAACAUUCCAACAAUAUUGGAAGGGUUAAAGUUGAGUUCCAAAUAAGUUAGAAAGGUUUUAGCAUUGCUCAGCGCGAAUUGGAGUCGAAACGAUGCGAGAUUGAAAAUCUAGACCUUUUGUUACCGGUAAUGUAUUGACCUUGUACCGGUACCAUGCAUCAGACCGAGAGAAGCAGCUCUCGGGUUUGAGAAAAAAAGGCUGUUGAACAAGUGACACCUCUGGUGUGUACCAAUACCAAGUCAGUUACCCGAGAGAAGCAGCUCUCGGGUUAGCCUCUGCGUGAUCGUGUUACCGGUGACAAAAUCACCUUGUACCGGUACCAAGUGCCCCUCGCAGCAGACUUUGGUCUGCUGCAAAUAUGAAUUGAAGGAGGGUCUUUUUGCAAUUUUGGCAGCCUAUAUAUGACCCCACACCCCUCCAUUCUCUCUUCACAGCUGAGAACCCAUCUCCAUCUCAUUUCUCUCCCUCUCUCUCUCUCUAGAAACUCUCUCCAAGGCUAAGGAGGAGCUCAAGAGGUGAAUUUUGGGAGAAGAUUUGGAGCUUUUGAAGGGUUUGGAGCUCACCUACAAGUAGGACCUUGGAGAGCUAGUGGGCUAAGGUGAGGUUUCUUGUAAGAUUAGGGUUGGGGCUUGGUUUUAUGCCCUAGAUUUUUUGUUUUGAUCUUCUUACAAGUGUAAAAACCUAGUAGAGGCCAUGAACACAUGAAAAUUCAUGUUUUCUUCAUGAGCUCUCAUGGUAGAUUUCUAGGGUUCAUGUUAGAUGCCCUAAGAAUGGUUUGAAUGAUCUAAAAAUGGUUUUAGAGAAGUUCUGAGAUGUUUCUAAGCUAGUUUUUGCUUAGUUCUAAGAUCAAAUUAAGAAAUGAGGCUAUAUAUCAUUGUUAGGGCAUCCAAAAGAGGGGUUGUGCUCAAAUAGAGUUUUGAUCUAAAUUGAGCUCAUACAAACCUAAUUGCUAGGUAUACGAACGCGUUGGUGUGUUCGGUUCGGCAAUCCGACGAGUGUACGCAUAAAAAUCGGAAAAAAAGUCGAUUUUGGUACAGAUUGCCGCAGCACACGGAAUAGGUGCCAAAAAAUUCUAAGAAUUGAACCGUAGCACCUUUACAACCAUAUGAGGUGGGUAGUGCCUUCCGAAAUCAUUGAAUUUUCUGUUAUGUCUAAAGUGUUAUUUUUGAGAAUAUGAAUGUAUACUUUGUUCAUGCAUUGUAGGGUGAGUGGAAUGUGUAUAAUUGCAUGCUUUGAGUAUAAGAUGCAUUUGAGAUAUUAUGAGCUAUUGAUAACAUGUGAAACCCUAUGUACGCAUGAAAAGUGAUAAAGACUUAGAUGAGGUAAAGAACCAAAUUGACAUUAUGACAUAUGAAUUGUGUGGCAUUAGUAAAGAACGAAAGCUAGAGUUUGGACACUUAGUGUGUGUGGCAUCAAUGAGUUUUGAAUGCUAGAGUUGAACACUUAGUGUGGCAUUAAUGAGAAUAAUGAAUGCAUGAAAAUGAGUAUAAAGAACAAGUAGUGUAAAUGACACUAAUGCAAGUUAAAGAAUGCAAGUAAAGAGAGAUAGUUGACAUUAUGACAUAGCAGCUUUAAAGUUAAGCAUCAUAUGAGCAUAACAUCCUUAUAGUGAAGGAUUGGAUUGAACUUGGCAUCCUUACAGUUAAGGAUUGAUCAUACUCACCUAUAAGUCUUGGCUCGAAGGGCGGUAGCUCUCCCUCGAGCGAUAAGCUCAGGAGUUGUCAUUACUGGGUUAUAGCGAGUAUCUCCCCAGAGGACGGUCCCGUCGGAUUGUAGCGAGUAUCUCCCCGAUACUAGGAAUUUGGGUUGGUGAGUGGUUGGUUGAGGCUAAACCUACGGGUUAGCCAAAAGUACCGAGAAUUGGAAUACUUGAUGGUUGAGGUGAAACCUACGGGUUAGCCAAAAGUACCGGAAAUUAGAAAGUGACCUUGCAUUCAUUAUGAGCAUUCUAUUUGAGCAUAAUCAUUGAUUAUAUUGUUCAGGUAUAUUAGUUGUAUUUGUUAGUUGGUUACUAUCUAUCUAUUUUUCUAUUAUGCCUGAUUUAGACCUAGUGGGAAAGUCGGCGACGUCGGCGGCCGAACCCACUGAAAAUUUUGUUGUAGUUCGCACCCUACUAUUUCCACAGAGCCGGGACCGAGUGAGGCGGCCGACGAUCGCGGUAAAGGUAUCGUGCCAUAGACAGGGACCGCCCGAGCGGGCUUUAUUUUAUUUAGUUGCAUACCCUUUUGUAUAUCAUCUUUUGUACUUGAUUAUUAUAGAUGUUUAAAUGAAAGAACAUGAAUGAUGUAAGAGAGUUUAUGUUUAAAUGCAUAAAGUUAUAUUUUGGGAAUAUGUGAUGUAAAAAGAAAUGAUGCAAAAGAAUGUAAAAGAAUUCAAAUGUUGAUUGCAUGUAUGUGGUUAAAAGUUAAUCAUAUUACUUGUAUACAUGUUUAGUUUAGUACUUUCACUUUGGCUAUUGCUUGCCCUCGUGCAAGCCAAGUAUAUUUAUUUUUCCGCUAUUCAAUUUAUAUACUUGCUCUGUACUUGUUGUUGAGCCUUGGGUGGAUAGGGGAGGUGCUGUCCAUUCGGCGUCUGUUUGACGUGCUCGAACCGGCCAAAUAGGACCGGGCUCGGGGCGUGACAUUGGGGUACCACUAUCUCUGGUCUAAUGGUAGGGUGCUAUCUACGGAGCUACGUCCUUUCCUCGCGCCACCGCGACGCCGCGCCGCUCACGUGUGAACCUAAAACCCCAAAACCACGUGGGGUGAGAACUAUUGUCCAUAGUUCCCAGUGGGUACGGCCACCCAAGGAAAGAGCUCGACCUACCAGGUCCAAAGAGGCAGUGCAACAUGUUAGUCCAACAAAUAUCUACAGAUAUAUAUAUAUAUAUAUAUAUAUAUAUCAUCAUGUAUUUAUGCAACUAACAAUUAUCAUGUUCAUGCCUCUCAGCAUGCAAUAUGAACAUGAUGCAACUCUGCAACCAACUAGUAGAUCAAUUGAUACUACUUCCAAUCCUGCUAUUCAUAGCUCAUAUCAUCUAGCCUCUAAGGUUUCUACUACCUCAGUUUCACAGCUCAAGUCCAACUAGCUUCUAAGGUUUCUACCACCUUAGAUCUUGCCAUUUACCCCUAGCUUUUAAGGUUUCUACCACCUUAUCCAAGCUAUCCACUCGACUCGGCCUCGAGUUAAUCAUCCGCGAACUACCGCGUACUGGCUGCUACAACAGCCCACUGCGCUCAUUGACUUAACCAUCUGGCGACGAAAUUGUCGCACACGCCAAACAAUGGCUCAAGUUAAUCCUGGUGGCAUUAUCCACAAACGGGCUUAACUAUCUGGCGGCAAAAUCGUCGCACACGCCGAACAAUGGUUCAAGCCUCCGGGUGGAGAACUCGGCGCACACACCCCCUUCCUCCCUUGGUAUCAGUCUUGGCGGCGAAAUCGUCGCACACGCCCUAGCCUUAAUACCAAGGUCAUCAUGAGUCCUGAGAUUCUGGAAUCCACUUCCACAUCUCAAGGGUCAUAUGCAAACCCUAUAGUGUCGACCUAUCUAGGUUCGUCGACCCAUAAACUUCCUAGUGGCUGCUACUACUAUAGUCCACAACCUAGGUUCAACGACGCUAGGUUCUAUGUCAUCUCUACCUAGAUCUCAACUUCUAGGUUCACUUGUUCAACCUAUGUUUACUAACACUAGGUUCAGUGCGACUCAUAUCCAACCUAUGUUCAUGAUACUAGGUUCAAUGCCACUCGAUCUACUUGACAUUCUACUUGUCCACAUCGAGUAUUAUAGCUUUCAUGUUCUUGGUUUCCAAUGUUGAGUUCUCUAAUCAACCUAGAGUUAUUGACCCAAAUUAACAUCUACUUGAAUCUAGCACAGGCUACAACCUGUCAACAUGCAUACAUAAUCUAACCUGAUCCACAACAUGUCAACAUGCAUUUCAUCUAGCAUAUUCUUCAAUAUGUCAUAAUGCAUUCAUCUAGCAUUUCUACAUUAUGUCAACAUGCAUUCAUGGUAGUCUAACAUAGCAUUCAUAUGUUCUACAACUAGCUACCAUUAUAUGCAUCAAUGAUAAAUCUCACUUCGCAUCGAUAUGGAAGCGAGCUCGCAACGCUUUUCGAUUGCUUGUCGACACUUACAAUCGGCCUCUCGUGGCACUCGUUGUCCGGUUCGGCUCGAACUCGCAAAUGAUCACCAACCGCACGUUGAUCCGUGACCUAGGGUCUUCAAGGGCCCAUCUCUAACCUUCAAUUAGAGAUUAAUUGGGUUUAAUUAGAUCAAAACCCACCAUUUGCCCAAAAACCCAUUCCAAGCCCUAGCCUUAGCAUCAUCUCCAAAUAACCCAAAUCUCAUGGAGAAAACAUGCUAAAAAUGCUUUAGAGGCUACUAGAACACUAAGAAUUAAGGAUUAAAUCAAAUCCCAAAAGCUUACCAAAAUGCGAAUGCCGAGUCGAAAGCACGCCGCUCCAAUGGGCGCACGAAGACUCAAGCCGUCGCCUCCCACGUGUUCCCAAGCUUCUUCUCCUCCAAGAUCUAUAGUUUGGGAGAGAGAUAUAGAGAAAGUAGGGAGUAUUCUGGAAAGAGGAGAGAGCCUUUCUCUCUAACUCCAUGUGUGUGUGUGUUGGUGCUAGCUGGGAGGAAGAAGAAAGGGGGUGUUGGCCCCUUUUUAAAAGCAACCUUCACACAAUUACCAAUCAGUCUCUGCUGUUUCUGGGCAUUUUUCGGGCUCAGGGUCUGGACCCCGUAGGUCCAGAAAAUCAGCAAAUUUCGGACUUAGCCAAAAUUUCAGCCUUUUGCCAUUUCUUCUCUGUUUUCGCUCGUUUUUGCUUCGUGGGUCUCCGAUUCACUUCUAAUCGUACCGAGACCCCCAAAACACAUUUUCGAGCAUGUCUAUACCAUCUUUUCAUCCACGCCUUGCCAGAUUCCGGCCAAGGUCCAAUCUAGCUAUUCGAGUUCCAUUUUCGCGUCUAACUCGCACCGAAAACCAUCGGAUGCACCCGAAUCUCACCGGAACUACUCCAAGAAUAGCUUUCCAAACUAACAUACCCCGUAACUUCAUAACUAUAGAAGUUCGGUAUGCUACACCGGAACCCCAUGCAAUCUCACAACCUCAUCAAGAUAUACCUAUGCCAAUUUAUCCCCGAACCAAGUGGUAUGGAUCAGCAGGAAAUGAGCCGAUUUUGUCAAGCGAUCCACCACCACCCAAAUCGCAUCAUGUCCGGCUUGCGCCACAAACUCACCAACAUCUCUCUUCAUCCCCGGCCACCAAUAAUGCACUUUUAGGUCUUUGUACAUUUUAGUGCCGUCUGGAUGCACAUUAUAAGGAGAUAGAUGUGCUUCUAACAAUAUUGCCUUUCGAAUACCUUCAUCCUUGGGCACACACCAACGGUUUCGAAAUCGAAGUGCACCAUCGGACCCUACGCUGAAAUUACCAGCACGCCCGUUCUCAACUUCACCCCGCACCUUUUGGAGAUAAUGAUCCGAUGCUUGUUGUGCCAUAAUCUUCUCCAACAAGGUUGGUUGAACCACCAAUGCGGCAAGAAUAGUCGGCAUCUCUGGAGCUACUACCUCAAGGCCAAACCGUUGCAUCUCCCUCUGCAAUGACGGUUGGUGCGUAAUUGUCAUAGCCAAAUUUUCCACCGACCCUUUACUCAACGCAUCAGCCACUACGUUGGCCUUUCUCGGGUGGUAAAGAAUAGUGACAUCAUAAUCCUUUAACAAUUCUAACCACCGCCGCUGCCGCAUAUUCAAUUCCUUCUGGGUGAACAAGUAUUUCAGGCUUUUAUGGUCUGUGUAUACCUCACAGUGCUUACAGUACAAGCAAUGCCUUCAUAGCUUCAACACGAAUAUGACCGCAGCUAGCUCAAGGUCAUGUAUAGGAUAGUUCUUCUCAUAGCUCUUCAAUUGCCGAAAAGCAUAAGCAGAAACUCAUCCAUUUUGCAUCAGAACACACCCAAGACCACUAUAUGAAGCAUCACUAUACACCACAAAACUUUCCACCGGAAUUGGUAAAGCGAGUACCGGGGUCGAAGUCAAUUUUUUCUUCAACUCCUUAAAGCUCCGAUCACAAUCGUCGCUCCACACAUACUUCGUUCCUUUGUGCGUAAGGCGUGUUAGUGGAGUAGUUAUUUUGGCAAACCUCUCCACGAACUGCCGAUAAUAAUCCGCAAGGCCAAGGAAACUACGAAUCUCCGCGACGUUCGUCGGACGAGGCCAAUCGCUAAUCGCCUCAACUUUUUUUGAAUCAACCGAGACACCACUCCUAGAAAUCACAUGACCUAAGAAGGCGACCUCACGUAGCCAAAAGUCGCACUUCUUCAGCUUGGCAUAAAGCUUCUCUUUUCGGAGACUUUGCAGCACGGUUCUCAAAUGCUCCUCGUGCUCUUGAUCACUUCGAGAAUAGACCAAUACGUCGUCAAUAAACACCACAACACAUUGGUCCAACAAUGGCCGAAAGACUCGAUUCAUCAAGUCCAUAAAUACUGCAGGGGCAUUGGUACCGAACGGCAUCACCGUGAACUCAUAAUGGCCAUAACGCGUACGAAACGCCGUCUUAUGUAUAUCCUCCGGCUUGAUCUUCAAUUGGUGAUACCCCAACUGAAGAUCAAUCUUUGAAUAUAUCCGAGACCCUUGCAACUAGUCGAAUAGAUCGUCAAUUCUAGGCAACGGCUAUUUGUUGCAGUUGAGCUUUUAACUCUCUUAACUCCGCCGGUGCCAUUCUAUACGGAGCCUUCGAAAUUGGUGCCGUCUCUGGAACUAAGUCAAUGACGAACUCGAUCUCCUGGUCCGGUGGCAAUCCCGGUAACUUCGCCGGAAACACAUCCGAAAACUCGCAUGCUAUCGGAAUAUUCCCAAGCAUUGGGAGCUCCCUUUGAGUCUCCACCACCGUCGGCAAGUAAACCACACAUCCACUUUUGAUCAACUUUCUCGCUCUCGAUGCCGACACUGUCGCCGCGAAGCGCAAGCUCUUUCACGCCCGAUAAACCACUUUCUCCUGGUUGGGCUCACGAAAAGUAAUCACCUUGCUUUCGCAAUCAAUGACGGCAUAAUAUUUUGAGAGCCAAUCGAUUCCAAGGAUCAUAUCAAAGCCCCACAUCCGACUCAGAACAAGCAAGUCCGCCGGCAUAAUCCAAUCGCCGAUUUACACUGGACAAGCCGCACAUUCCUCCUUGACACUAAAGGUAUACUCAGGUGUGUAGACCCACCAAGCAUCCAGACUGUCCGAUAUCUCAAUAUCAUGAGCUCUGGCGACUUAUGCGCCAAUGAAUGAAUGGGAUGCACCAGUGUCAAACAAUGCUCUAGCUCUAGUGCCAUUAAUUAAAAUAAUACAUGCGACAACAUCAUCAGGUAAGGCGGGCUCCUCCACCUGAGCGGCGAAAACCCGGCCACUCAGUGCCGCCCGAGAUCCCUCUGGCUGACGUGGCACUGACGAGCGUCCAGUCGACAUAGCAGGUGGCAGUCCCGCGAGCUGUCUCGCGGUGUACUGAACUGAUGCAAUCGUCUGGGCGGACGAUAUCCAACUCGGGCACUCCCGUAUAACGUGUCCAGCUUGGCCACAUCUAAAACACCUCCCCUCACGCUGUGGGCAGACCGGCGGUCAAUGAUCACUGCCGUAGAUAACACAUUAGGCAGGUCUCCAAUUCUUCGACUGCCGUCGUGGAUAUCGAGGAGGCCUCUUAGGACUUGACCGAUCCCCGGCACCACUCGCAGUCCGCUUCUUUUCUUUGUCCCUUUCUUUUUCCAUAAACUCGCGCUCCCCACGCGCAUAAGCAUUGCCGUACUCCUCCCACAACGCCCGAUCCAAUACCUCUGUAAAGGUCGUGAGCUUGAGGAUAUGCACCGCCUUAUAAAUUUUCGGCCGAAGUCCUUGCAAGAACCAAUCAGCCCUAUCCUUGUCAUCCAGAACCACAUCCGGGACACAGUCAAUAAUAUGAAAAAUCUCCCACUCAUAUUCUCCCACUGAGCGAUUCCCCUAUCUCAGCUUCCGAAACUGAUCCUGAAGUUUUAUUUUUCUCACUAUCGGGGAAGUAGUUUGUGAACAUCAAUCCCCGAAACUUCUCCCAAACCAUAGGCGGAAGGUUGGAAGGUUGAUCUCGCUUCACCUUUUUCCACCACACCUUCGCCACCUUCUCCAAAUAGUGAGUGGCAAGGUGCACUUAUCUUUCUCCAAGGUAUAAAUAUCCUCGAGGAGCGUUUUCAUCGAGUCGACCCACGACUCCACCAUCCAUGGCUCCAUUUUCUCUCCGUCGAACACAUACGGAUUGAACUUCUUAAACAUCACGAGGGCCGCGAGUGCACGCUCCCUCUCCGCCUCCAUCGCCGCAUCUUCGGAAUUUGAGGUCUCGAACCGGCUGCCACUGCCGCGACUGGUAUAGCCACCACGGCCAUGCCUCGGUCGCAUUCGGUAUUACGACAGGGGGCCAGGUCGCCUGAUGCCUGCUUGAGUCGAAGUCGUCUACUGUUGCGCCCAAGCCUCCUGGCGUCGCUUGAUUUGCUCCUCCUGUCGUUGCACCGACUUCACUUGUUGUCGCACUAUUCUUAUAAGUGCAGACACCUGCUCCCAAAGCUCCUCGUUGCCACUCGCUUCGAAUUGCUCGAAAUCUGAACUCGAUUCCUCGGGCGUCGACUUUGUUCGAGGUCUACCACGAGGCAUCGCUUCCUGAAACAUAGCAACCACAUUAGUUACUUGUCUACGACGCUAACGUGCCAAUAUAACAUGCCCCAAACAAAACCAAAUCAGGCAAAAGCAUACAAGUGAAUCCAUUCUCAUCUCUAGGCAUCAUGCCGUCGGCCGCCCAAUAUAACCCUUGGAGUAGAGAAUAAAUAUCAACUUGGAUUAGUCCCUCAUUACCGUUAGACUACCCAAUCCGCAUGGCUUUCGCUAUACAGUGAUUCCACGUCGCUCACGUCCCUAGAUCCUUAAGGUUUCCAUCCUAAGGGUUCCUAGGUCUAUCCUAAACUUUCACUUUUCUAGGUGACUCUGAUACCAUUAUAUCUGUCACGCCCCGCGACCGCCGAUUUGGUCGGUUCGGGCACGUCAAAAGACGCCGGGCGGACGGCACCUCCCCUGUCCGCCCAAGGCACAACACAAGUAUCAACAUGUAUAUAAUUUUGCGCAACGAAAUUUUUGAUAUGCAUGGCUUGCACGAGGGCAAGCAACAACCAAAAGUGAAAGUACUACCACUAUUAUUACAUUCACACAUGUAUCAUGAUUACAUUAAACCAUAUACAAGCAUACUAUUCUUUACAAUCACUUAUACAUAAUACAUUUCAUGUCCUCCAAAAUAUAUGCCAUUUAUACAUCACUUAUACAUUUUCCUCACAACCAAAAGGUGAACCAGUUAUCACUAAUACAUGGGUGUCUGCUAUCAUUUUAGGCGCUAUGCCCUUGCUACGAUUGCACUGAGCCGAAGAAGACUCAGGAGCAACGGACCACGUAGCGAGGAAUCAGAUGGGAUUCGUCGAGUACCGUCGUGUGCUUGCUGGGAGCAGAAGAGUAUACAUGGGGAACAAUUCGAGUAUCGAUGUAUUAGGCGUUGGCACAUAUAAGUUGAUCAUGCAAAGUGGUCAAACCUUGUACUUUCAUGAUGUACUUUAUACUCCAGGAAUUCGAUGAAACUUAUUUUCUAUUCUUGCUAUGCUCCAUUUAGGAUUUUCUUUUAGUUUUGAGAAUGAUAUAAUUAAGAUUCAUCUUGGAACUAUUUAUUAUGGAAGAGCUUUUAUUUCAAAUAGUUUUAUGAUUUUGGACAUUGAUUAUAAUAAUAAUGAUAGUGGUUCUUUUUCCUUACUAUCUUCUAUUGAGAAUGAUCACAAUGUUUGAAUUAAAUGCCAUGCACGUCUUGGUCAUAUUGGGCUGGAUAGAAUGAGUAGAUUAGUUAGAGACGGGCUAUUGAGCUCGCUCACUAAAGUCGACUUGCCCAUAUGUGAACAUUUCUUAGCGGAAAAAGCGACCCGAAAAUCAUUUAAUAAAGCUUCUAGGGCAGAAUUUUCUUUACAAUUGAUCCAUUCCAACAUUUGUAGCCCAAUGAGUGUGAGGGCAAGACAUAGUGCUUUUUACUUCAUCACAUUUAUAGAUGACCAUACGCGCUUCGGUCAUAUUUAUCUGAUCUCCAAUAAAUUUGAAGUAUUGGAUUGGUUUAGACGUUAUAUUAAUGAGGUUGAGAAUCAGUUAGAUAUGAAUAUUAAAACCUUAAAAAAUGAUCGAGGCCGCGAGUAUCUAUCUGAACAAUUUAAGAAAUUGUGUGAUGAAAAGGAAAUAAUCAGACAGUUGACAAUUCCUGGCACUCUACAGCAAAAUGGUGUAGCGGAAAGAAGAAAUCACACCUUGCUUGACAUGGUUAGGUCAAUGAUGGCGCAAGCAAAUUUUCCUAUCUCCUUUUGGGGAGACUUAUUGUUAACUGCUGCCUACAUUCUUAAUCGUGUGCCCUCCAAGACAGUACCUUUCACCUCUUAUGAAUUAUGGACAGGCAGGAAACAAUAUUUUGAGCACCUGUGUCCUUGGAGUUCGACAGCUUAUAUACACAACACUUCUCACAAGCAUGAAAAGUGGGGUCCUAGAGGAAAGAAGUAUAUCUUUAUAAGAUACCGUGAACACUCUAAGGGAUACAUGUUCAUUGGAAAGCAGCAAGAUGAAAGUUUGACUGAGAUUGAGGCAUGAGAUGUUGAAUUCCUCGAGGAGGAUUUUCCUUAUAGAAGUGAGGUUCGAAAUGAAAUUGUGUUCCAUUAGAUGGAUGACUCUGAUGUUGGUGCUUCUAUUCGUUCAGUUGAGGCAAAGGAGGCGUCUCCGAUACCUCUUGGGGAUAGUGUGAACGACUUACCUUUUGUAACAUAUCGAACUUCUAUAAUUAUAAAGUUACUGUGUAUGUUAGUUUAGAAAGCCAUUAGAAUGGUUCCAGUGAAGUUUUGGUGCGUUCGGGUGUUUUCAAUACGCGUCGCGCACGAAAACGGAACCCGAAAAGCUAUGAUUUGACCUUGGCCGAAAUCCGGCAAGGCGUGGAUGAGAAAAUGGUUUGAACACGCUUGAAAACAUGUUUUGGAGGUCUCGAUGCGAUUUGAGCCGAAUCGAGGACCCACGGAGCGAAAACGAACGAAAACGGAGAAGAAAUGGAAAAAGGCUGAAAUAUGCUGAUUUUCUGGACCUACGGGGUCCGGUCCCUCUAGCCAAGGACCGGUCCCCGAGCCCGAAAAAUACACAGUAGCAGUGGCAAACUUGUAAUUAAAUGGUGGGGUGUUGACUUAAAAAGGGGGGUCAUCUCUUUCCUCCAUCCCUCAACCAUUUUUGGCCCUAAAGCAGCACACACACACACAAAUGGAGUAGAGAGAGAAGCUCUCUCCUCUCUCUAGAAUACUCUCUCUUCUCUGUAGAUCUCUCUCUCAAAUUCAGGAUUUUGGAGGAGAAGAACCUUGUGAACGCGUGAGAGGCGACGGUUUGGGCCCUCGCGCGCCCGUUUGAGCGGGGUGCUUCCGUCUUGGCGUUCAGAUUUUGGUAAGUAUUUAGAAUUUGGUUAAAUCCUUGAUGCUUCGUAUUCUAAUGAUCCCUAGGCUAUUAAAUGCAUGUUUCUCCAUGAGCUUGAGGUUAUUUGGGGAAUAUGCUCAUGCUAGGGCUUGGAAUGGGGAUUGGGGAUUUUGUGGGUUUUAACUAAUUAAACCCUAUGUUUCUCUAAUUGAAGGUUAGAGAAGGGUCCCAAACACAUCUAGGCUGCGAAUUAGCAUGCGGUUGGUGAUCGUUUGCGAGUUCGGGCCGAACCGGACAACGAGUACCGCGGGAGGCCGAUUGCAAGUGUCGACAAGCAAUCGGAAAGUGAUUUGAGGUGGGUUGUGCUCACCGAAGUUAUUAGCUCGCUUCCAUGUCGAAGCGAAGUGAGAAUUAUUAUUGAUGCAUGCAUUGUCACGUCCCGCUAUCGCCAAUUUGGUCGACCCGGGCCCGUACACAGACGCCAAACGAACAGCACCUCCUCUGUUCGCCCAAGGCUCAACAACAACGGAUACAUGUAUAAAGAAAUUGAACGAUUCCCAGGAUCACAUUUCAAUAUACAUGGCUUGCACGAUGGCAAGCAAUAAACACAAGUGAUAGUAAAGCUAGCUAAACAUGGAAUUUCACUGUAAUUUAAAACUUCAAACUAAAUUACAUAACUAGAACAUUUAGUUAUUUACAUGUCCUUCAAUACAUUCAUUUAUAUGUCUCUGUACAUCAAAAUAGAUGAUACAUGAACCCAAAAUGGUAUACCACUAGUACUCGGUGUCCACUAGCUAGGCUGCUGGCUCUUGCCUCGAUCCUCGGCCACAAUACUCGCAAUGGAACCUGUAUGAUUAGUGGUGUGAGAACUACAAGAGAGUUCCCAGUGGGUUCGGCCGCCGACCUCGCCGACUCACCCACUAGGUCUACUCAGGCAUAUGUAGGCAAGAAAAGUAAACUGAGAUAGUAACCAACUAUAAUAUGUAACUACUACAAUGCCUGUGCAAAGCUGAAGGAAGUAGUAUACGAAAACUGUAAAUAUGCAUGCAUGAUUUCACUAAAUUUACCCAAUUUACUUGUUAACCCUUUGGUUAACUGCAACUCACCAACUCAAUCCCUGGCGGGCCCUAAGCUGCUUCCCGACGGGACAGACGUUGGUUAACUCUUUGGUUAACAAUAACUCAAUCAAUCCAGCUAACCAAUUGGUUAACUACAACUCACCAACUCAAUCCCUAACGGGCCCUAAGCUGCCUCCCGAUGGGACCGUCUGCUGGACAGAUACUUUAGUCCAUGGGCAGAUACUUUAGCCCAACAUGUGACCACUGCGGAGCUCACUGCCUGAGGGGAGCGACCACCACCAAGCCAAUAACAGACUAUGAGAGUAAGAUCUGAUCCUCCUUUAGAGGAUUCAAUAACUGACAAUGCUACCAUUUAACUUCUAACUAGCUCUUUAUGCUAGUUUCAUGGUUUCAUUUCUCGAUGUUAACCAAAUCUCUAGUCAUGAUGUCACCAAGUUUACUAUUGUCCUGCUCCUUUACAAUUUCAUACAUUCAUAGGGUUCAAUGUUCACAUUCACUGUUCAUAUUCUUACUAUCUAUAGGAAUUUACAUAUUCAUUUAUCACUUUCAUAUACUUUCAAAAUGCCAAUACCCUGUGAGUAAAAUCUAAUCCUCCUUUAGAGGAUUCAAUCAUAACCAAUGUCAUACUUAUCCUCCUUUAGAGGAUUCAUUAACUGGCCAUGCCACAAUUUAAGUCUAACUAGCUCUUUUUGCUAGUUUCACUGUUUCAUUUCUCAAUGCUAUCCAAUUCUCUAGUUAGAAUGUCACCAAGUUCACUAUUGUUAUAGUCCAUACAUUCAUAGGGUUCUAUGUCCGCAUUCUAAUGUUCACAUGUUUUUACUGUUGAUAGGAAUUCACACUUUUACUUGCACAAUGCCAAUACCCUAUAAUGCAUGACUACCAAUAUAAAUAUGCUCAAUGAAUUAUCAUAGACAUAAAAGAUGAUUCAAAGACUUCGGAUAGCACCACCCACCUGUAGGGAUGUCGGAGACUAGAACCAACAUCAAGAACCGUAUAAACAUUAGUCCACGCGACUCGAUGCAAGUAAAGCUAGAAUGAAGCGUUUCUUAAUUUUCGCAUCGUAGGUCCGUCGGAAUGUCAAUUCGAACUUUCGAGCUUUCCAACGCGUCAGUUUUACCCUCUAUUAGGUUUCCACACAAUCAAUUCCAAGCUAGAUCUCAAAUCCUACAAAAAUGCAUUUUCGAGUUAAAGCUUUAUACAAUCUACUACUAAUAAAUCUCACAAAAGCACAUAGAGUAACUCAACUCUAAUCAGCCCAAGUUUUACUUCAACCCAACUUAUAUACACAUGCUGUUUAUAACACCAUUUCUAAGUUCACAUAGCAAUAUCUAACACACAUCUUCUUUCUAUGUUUCAUGGCAACUUCAAAGUCUAGUAAUUAAGAAACCCUUUUAUAGGGUAAAUUCCAUAACUCUAAUAAAGAAACAGCACACUUACUUUGGGUUUCACUACUAACCCUUAGCUCACAUAUAUGAUGUUCACAAUGUAGUUCUCUAUCACUAGGUUCUCAUGGCGAUAGGAGCUCUAGUUUAAUAUAACAUAUUUCUACCCACUUUCUAUAAGAACCUAUAUAGAAAUAAUUCGCUAAGUCAAUACGUUCUGUUAACAAGUUAAAUUAACUUCUAUUUAAUACAAAUGCCCAAUUAAAUACUUCAACUUAAGGUUAAUUAGCUAAUAGGCUAUAUACUAGUGGGAGCACCUCUCAAAAUACAUGCAACGUUUCAUACAUGCCUAUUUGCCAUAAUUAAUUAUCUCCCUCAUGCUAAUAAAGUAAUUAGCAUGCUUCAUUCAUGCUUCGUACAUGCUUCAUACAUGCCAUAAUUAAUUAGCAUACAUGCUUCAUAUAUGCUUCAUACAAUAAUUAUCAUGCGUGCUACAUACAUGCUUCAUUAAUACUUCAUCAGAGGAAGCAUACAUGGUUCAUGCAUGCUUCAUAAUUAGCACGUUUCAUACAUGCCCAUUUCCCAUUUGCCAUAAUUAACUAUCUCCUUCAUGUAGAUAUACAUAGAAUAUGCAUAAUGGUAAAUAUAUUCUAUAGUAGCAGGAGCUUAAUUAAUUAGCAUGCUUCCUUUUCACAUACGAGGGUUGUGGAGUCAAUUACCUUCCAUGGCUAUUUAAUACACCUUUUUCUGUAACUAACUUCGCAGUCGGAGCGUCGGAAACAUCCAACGCGCUCGGAGGAUCGAUCGGCUCGUUGAGUAGUUGAAGAUCCUCACUUCUCUUUUUCUUCUUUUCCUUCUCUUUUUUCCUUUUCUCUUCCUUUCCCUCUCUCUCUCAUGCGUACAGGGUGAAGAGGAAGUGGAUAAGAAUGGUCCCCUGGCAGCUUAGUCACUAAGAAAUGCACAAUUGCCUUUAGGUCCAUAAAUAUUAAGCAUACAAAUUUUAGUCCAACUCAGAAUCUGAUACUUUUCGCCGGAGCCCUUCUAAAUGUCCGUUUUCGCUCAAAUUUGACAGUCAAGCUCGGUUUAACUUAAUAAGAAUAAAGAAAUUUUAAUCUUUCAGUUUCGACCCUUUUUUGUCACCGAAAGCUCUACCAACUAACAUUUUAACAGAUAGCUUAUUUUUCACUUUCCAGGUGUCAGAAUGGUAUGAAACUUUAAAUCUAGCCUCAUAAGAAUAAUCCUGAUAUAUUUCGAGAUUUUCAUAAUUUUCUGACACUAUGCAUUUUCUGCUAAAAUAUCAGCCCCGUUUUUUACAGAAAAUUCUAAUUCUACCGUUUUCACUCCGAUUUCGGCACGAGUCAUUCCAGACUAACGUGGGUACACCAUAAAUUAUCCCCAAGCCUCACAUUAAUUCUUUUAAUGAAAUUUAACAUCGAAAAUCCGAAAAUUCUAUUUACAUUUCGUUUCGCGCCCAAUUUGCGCCGAAACACUUAUUUAUCAUCGGAAUUCAUUCUCACGCGUCCAAAAUCACUCGGGGAUGAUGUCCAACUAGCUCAAUCCGCACUUUGAUCCAAUAGAUCAAAGUUGACAUCGCAGCUCCAAGUUGCCAUAUAUUACAUGCAUUGUAGUUAGUGGUAAAACAUAUGAAUGCUAUGUUAGACUACUAUUGAAUGCAUAAUGACAUAAUGUAGAAACGCUAGAAGAAUGCAUAAUGACAUUUUGUGGAAAUGCUAGAGUAUAUGCAUGUGGACACUUAUGAAUAAAUGUUAGAUGACAUGUAGAUGCAUAUUGGCAUUAUGAGAUUAUGCUAGAUGAAAUGUGCAUAUUGACAUUACGAAAGUAUGCUAGAUGAUGUAUGCAUGUUGGCGUAUUGUAGAAAAUGCUAGAUUCACGUAGAUGUGAACUUGGGUCGAUAAAUCUGGAUGGAUUAGAAAACUCGACAUUGGAAAACAAGAAAAUGAGAUCUGUGAGUACUCGAUGUGGACAAUUAGGAUGUCAAGUAGAUCAAGUGGCAUUAAACCUAGUGUUUUUAAACAUAGGUUGGAUAUGAACCUAGUGUCGUGAACCUAGGUUAGAUAUGAGUGGCAUUGAACCUAGUGUUAGUUAACAUAGGUUGAACAAAUGAACCUAGAAGUUGAGAUCUAGGUAAAGAUGACAUAGAACCUAGCGUGGUUGAACCUAGGUUGUGACUAUAGUGGUAGCAGCCACUAGGAUGUCUAUGGGUCGAACCUAGAUAGGUCGACAUUUUAGAAUUUGCAGAUGACCCUUGAGACAUGGAAAAGGAUUUCGGAAUCCCUAGUGAUGUGGCCGCAGAAGAGGCGGUGGAAACUUGCAGUAGAAUACAAGUGAAUUAGAACUGCGGGUAUGUGUGGUUCUCCUCGCCCGACAGUGAUUCAAUGGGUAUAUGUGGUUCUCCUCGCCCGGUAUAAGCUUGAAAUGGGUAUGUGUGGUUCUCCUCGUCCAUUUAGCUUAUUGGAUGAUGCCGCCAGGAUUGACUUGAGCCAUUAUUAGGUAAGGUGCGAUGAGUUCACCGCCAGAUGGCUAAGUCAAGAGGUGCGGUGGGCUAUGAUGGCAGCCAGGCUGUGGUAGAGAUGCAGCAAGUGCGCGGUAGUCCGCAGAUGAUUAACUCGAGGCCGAGUCGGGUGGAUAGCUUGAUUAAGGUAGUGGAAACCUUAAAGGCUAGUGAUAUAUGGCAAGAUCUAAGGCUGUAGAGACCUUAGAUGCUAGUUGGACUUGAGCUAUGGAACUAAGGUAGUAGAAACCUUAGAGCUAGAUGAUAUGAGCCAUGAAUAGCAGGAUUGAAAGUAGGAUCAAUUGAUCUACUAGUUGGUUGCAUAAUUGUAUGAAUUUCAUAUUGCAUGUCGAGAGGCAUAACAUGUAUUUCAAUACUUGCAUAAAUAUCUGUUGGAUAUAUGUUGGACAAACAUGUUGCAGUGCCUCCUUGGACCUGGUGGGUCGAGCUCUUCCCUUGGGUGGUCGUACCCACUGGGAACUAUGGACAAUAGUUCUCACCCUCGUGUUGUUUUUGGGGGUACAGGUUCACACGUAAGCGGGACGACGGUGCGAGAAAAGGGCGUAGAUCCAUAGUUAGCGCCCUACCACCAAGACCAGAGAUAGCAGUACCCUAAGUCGGCUACUUAGGGAUGAAAGGGAAAUGAAAAGAACAAUGUUGUAAUAAUCAUACUAAAUCGGAUUGUAUUUGGAAGCUAAAAAGAGUUAAAGAAUGCGAAAAUGUGUAUGUAAAAAGCAUGUAUUGUGAAUGCUUGUAAUAGCUUAGUUGUUUUAUAUUUUUGAUACUUCCUUAUGCAAUCUAUGAUUGAAUAUUGUUCCUAGUUGAAACCGCUUGUAUUGUAUUGAUUGUGACGCCUAGGACGUACAGGGAAAACUUUGUCUGUUCGGCGGUUUGUUGGCAUGCCCAAACCCAAGCAAAUAGGCGGGUGGCGGGGCGUGACACGUUUAGAUAAGGAGCCUCAAUUUCAUAGGAGCACACGUGUGAGCAUUCUCCGUCGUGGUUUUGAGAUUGAGGGGGAAGCUUUCAUGGUUGCUGCACAUGAUGAUGAUGAGCCUAGAUCUUUUCAAGAGGCUUUCUCAUCACCUACUCAUAAGGAAUGGUUGGAUGUAAUGAUGGAGGAAAUAGAAUCGAUGAAGUCAAAUCAUGUCUCGGACUUGGUUGACUUGCCACCAGGGCGCAAAACAAUCGUAAAUAAAUGGGUUCUCAAGAUUAAGCGCAAGGCAGAUGGUUCAAUUGAUAGGUAUAAGGCUCGUUUAGUAGCAAUGGAUUUUACUCAACGAGAAGGCGUUGAUUAUGAGGAAACCUUUUCUCCUGCCGUAAGAUUUGCUUCGAUCCGCCUAAUUUUGGCCAUUGGCGCAUAUUUGGAUUUGGAACUUUACCAAAUGGACCUUAAAACUGCAUUUCUCAAUAGAGAACUGGAUCAGAAGAUCUGCAUGGAUCAGCCUGCUAGCUUCUCUGUAAAGGGUGAGGAGCAUAAAGUUUGUAAGCUCCGACGAUCCAUUUAUGAAUUGAAGCAGUCCUCCAGACAGUGGUAUAUUCAAUUUCAUCGAACCAUUACUGAAAAUGGGUUUACGAUGAUUGAAGAAGAUCACUGUGUGUAUGUUAAAUGGUCCAAAAGAUAUUUUCUAAUCCUUUCCUUAUAUGUUGAUAACAUCCUAUUGGCUAGAAAUAAUAAGGAGAUGGUUGUCGCCACUCAGACGUGGUUGUCCUUUAAUUUUGAGAUGAAUGACAUGGGUGAAGCAAAUUAUGUGCUCGGAGUUAAGAUCUUACGAGAUCGUUCAAAGAAACUUUUAGGUCUGUCUCAAGAGACUUACCUAAGAAAAGUUUUAGAAUGAUUUCAGAUGUACAAUUGCAAACCCAUUUACACUCCUAUUGCUAAAAGUGAGAGUCUGAACCUUAAACAGUGCCCUAAAACUUCUGAAGAAAAAAAUAAGAUAAAUCGGAUUCCAUAUGCUAAUGCUGUCAGGAGCUUGAUGUAUGCUAUGAUGUGUACUCAGCCUGAUAUAUGCUAUGCCAUGGGCUUGGUUAGCCGUUUUCAGUCCAAUCCGGGACUGGACCACUAGAAGGCUGUUAAAAGGAUACUUCGUAACCUCAGAGGUGUGAUAGAUUAUGUGCUGUGCUAUCAAGGUACGGAUUAACAUCUCAUCAGUUAUAGCGAUGCGGAUUGGGCUGGUGAGCUAGAUGAGCGUAAGUUGACCUCAGGAUAUGCAUUCUUGCUUGAUAAUGGCGCCAUAUCUUGGAGUAGUAAGAAACAGACCUGCGUAGCUCUAUCUACCAUGGAGGCGGAGUUUAUGGUGUGUUCUGCAGCAGCUCAUGAGGCUAUCUAGUUGAGGAGGAUCCUUCGAGAUAUUGGGGUUGUCACUUGUACUUCCGUUCCUGUGACAAUCUAUUGUAAUAGUAUGGCAGCGAUUGCAUACUCGAAGGAUCCAAAAUAUCAUGGCAAGACUAAGCACAUCAACUUAAAGUAUCACUUUAUUCGUGAGGCAGUGGCGUAGAAAGAAAUAAUCCUGGAACACAUUUCUACGAGUCGCAUGGUUGAAGAUCCUCUGUAAAAGCUCCUGGAUUCCGUAGGAUUUGAUUGUGUAGACAGUCAAUUAUUUUUAGCCAUUUCUUUUAUAAUAUUUUUUUGGUUGUUAUUUAAUUACAAAUUAUUAUUUUGGUAAAAAAUAUUUGGUAAGAUUAGCACACAUGCAUAUAUUUCCUGUAUUGUUGUAGAACGGAUUGAUAGUAUGUCGCAGGCUGAUUGGCCUUCUCACACGAGCAAUCAUUCUUUUCAGCGUUGUAGAGAGCGAGCGAAAAUUGAAGCAUUAAUGGAAGCUGCCUUGGUUGGCACCAAGAUGAGGUCAUUAAUGGGACCGCACACGGAUAGUCCCACGAUUCGUAUGGCAUGUACAUUAAGAGCCGGAUGUGAGCUCACCGUUUGGCGCUUGAGAUAGCGAGCAAAUGGAGAACUCAUGCUAGACACUCCGGGAGUGACUGAGCUAAGAUCCGUAUGACAUUGAGAAAGACAUACGCUAAUUGAGAUUCUCUGUCAUAACAUGUAUUUCAUACUACAUGUGCUAGGCGACAAAAUAAAGAAGAUGAGUGAAUGGAUCCCUACUUUCUCAUCAUGUGAGUUCUUAUGGACAUUAUUUUAAGACGAUGUCCUGUAUAUGUUAUAUGCUAUUAGUGACUUUUGACUAUGUCAUUAAGUGAAAGAAUUGAUGUUGCUAUUUUGACAUGUUUCCUACGGCUAUGAGUGAUGCAGCUUUAUGGGGCAUUGCUGGGAAAGCAAUCAAUUCUCAACUCAGUGGCAUAAGGGCUCAAAGAAGACUAGUUGAAUUAUAUUCAGACACUUUAACUCAUUGUCGACAGGUUGUUUCGCUUUAGUAUAGCGAAACAAUCAUAAGUAUAGUGUCAUUAUGUGCGCAAUAGAGGUUAGCAUGGCUCUUUGAGGGAUUAGAGAUGCUGAACCUGAUGUAAUUUAAUGGUCUAGGGCAUCACGAGUCUAAUAUUUUUUUUUGAGGGUUAAUGUCUCUAUGCUGGCCGUAUGCAGUUUCUAGUAUAGAGCUCCCAAACUGCAGGUUGACUAAACGGUCGCGCUAUUCAUUUCCCUGUAUGAAUAGAAUCAAUAGUGGUCGAAUGUUGAGAAAGUGGUUACGAUGGUAUUGAUCCCGCUAUGUGCGAGUGGGAGAUGUUGGCAUUCGGUUAAAUCUAAUCGGGUGCGCCCAUGAUCGGGAUCGAUUAGACGGUUAUUAUAUUGUCUAAUUGGAUUAGGAUUAAUCUCGCUUUUAAAUUGAAAAGCUAAUUAGAGAUAAAUUUUAAUCAUAUUAGGAUAACAAUUAGUAACCGAUUUGCUUUAUCUCUUACGCACCUAUUAGGAUUUUGGAAUCCCUUAUAAAUACGGGCGAUCUCACAUAAAAGGAAUAAGAGAAAAUAUAAGAAGAAAAAAAGAGAAUAAGAAAAACAAGAGAGAAAAACAAGAUACCACAUCCUCCAUUAACCUAUUAUUCUAAAGGGUGAACGGUGGAUUGGAGAUCAUGCUCGUUUGUAGUUUGAUCCACCACGAGUUUGGAGCGAUAGAAGAUUUUUUAGGACGAUCCGAGGACACGUGAAUCAACCUCUACGAUUCGGGCUCAUCGCAUUCUAGCGCGAAUCGCUUCCGCAGAAAGGUACAAACGAAUACUUCCGCUACAUUCAACAGUAUCAAUUAAAUAUCCUAUGGUUUUAUUUUCGUUUUUUGCUAUACUCCCGUAAUUUUUUCUGUUAAAGUAUCAUAUGUCACGUACGUGAUCAUCAAAAAUGUCACGCAAAGAUCAGCAAGAACAACAUGAGACCCUCUAAGAACAAUCAGGUGAAGCCCAACGAGGUCCCAUAUUGUUUUGAUCAACCGUUGUGGCCAUUUUUGACGAUCAUGUGCUGUCACAUGACACUUUAGCAAUGGAGAUGACAAGAGUUGUAAUGGAAACAUAUUUGCUAUGGUAACUGUAUUCUUACUUAUCCCUAGUAUGACUUAUGGAGUUUCGACAAUUAUUUUGUUCUUUAAGGUCCUGUUAUUCGUGAUUAUCUUGAGAUAUCUUGGAAUAAACUAUUCUACCAAUUUUGGUAAAAUAAUGCUAUUUCAAGGUUUGAUUCAAAGCUUUAUUAAGAUUGUAAAUUAAAUUAAACUAUGUAGACAUGAUAUAUUAUUUAUUAUAAUGCAUUAUUUUUAUUAUAAAAAUUAUUAAUUGUACUAUAUUAAUACACAUUAUUUGUAGGAGUCCGGCUACUAUAUAUGCUAUUAAUAGCACGAAGCACUUGGUGCUGCCAAGUUUUUCACCGUUAGAUCUACCCUUUUGAUGAUUUUCACCCGUUAGAUCAUACUAUUUAACGAACCACCCACUCAACCCUAGGGGGCCUACAUCAUCCUAACCGCACAUCUCUUGAUCCAAUAGCCAAAAAACUUGGUAGCACCAAUGACUUGGUGCUAUUAAUAGUAUAUUAGCCUAGUUCUUAUUUGUAGUUAUAUUUUAUAAUCAAUCAUACUUACGUAUUAUAAUAAAUUAUUCUUAUUAAAUUUAUUUUUAAGUAGAAUUUGAAAAAGAAAAAUAGUAUUAUAUUUUAAAUGUUCUUUUACAUAAUAUAUUUUAUAUCAAAUUUAUUGUGAAAUAUUAAUCAUAUUUUAUAUCAAAUUCACAGCACUUUUUCCACUAUCCUCUAUUAUUCUAUAAAAUUAACCAAACACAAUUUGAGUUAUUCCGAAGAAUCUGUACAAUUCCAUUAAAGGGUGAAUCCUAAACUGGUCUCUCCGUGAUUUCGGAGUUGCAGGUCCCACAAGAUACUAUUUCCCCUAGGGAUGCAAACAAAUCCGGAUUGGUGGAGCUCCCGCCCCGAUCCGCCCCGAAUGGGGCAGUAAACGGGAGAAAAUAAACGAAUUCAGGGCGGGAAAUGGGGUAAUUGUUAUGAUCCGAGACAGAUUCGGGGCAAGAAACAUGACAAAUUUUCACCCGCCCCGAAUCCGCCCCGCCAUGAUUCGCCCCGAAUCCGCCGCGAAAACCAAUUUAUAUUUUAAAGAAAAUAUCCCUAAAAAAUAAUAUACUUACAAAAAAAGUCCAAAAUACAAAUAAGUAGUGCUAUCAUUUCUCAUGUAUUUGAAACUUUUGAAUUUUGCUUUGAAUUGUGAUUGAUAUUUUUGAUUUUAUAAUUGAUGUUGUUAAUUAUAUAUAUAAUAUUUUUAAAAAUAUUAUUUUAUAUUUUAAAAAAUAUGAAUAAUAUUAUAAUUUUAUAAAAAUAUUAGUUGGCGGGGCAGAUUCGAGGUGCCGGCUAGAGUCGGGUUACAAGGCGGGGUGAAUUAUGGGAUAUAUUUUUUAACCCGUCACAGAUUCAGGACGGGAGGCGGGGCGGGGCUCCAGCCCCCAGAUUCACCCUGUUUACAUCCCUAGUUUCCCCUCUCCCAUCCUCUUCUUCGUGAGCCCCUCAUCCCUAUCAUUCCCUUCUCUCCCUCUCUCACCUCUUCUCCUCUCCUCUCACUCUCUCUUUCACCUUCCCUUCUCUUAUGUGAUCCUUCGACUUCUCUGUACUCUUCCACCCCCGUCCGCAGCUGAGGGCGUACUUGCCCCCUCAACGGCUCUAAUUUCUCACACGCUCUCUCUCCAUCGAAACCCUAUGGUUACCUAGAGUUUGUACUCUCUCCCUUUUUGUUCCCUAUCUACACUGGAGGUCCCUAUCUACCACGAAUCUGAGCAUUUAAUGCCGCUACAUAAUCGUACUCCCCGACAUCCUUUGUAACAUAUCACUUCUCCGUAAAAUAUGCCGAGUUCCGUCGAAAUGAGCGGAACGCGGAGUCGGUCAAGUUGGAACAAGUUACAAUGGGUUCUAAGAUCAUUAUGGCCAUUGUAUAGGGUAUAUGGACCCAUGAGAGCAAACCUGUGAAAAUUUGGCUAAGUACCAGAAAUUGUGCUCUCGAGGUCCAGCCCUAGCUUCAGGGUCCGGACCCCAUACGCGUGAAAUGCCCUGCGUGGGCAGACUCGGGUGGAAUUGGUCUCGGGGUCCGGACCUUAGCUUUGGGGUCUGGACCCCGUAUGUGCAAAAUGCCCUGCGCAGGCAGACUGGGUGAGGUAUUGCUCUCGGGGUCCAGACCUUAGCUUCAGGGUCCGGACCCCGUAUGCGAAGAAUGCCCAGUGAGGGCUGAUUGGAAAUAAUGAAUUGAGAGGGGCUUUUGUGCUAAUUUGACAAGAUGAAUGGUUAUAUGGGCUAGGGUUUGAGUGAGAGCUCAUUUGCUCUCACUCCAACACAAAUUUCUCCCUCUCUCUCUCUAAAAACUCUUCUCUUCUCUCUUCCUCUCUCUCUAGAGCUUGGACAAGGAGAGGAUUUGGAGGAGUUUGGAAGUAGAAGAAGGCAAAGUUGAGGGUGUUGCUUGCAAAAGUGCAAGAGAUCAAGGAAAGCUUGGACUCCAAAGGUGAGUUCUCAUGAUUUGAGCUAGGUUUGGGUUUGUAUUCCUUCUAGCAUGUAUCUAGGAGGUGAAUUAGAGGUUUUCCCCUUAGUAUCCAUGCUUAGGGACUAAUUUUGGGAAAGAUGAUAUUGUACAAGGACCUAUACUUAGGGUUUUUGGAUUUUGAGAUCGAAGCUUAGGUUCGAUCUCAUUUUAACCUAACUAGUAGGUCAACGAACGCAUCGGUGCGCUCGGUUUGGCGAUACGACGAGCGUGCGCGAAGAUAUUGAGGAAAGAAGCUAAAUUGAUACAGAUUGCCGCAGCUCGCGGCGAAAGCAUCUAAAAAUCACGAAAACAGGACCGCGGCAUCCUAGCAUACCCAAAAGGUGGGGGGUACUGUCCGGAAACACCGGAUCUCAUUCUAUGUCUAUGUCACUCUAAUUGUGCAUAUUGAUAUUGAUGCAUUCAUGCAUGUAGGGUAGUAUGGUAUGAGUUUGGUUGAAUGCAUUUAAAUGCUUAAAGAAUAUGUGAAUUAACAAAGAACCAUGUAUGAAAGAACCCUAUGUGUAUUGAAUGCGAGAACGGACUAUGACAAUAGUAAACAAAGGUGACAUUGACAUUAGUGAUCAGAUUGGCACCGAGAAUGUAAAUGACUAAACAAGGUUUAGCUUAUUGUGGCUUCGGGACCAUUGUGACUCAGAAUUCGUGGUCUAUAUGGUAUGGUAGAUCCUAUCAUUGGCAUUGAGAUAUUGUGGCAUGAGACAGGUUUGGCUAUACUUCCUCAAAUUGAGGAUGGGAUCAUACUCACAUGUGUUGAUUCCGGCUUGUGUGAGGUAGCUCCUCCUGAAGCGGUGUACUCCGGAGUAUAGACACCACGGGUGAGAGUGCCCAGCGAAGAUCCCUCGGGCGACAGUGCCAUGUGCCUUCCACGGUAGAAGGGAUGGAUCCCUCGGGGGCAUUUUCAAAUGCUAAUCCCAGUAGAUAGGAUAUGUGAGAUGUGAGUUGGGGUGAACUUGAUGAACCCUGGAAAGAUUGGGUAAAGGCCAUGUAAAAAGAGGAAUGGACAUGCAUGCAUCAAAUUCAUGUAUUUGAUUAUCUAUCUAUCUGUUGACAGUUGUUUUGCAGGCAUUGUAUUAGUAAUAGCAUUAGAUGGUUUGAUAUCUACUUUUAUUGAAAUACAUAUGCCUGAAAUAGACCUAGUGGACGAAUCGGCGUGGUCGGCGGCCGAACCCACUGGAAACUUUGUUCUAGUUCUUAUUACCACUAACCCUGUAAAUCCGUGUGCAAGCGGGGCGGCGGAGGAUCAAGGCAAGGGUAUCGCGGCGUAGAUAGCGGCCCUCGGUGUAUAGGCAUACCCUACAUUUUGUGUACUCAACUUUUGUAUGUUGAACUAAUGAUGUAAAAGAUGUAGAACCUUAUAUUUUGGUUAAUGGCUAAUGUGAUGUAAAUAUGAAUGAAUGAAAAGAAUGAAUAUAAAUGAUGGUUUACUUGUGUUUGAUUCAAAGGGAAUCAAAUGACAUGUAUGGUGGAUAAAUGCUUAGUUAGUUUCGAUACUUUCACUAUUGUUGUUGUUUGCCCUCGAGCAAACCUUGUAUAUCUUGCAAUCUCCGUGUUAGCUUGCUUGUGUUAUACAUGUUGUUGGAGCCUUGGGCGGACAUGGGAGGUGCUGUUCGUUCGGAGUCUGUUACGUGCUCGAAUCCGACCAAAUUGGCGAGACUUGGGGCGUGACAUCCUUGCUUCCCUACUGUGUUUUUCUUAGAAAUUACUCGGUUUCCUCUCUACUAUUUUCUAGGGUUGGUGUUUCCUUUGUAUGUUCUAAUCUACUUACGAAUCUGGCCAUUUAAUGCCGUCGCCUGGACUCCGGUGCGAGCAAUUAACGUCGCCAAGAGGACAGUCACCGCUCGCGUUGUUGGGCCCUUCUUACCACAUAUCUUCUUUCUCUCUCCUUGCCACAAGGUUGUUAGCUAUAAUUUAUUUAUGAAAAAAAAUUAAUGGUAUAUAUUUUGAUGAAGAGUUCUAAAUAAUAAGCUUUAUAUUAAUUUUUACUGAAACCCAUUUUUCUUGUUUUAAAAAAUAUUUAGUGGAAAUUUUGAGGUAGAGUUCUAAAAUUGUAAGCUUUACAUUGAUUUCAUUUGGAAACCAAUUUGAUGUUUGGGGUGAAAUAAAAUGAGCAGGUAGAGCUAGAGCAAAACCACUGGGCACAUAUUGCAUCAGAAUGAUUUCAUGGUAUGCAAUUCUUUUCCUUUUUUUAAUAGGAUUCAUGAUUACUUCAAUUCGUCAUUGUAUUAGUUGCUCUAAUUUGAUGAAGGUUGAUGGUUAUAAUGUAUAGGAUAUAAUCUCCCCCGCCCUCUCCUUUUGUCUGCUAAUUUCUAUCUAAAACUGCAAUGUUUGAAAUGAAAAAAACUUCAACUACCACACUUGUGGUUUGCACUUUCUCACAUUAGUAACUUGUGGUUAAAAUGUAUCAAUUUAGUGCCAUAUGGUUUCACAGUAUAGAACAAUCCAAACAACUUGAAUUUGAGACAGAAAUUUUUUUUUAGCUAUUUAAUAACGUUUGAUAACUUUAAUCAUGAAUUGAAAAAGUUUAACAUCUAUUUUCACAAGGUAUUCGUGUUUUUACGUUCAUUUUCAACUCUUCAAUAAACUUGAUAACGCAUUUUAAAAUUUAUAAAAUUAGUUUCUGUUGGAACAGAUAGUGAUAAGGUAUCAAAUAAAAAGAGAUUAAAAAGGCUUCAAGGCGUGUAGCAAUGCCACUUUCCUUAAAGCUUUAAUCCAUUCCGCCACCGUUCUUAAAUACCAAUUUGGUGCACGGUCAAUGAACAACCUCCCAGAUACAAUGGAAGCGGAUAACCCUCAACCUGACGUUUGCACACACAAGUCGAGCCUUUGAGCACUCACCGAUUAAAUUGUCAAAAGAAAUAGAAUAUAAAAACAGAAUGGAUAUUAUUGAUGAAUCGAAGACUUAAAACUCUCAACGUUUCUGUCUGUGUCCCUUCUGCAACCAUGCUAAUAGACUUAUAAUACGCACCCGAAACGGUGCUUCAUUGAAGUGACUAUUCACGUAAGAGUGUUUCGUGAAAAGUGACAUUCAAUGAAGUGUUUCGUGAAGUGACCUUCCCAUUGUGACUUGUUCAUUUGAUCCAUAAUCUACCAAAUAGUUAUAUGAAUCAAGUUCAAUGAAUAUAGACCAUUGAUCUCAACGGACAUUAUUGUAUCGAAGAGACACACAUAUUAAGAUGUGCCUUUUCAUAUCAUAUUCUUUCACUAAAAGUCACAUCCUUUCACUCUAAGAGUCAUACCCUUUGAUUAGAGUUGCAUUCACUCACUAAGGGUUGCAUCCAUUCAGUAAGAGUUGCAUCCAUUCACUAAGGGUUGCAUCCUUUCACGAAGAAUCACAUCCAUUCACUAAAAAUCAAUAAACAAAAUAUAUUAUUUUAAAAAUUUUCUUACAGUUUCUAGCCAUUAUAAAUACUUUAGAUCAAUUUUAACGGUUCCGAUCAUCGAUUCGGAAUCCUUAUCAUCUAAAAUGACUUAGGAGGACGAAAGUCUCUGUUCUCCUAAAAGAAUAGUAGUUGGACUCCAUAUAUAUAUAUAUAUAUAUAUGUAUGUAUGUAUAUAUGGAAAGAGUUGAGCCGGAAUGCUAUCAGCAGCAAACGGACUUUGUUGCCACCCAUUAGUUUUCGAUGAUGGAGCCUCCAAAUCGACGAUGGGCAUAUUUGAACAUGAUCUCUAUCAUUUGAAGCAUGUACAUGAUCUAUAACGGUGUAGAAGAAUCUAAAUUUUUUCAAAUUUUGAUAGAAAAUACUUUAAACUAUCUAGAUUAAGGUUAACAUUUUUUAUCUUGAAUUUAAAAGUCCUAUGCUCAAAUUUUAAAGAUUAUUCAAUUUCUACCGUCCAUUUUGACAUAAUUUAUUUACUAAGUAAACGAUGUCGAAAUAAACUGAAAUUUUAUUCCUAAGAACUUCAUAUACCCUAAAUCAUAUUUAACGAUAUGAAUCGUUAAUUUGAAUACUAUAAGAUCGAAAACACGACUAUAGUACUGGAGCUCCGAUACUAUAGAUAGUAUAGUAGCCUAAUUCUAUAUAUAUAUAUAUAUAUAUAUAUAUACACACACACAUAUAUAUAUAUAUAUAGAGUUGAAUAUAUAUAUAUAAUAUAUAUAAUAUAUAUAUAUAUAUAUAUAUAUAUAUAUAUAUAUAUAAUAUAGUUGGAAGCUUUUUCUUGGCUACUAUUAGUAGCAAAAUCCCAUUUGUUGCUACUGUUUUAGGCCUUUAGAUCAACUAUUGUUAUUAUUUUUAAGAUUGAUAAAUACUAUAAACCCAGUGGGGGAUCCACUCAACGCUAGGGACCAUUCAACUCUUAACUGACUAUUAUCAAUNNNNNNNNNNNNNNNNNNNNNNNNNNNNNNNNNNNNNNNNNNNNNNNNNNNNNNNNNNNNNNNNNNNNNNNNNNNNNNNNNNNNNNNNNNNNNNNNNNNNNNNNNNNNNNNNNNNNNNNNNNNNNNNNNNNNNNNNNNNNNNNNNNNNNNNNNNNNNNNNNNNNNNNNNNNNNNNNNNNNNNNNNNNNNNNNNNNNNNNNNNNNNNNNNNNNNNNNNNNNNNNNNNNNNNNNNNNNNNNNNNNNNNNNNNNNNNNNNNNNNNNNNNNNNNNNNNNNNNNNNNNNNNNNNNNNNNNNNNNNNNNNNNNNNNNNNNNNNNNNNNNNNNNNNAUAUAUAUAUCUUGUAUUCGUCAUCUCCACCAUCUUCAGCUCUUUUGUCAAAUUAUUUUAUCUAUAAUAAAAUACAUUUAAAAUGUAUUUUUACUUAAUUAUUUACUAUUUAUAUUGUAAAAAGUUUAUGAGUAUUAUAUUAAAUUUUAAAAGGUUGGUAAUCUCGGUCAUUCCUUUCGUAGAAAGUGUUCAUAUACUAAAAUUUUCAAAUAACCAAAUAAGUAAAAUAGAAAUGAAUUUUUUUUUUUUCAUUUUGUUCUUACCAACCAAACACACACAUAUAUGAAAAACUAAUUUUCUUUUCGACCGAACCAAACAACAGAAACUUGAGAAUUUCUAUUCCAUAAAAAUCUUUUUUCUUCAGAAAAUAAUUUUUCACUAUUUUUCGAGGAACCAAAUAGGCCAUAAUCUGCAAAACAAAAAAAAAGUAGCCUAUGAUUGUAAAAACGCAGUAGUGGAUUUUUUAUGCAAAUUGGCCAUUAAAUAUAAUCAUAUGAAUUUCAAUAAAAAAUAAAAGUGAUUUAAUUACUUUAAUAAUCAUUUGGACGUAAAGUUAAACAUGCAUUUAUAUCUGAGACCCAAGAUAAUCCUAUAUUUAAGAUCUAAUAGAGCUAAAACUUUUAACACGACUUAAGCAUUUAGUGCAGUGGCUAGGCCCAAGAGAUUAGGAGAGUUAAGCGUGCUAGGACGGGAGUAGUCCUACGAUGGGUGAUUUCCUGGGAAACUGAAGCAUCACAGUUGGUAUUAGAGCUGAUUACCAGCCGGAAGUGUGAGAUGAGUCUCGGCUGAGCCAGAACUAUACAGUAGGGAGAGAUGAAUCUCGACUGAGCCUGAAUUAUAUAGCGGGGAGAGCGAGACUCUCGUACUAUUGACUGUUGUGAGUGGAGCACAGCUCACCACAAGAUCUAUACUUGUGAGUCUGAGCCUGACGAGAUUGUCGGGGCUUAAGAGGGAGAGAAUGACCCCAGGUAAUCCCAUAUAUAAGACAUAAUAGGGCUAAAACUUUUAACCCGGUUUAAGUAUUUUGGGCCGUGACUAGACCCAAGAGUUGUUAUAAUAUGAUGACAUAAUAAGAUUUUUAAGAAAUUACUAAAAAUUUAAAUCUUAUAUAUUAGAAUAAUUAAAGAGAGAAUUAUGGUAAAUAGGAAAUUGAAAUAUCAUAUCUUAAUAUAGAUGUUCAUCAGACAAUUUUAUUUUACGCGGUUUUUUGUUUUUAACGUGAAAAUUCAUGUAUCUAAUCAAAUCGUAUCUUAGCAAAAAAAUAAAAUAUUAAUUUCAAAGAUUAGGAUUGAAUUUUCGAAAAAUCCGAAUGCUGUAAAUACAAUGUACCUAAAGAAAGAUUUGAUUAAUUAAAUGUAAUUUUUCUCUAAAUAUAAUUGUAGUCGUAAUAGAAAAUUUUUUGCCAUUUUUUACAUACAUUAUAUAGAUUGAAUAGCUGUUGAAAUUUUGCUUGUCUUAUCAAGAUCCUGCUUGAUUUUGCGUCAAAUUUUCACUUUUCUUAAAUAUUACUAUGAUAACAUAUAAAUAUGGAAAUUACAAAAAAUUUUCUAAUAAAUAUUUAUUUUUUUUCUUUUUCUUCCUAACUUUUAAAAAUCUAGAUUUUACCAUCUCAACAUUUCAAGUGGUUGCAUUUAGCCCUCCUGAUUCCAUCGCUAUUUCGUCCAUUUCUUAUAAUUUAUACAAAAAUAACCCUCAUAAAUCACAGAAAUAUAUUAAAAUUUUAUUUUUUUCUCUUAUAGAAGAAAUAAAAAUAAUUUGAUUAUUUUUCUCUCUUCAUUAACGUCGUACCUCUCCUAAAAACAUUUCUGAAAUUUUAAAAAGGUAAAAUAUAGGUUUUGAAAGCCAGAGAGAAAAAAUAAAAUAACAGACAUUUUUAAAAGAAUUUUCUGUAAUUUAGCUUAUAAAAAAUCACAAGUUUGAGGAACAAAUUAAGUAAACUUCACUAUCUAGAACAUUAUUGGAGCAAAUUAACUGCGCGUAUUAUUCUAACCAGCAAAAACGUCAAGCAUGAAAGCAAACAUGUUAGGAGGGGCUAAGGAAGAAGAGGACGUACUGGCAGCCGCCGCCACCGCGAAAGCGGAGGAUGAGGUGGAUGAGGGACCUGUCCUCAACACCGCAUUCUGCCAAAGUUUUCUCCUCUCUCAUUUGCCGGCCACGGAAGAUAAGCCUUACCUGGUCUAUUGGGAUGCCGUCUGCCUCCUCUAUCGCGACUGCCACAUCCAAGACUUUGACAGAGCCAUCCACCUCAAAGGUCAUAAUUUUGCCGGUUAACGUCUUCACGAAUAUCUCCAUAUCCCCAUCGACAUAAAGUUCUGAGCCGGCGGCGACCUCCUCUUCUUCGCAGUCCAUGUUAAAUGGCUACCCUUUCAGCUAGUAAUUAACUAGAAUCAGUAUAUGUAAUUAACAUGUACAAACUAACUAAGAAACUUCAUGAUCAGUAAGGACUACAGCGCACCAAUUAAAAUAUAUUGGCCGAUCUAUGGAGAAAGAGAAGACAGAUAACCUCUAUACAACUAGGAGGAUGGACUUAAUCCACAGUAAGAAAAAUAAGAAAGAAACAAAGCGAAUGGAAGAAAGGAGAAAUGAUUAUAUAGCUCUAAUCAUAUCAAGGCCUAUUAAUAAAUGCAACUUCUUUAAGGAUCCUAUGUUGGAGAGAGUAAAGAAUUAAUUAUACCUCGGAAUUGAGAGAAAUAAGGCUCCUUGCGGUGACUCCAGCUGAAAACUUUGGUGCUCUCUGUAUGGUUGGUAAUAAUCCAGCAAAAGGAGAUUACCCGAUCCAGAGAAGGCUUGAUACGUCGUGUGCGUGCUACUUUUGCAAAUAUUAUUUUUCUUCUAGAUAGUUCUAAGAGAUGAAGACCGACGAAUAGCGAGGGCCUUCCCCGUUAAUUGAUAGUUGUUUGAGAGGAAAAACCUAGGUAAUACUAGUCAAAGAGGAAUCGUACCGUGUGGUCCCACGCGUAACUGGUGUUUCCUUGCAUUUUCUUCCUUUAUUAAAAACUCUUCCCUACAUGUUGAUGCCACAUGAGAUCUAUAUAUACUCUCUUAACAAGUCUAUACCAAUUUCAUUGUGCCAAUAUCAGUUUGCAUUAGUUUUAAAAGAAGACAAUUAAUGUACAUGCUAAUUUAAUCAAUACAUGUUGCAUGUGCAGAAUACUUUAUCCAAUGUUAGCGGCGAGUCUUUGUUAAAUUAAGUUUGUUACACCAUUACAUCCAUAAGACUUUUUAAUUAAGCCCUACACACCGACGCAAAUUUUGAUGUCUUAAACUCCAAAUCUAAACACAUUUCGUGUAUUUUAUGGCAUUUAAAAGACUUGGGCAGACGACUCUUUCAAUACGAACUGAAGAGCAGCCUAGCUAGCUUGUUGACUUAGUAUUUUUAUGGAACUUUUAAUUAACUAAUAAUAUUUGAAACCGAUCUUCACAAAAAUAUUUUUAAUUUUACCUCCCAUUUCACACUUCAAUUUUUUUUUUUUUUUUGUAAUUUCUUCAAUAUUUCAAAGUUUGAUUGCUAGAUUAAUUCUUGUUAAACAAAUACAAAGAUCAACCAAAAUCAAGCAAGAAUUGUCUUUUUAAUGCAAGGACUAAAGUGAAGCAAUUUUAGGAAUUCGGUAGAUAGAAUGCUGAACUGUUACGACGGUGAGCCUCCAACAAAUACGUUCUAUAUAUUUGUUAUGGUAUAUAGAGAUCUCCACAAAAAGUAAAAUAAAAAAGAAAAAAAGGGAAGAAGACAAAUCAAAUAAUCUGGUACGUUGUUGCUGACGCAAAGCAAAACAACUUUAUUGAAGAAAAGUUAACAUCUACCCGAGGCAUGUGUUCGUACAUGGUGGUGACGACCACUAAUUAAUUAGCUAGCGCCCGGCUCCGGCUUCAGCUUAAUUAAUACCAGCUUAUCUAUUUAUAACUAAUUACAUAAAAUCCUAUUCUGAUUCGAUUUUAUUUUAAUCACAAUUUAAAUAACCAAAUAAUUUAAUGGAUAAGAUCAAAUAAUAUAAUCCUAAUCUAAUAAAUCAUUAGCAUUAUCUCUNUGAGAAAUAGGUAGCACACCCGCUUCGUUUAUUUUAUUUAGAAAUAAACUUAGCUAGAAAUGUGAAUCAAGUAGAAUUCGAAUUUGGGUGUCAGGUACCAACCACCAAGCCCUUUGCCACUUGCUCUAGGGACGGUCGGUCAUGUGCAGAAUACUUUAUCCAAUGUUAGCGGCGAGGAUAUAUAUAUAUAAGAUCAAAUAAUUUAACAGAUAAGAUCAAAUAAUCUAAUUCUAAUCUAAUAAAUCAUUAGCAUUAUCUCUAACACUCCCCCAUAACGCUAAUACUAGUGUAGUAACCCGCGCGAUGCAGCGGGGAAAAAAUAUUUUAAUAAAAAUUUACAAAUCAAAUAAAUAAAGAUAAAUGUAAAGAAGAAAAAAUAUAUAAACAUAUUUGAUUAGACUUAAUAAUAUGAAAAACACAUUAAAAAAUAUUUAAAAUGGAAUCACAACUCAACGAAAAAUAAUGAAAGAAACCGAAAAAAAAGAAAUUAAGAAUUAUAUGAGAAGAAAAAUUGUUACAUAGAUAUUAUAAAAAAAAAUGUUUGAAAUCUUGCAAGUGAAAGAUAACAAAUAUUAAAGAGCACACUGAAAAGAUUUAAAUUAACAUUUAACAAAUCAAAUAAAUAGAUUCAUUGAUCCGUCCGAUUCUUUUUUUGACGUAAAUCAAAUUUCUCUUAAAAAUCAAUAGUAAAGUGACCCGAGCAUUGUAGCAGAUAGAUACUAUUAAAGUUAAAAAUUUAAAAAUAAUAAAUUAUCAGUAAAAAAAAUAAAAUAUAUUCAUCUUCAUUAAAUUAUCUUAAAUAUACGCAUCGAGUCCAGAAUAACCAAAAAAAUAUAAAACUCACAUAAUAAAAAAUCAUAAAAAACUCCAAAUUAUGCAAAAUUUGAAAUUUACAUAGUACUCACAUAUUAUUCCCUUUGCAAAUUAGUUUUUAUUUAUGGAACAUAGAAUUUGGAGCAAUCAUCUAUUAACUUAAAAUCAAUACCGGAGCAAACAAAAAAAGAAUAAACUAAAAUAUUAUAAAAUAAAAUUUAAAAAGUAAUAAAUAAAGGCCAAAUAGAAAUCAGGAUUGGGAUCGUCGGGGAAGGAGUGGGAGCGAUCGAAGGAGGGGCUUCAAAUGUCACGCCCCGGGACCGGCGAAGGCCCUCCCGGUAGCGUGCCCAGACCCGCCAUAUGUCUACACAUAUAAGGCGUCUACAACAAAAGCGGAAGUAAAGCAGGAGAUAGAACAAAUAAAAGAAGUGAAAUAACUAGCAACUAAUGAUAUCAGAGCAAGUAAAGUUCUAUCAUCUACACCAAAGUAAAGAAAUAAAGCUAGUCAAACAAAGAUAACCAUAAGUAGUACAAUAACCGUCUCUAGUACAAAAAUUGUGGUCUCUAUACAUAUACGGUUACAACUCUCAACCUCUCACAAAAAGAAAACACGAGAGGUAGACCACCUAUCGAACGAUCCCUCGGUAAGCGCGCUAGCCCGAGGCGAUACCCUUUCCGCGAU